AUGGCCUCUGCCUCUACAAGCAAUCCCUCUUUACAAUAUGCAUCCACCAGAAUAUUGAAGGUUUGAACAUUCGGCAUGACUUUGCUUUGCACCAUAUGACUCAGCAGUCUUUGGGACUCUUUCAAUUGGCCGGAAUUGCACACUCCUUGAAUGACAGAGGUAUAAGUAACGACGUUCGGUUCAAUUCCUGCCUCCAUCAUCUUCUCCAUCAAGACCGUAGCAUCUUUCCAUCGGCCUAGGUUGCAUAAGCAAUGAACCAAGGAGGUAUAAGUGAAUAUAUCGGGUCGGAUGCCUCUGCUCGUCAUCUCUUUCAACAAUAAGAGAGCAUCUUCCAUCUGGCCUACAUUGCACAGACCGUGGAUCAAGGAGGUAUAAGUAACAACAUCUGGUUCGAAACCUUUCUUACUCAUGCGUUCGUGAAGUCUCAAGGCCUCUGCGAUCAAUCCCUCCUUGCAAAGACUAUCUAUUACUAUGUUGUAUGCGAAGGAACCGAGCCUGCAGCUUCCCUCCUCCCAGUCCCUCAGCAAUUCAACGGCCAAUCUGGUGUUACCCGCCCUGCAUAACCCUUUCGCAAUUAUUGCAUACGUGGUCUCAUUAGGUUCUGGGCCUUUUCGUUGCAUAUCAUCGAGGAAACUCAACGCUCGAUCAGUUUCGCCCUUUAUAAGGAAACCAUCAAUUAGGGUGUUCGAUGCCACCACAUCGAUGUGAAACCCAAGCUUCAAGAUUCUGCCCAGGAUAGACAAACCAAAGUCAACCCGCUCUAACCGGCAGAAGCAAUUCAACGAAAUAUUCAGCCAAAAGUGAUUGUCUUCAAUCCCCAACGAAUGCAGCUGCUGGAUCAAGCGGAUGGCAAUCGAGUAGUGCUUCAUCCUCGCUAUAGCACCCAACAGAAGACUGAAAUCUCUGGGGGAAGGCAAAGGGUCGGUGUUGAUCAUUUUACCGAAGCAACGCAGGGCAUCGUCGACACUCGAAAACCCACCGCCACCAGCUCUGCAAAAUUUCCUCACGUAACUCAAGAGCUGGCUCGGGUCGUCUAAAUUAGGGUUAGGGAUCGAAGAAAACCUCCGGCGAUCGCGAAACGAGAAACGGGCACGCGAGAGAUGAGGGAGGGAGAUGGAGAGUGGAAUGGGAUGAUGAAUCGCUGGAGAUCGCAUCUUGAGCACGAAGGAGAAGAAAGACGGGAGCCCCAUGAACACACAAACCUAACCAAGGCGACUCCUAUCAGCUUACGGGUGCUUGAAAGACUCCUUUUCGAUUUCCUUUAAAACGAGUGAGUGAUAAGAAAAACAAAAUAAAUGCAUUAGAAGUUUUAAAAUUUAUCAUAAAAAUGUAAUUAAGUUUUAAAAUUUUUAAAAAGUAUAAUUAAAUCCUAAAGUUUAUUAAAAAAUAUAAUUAAGUCCUAAAAAUUUUAUAAAAUACAAUCAACUCCUAAAACUUAUCAAGGUGAUUCAAUUUAAGUCUUUUCAUUGAUUACUUUUUUUGAAAGUUUUGAGACUCGGUUACAUGUUCGAGACAAAUUUUAGGAUUUUAUUGAACUUUUUGAAAAUUUUAAGAUUUAAUUGAAUUUCCGUGACAAGUUUUAGGAUUUAAUUGUACUUUUUAAAAGUUUUAAGACCCAAUUACAUUUUCAUAAUAAGUUUUAAGACUUCUAAUAUACUUAUCCCUAAGAAAAACUAAGGUAGAAUCAUUUUAGUGAAAUUCAAAUUAUUACACACUUGUUUAAACAAAAAAUCUAUGCAUAAAUUGAUGAAAAAUAUUUCGCCCUUUAGAACAUCGAAAAUUAUUUUCCAAAGGAGUUACUAGACAUCUGCAUUUUGGAACAAAAACUCUACUUGUGCAUGAGAGAUCUAAGACUCAUUUCUAAAACCCUUGUUCAUGUGCUUAAUUUCUCAAAAGUCCAUACGCAAGUCAUUGGCACCCGAAUAGUGUAAAUGUAAUUAGGAAAAUCAAAUUAGAUCUUACUUUUCAAAUGACAAAAAAUAUGUUUCGAUUUUGUUUUUUCAAAUUCCACCCAAACUUAGAAAAUCGACUUCCUUGAAAUUAGAAAUGUAACAUUUUGCAUUAAACAAAUAGAGUAUUUGAGAAAAAUCUUAGUAAAUUGAUGACCAGAUUCUAUAGGUAGACUCGAGAACUUUUCAAUAAACAAAGAGGGUGGACAACCAUUGCAAUUACUUUUUAAUAUCUUUCAACUUAGAUCUUUUUUUUACCCCUAAAAAUUGAGCUAGGACACUUGUGGGUUCUAGGCCAACGAGUGGUUCGACCAACUUGGAGAAAGAGACAACUUUGAUGGUAAUGUCGUAUUCCUCAUCUCCACCAAAAAUGAAUGUUAAGGUGAUCAGGCUCCAAAAGUGUGCCAUCGCUUGUAUGAGACUCGCUUGACACUUAACCCGAAGAAGAGAUAUGAGGUAACCAAUACUUUUUUCCACAGCGUUGGUCUCCUUGGUCUAUAAUUUAUCCAUCAUGCCAAGAGGGUCCUUGGGAGCGAGAAUGAUUUAACUAUUCAAUCUUCCUAUUAUAUCUAAAUCACAAAAGACAUUUUACCCGAUCACCGUGGAUUACAAAUAUAAACUUUGAAAACUUAAGUUGAUGAAGUAGAAGAAUUUUAAAAAAGUAUGUAACAUACUUAUAGCGUCCGAUGAGAAGGGUUUUCAAUCAUAUAAGUACAUAGAUAUACUUGUGAGAUUCGACGCAUAAAGUUGGGAUAUACUAUAGAUUCAAGAAUCCCUUCCUAACGAAACACUAAAUAUAUCCUAAUCUCGCUAAUUGGAUGGGUUCAACUUUUCUCUUGUGAGAUGAGCAGGGUCAAGAAGGAUUUGAUUAUGCUAGUUAUCUAACUAGUACAUUUCAUUACCUACACUUGAUUAUUUGUCAAUUGAAGUGUCAACACGACCUUUCACCAAAAUAUGAAUUCUUAGGUUCUUAACCGUUAAAAGCACGAAUGAUAACAAUUAUGUUUUAGAAAUCAAUUUUUGUUCCACAAAUAGAUUUCUCUAAUUUUAUUUUUGGGACGAUUGUCUGAGUAAAAAUAGCGUUUGAUGACAACAUAAAAUUUCUAUUUCAAGAAUAUAAAUUCUUUUACUAAUGAUACAAAAUUUCUCCUUCUUGAGUUGCGGCGAUGGCAUCGACCAAUGGACGACUAGUGGCAAUGGCAGCAACCAAUGGAUGACUGGCAGUGGUGGUGAUUGGCAAACAACAAUGGUGGAUGGCAGGCGACAGCAAGUGGGCAGCCGACUAGUAGCGAGGGUGAGCGAGAAAAAGAGUUUUUAUUUAUUAUUUUUAUUACAAAAUAAAAAAGUAGAAAAUUUUAACUUCUCAUUAAUAUUCCAAGCCCAUUUCUAGACUAAAAAUUUGUUCUAAAAAUAGAAAAAAUAAAAUUGCAUUACAAAUGGAUUUCUAUUCUACACCUAUUCUUGGGAGUAGAAAAAUAGUUUUAGCUAGAAAUAAAAUGUUUAUCACGUGCGUCUAAGUGUCAAUGUAAUGUUUUUGUAUUUAUUUAUAAUCCCAAAGUGUAACCUAAACAUUCAACGAAAACAAACAAAUCAAAACUUAGAAAAAGCAACAUAGAAGGGACACAAUCAAUUGAUUUAAAAAAGUAAUGAAAGAACAAGUAAAAAGUAAAGUGCAAUAAAGUAAUCCAAUACAAGUUAGGCAAACAAUAUAACAUGGCCUUGUAACUUUCACCAAAUUAUUUAUUACAAUUUUUUAUUUUACUACCCUUUUUAUAUUUUUUUUUGUUCUAAUUUUUUUUUAUUAUUAUUUUUUUAUUCUAAUAAAAGGGGCACCGAGCUGCUCAAUCCGGACAUGGGCCAUACGUGGCCUCGCCAAUCUAGGCCGGAAACACCAAGGAGUUCAAUCCAGAUGUGGGUCUUACUAUGGCCUCGUGGACCUAGGUCGACAACAUCAAUGAGCCCUUAUAACAAAAAUUGGAAUCGGCUCAAAGUCACCUAAACUAAGCCUAGCCCAAACUUUCUAAAACCCAAAACACCCUAAUAUAUUAAAACUAAAUCAAGCCAAUUUUAAGCUCAUUUUAUUAUUUUCUUUUUUUCCCAAUAUUUUUUCGUCUUUUCUUUAUUCAUUAUUUUUGCUUUUCAUUUCUAUUCAUCCCUCUCAGUAUCUCCUUCGAUCUGCAAACCAAGAUCACAUAACCAAAUAUAGAAGUUCCAGCAAAUUGAAAGUCUUCAAUGGAGGUUAACUAAAUUUAUACUGCUUCCCCGGCAGUCUUCACCGGUGACCACCUCCAUUGGCCGCCAGACCACCACUAUCAGCCACAAUCAAAGAGUUGCAGAAAUUUAGAGUGUGGAUAGGAAAAAACAAAUUGAGAUGGAUGCUUCUGGAGAUCCACGCUUAAGCCAUCAACUCCCAAUCAUUUCUCUAGCAACUUAUGUCAGCCAACAUCAGGAGUUUAAUGCAGAAAACAGAGCAACACAACAAACGGCGAUGUUAUUCUCAAUUUCAUGUUCAAGUUUCGCAAAACAACAAUGAUAUAUAUGAAUCUAAAAUUUCUAUUGAUAUAUAAGCAUUAGUGAACCUUUCAGUCAACAGAUAUAAUCAACUCUCUCUCUCUCGAAUACAUUUUGCGGCUUCAUGGACACAUUUCAACAAAAAACUUUCAUGCAACGAAAUUACUAAGUCUAAUCAUGGCAUUGAAAUGGUUUCUCAUCUAAAAUCAGCAUUAGAACAACAACGCCUUCACACAUCGUUAAAAGAAGUCUCAGAUUAAUUCAAAUUCUUGAUGAUUUAUAUUCAAACAACAUGAAUACAUCUCAAUUUUGUGAAUCACUGAAACAGAGCAAUGAAAUUACCUGUUCACGAAACAAUAUGAAGCUACGAUUUCUGACUGAAUCAAGGAAGAAAACUAGAGAAAGUGGCACCAGCAUAAAGGCUUUAGGUAAAAUCCGAACUUUCCAGCAUCUCUAACCGGAGCAGAGCAAAGCAGGAUCAAUGGUAAUCAACUAUUGGCAUUGAUCAAUGGCAAUGAAUCGAAAGUAAAUGAUGCCAAAGGUCUAAAUUCAGCUCUCUCAGAUAGGUCACCACACAUACGACUUCAGAUCCUCCAUGAGCAUGUGUCCUGCGAUUGACCGCACAAGCAAGUGAUGGGUUGUGGCUAGAACAAAACACAAAUCAAAAUCACGACUGCACACUUCCAGAGCCCUGAUUAAAUAACCAGAUAUUCAAGCUCCGUCCAUAAGUAGAUAUAUACCGGUUUUUAUCUAUGUACGCCACCUUUUGGCUAUAUAUUAAGUAACCAGAUAUGGUUUUUUUUUUUUUUUUUUUCCAAUUUUCAAGGAAUACCUUGAUGCAUUGAAGAUAAGAAAAUUUCUUGUGAGCAUGUUUGCCAAGUAUUCAUCGAGAUAGUCAAUAACAUGAUCCUACGAAUAAAUCUUUUGACUAUUUCUUUAGAUAUCUCAUCUAUUUCGUGAGCUCCAGCAAGGGAUAUCAUGUUAUGCAUGUGAAUAUAACGGUUUACUUAAAUUUGUGAGUACUAGUCAAGCUAAGAUUGAAUAGGUCAAAUGUUAUCCAAUAGAGGAUGUAAAAAGAAUAAACAAGGAUUUAAAGAAUAAGCAAAGGAAUCAAGAAUCUUCUUGAUUAAAUUGUCUAGAAUUGUUGUAGUCAAUGAAUGAUAACUCUAGAGAAAUAGACGGGCCUUAAAUGAGAGUAUAAGAUGAAAAAAGACAAGAGCAACAUCAUCGACAUACAUUGAAUAUUGAGAGACAAUUAAAACCCUUAAUAAUUCCAAAAAAAGAAAAAUCAGGAUUACCAAUGAUUCGUGAAAGAGAGUGACAAAUUUGUGUAUGCUUAAAUCAUACAAUUGUGAGCAACUGUUGCCCAAGUACUAAAAACGGCACGUUAGACAAAAAAAAAGGACAAAUGCAAACUAAAGAAAUAUUUUGAAUUACUUAAACAGAUCAAAUUGCAUAUCUAGCCCACAGCAAAUAUAAAAUUGCAUUGUUUCCAUUCUAUAAACAAAUAGUUAGAAGCUUUUAAGAUUUUUUAUGCAUUGGUACCAUGGAAGAAAGGUUGAUAUGCUAAUCAUAGGAGAAAAUCUAUUGGGUACAACUGCUAUAAAUAGUCAGGACCUGAGUCUAUCAAGAUACAAAGUUGGGUUGAGUAAAAAAAUUAAGGCAUAUCACAUUAUGAAAAGUCCUUCAAGAGUUGCAAUUAUGCUAAUGUUGUCCCCCUUGAUGUUCAAUGUUGCCAAAGGUGCCACACACACCGGCAUAGUUUAUUGGGCUUGCAAUACCGGCUCCUAUUCGAGCGGUGAUCCUUAUGCAAACAGCUUGGCUUAUCUCCUUGAGCACAUGGUGACCGUGACAUCAAAUCACGCGAACUACAACUACUCCACCGCAUCUCCUUAUCCGACAGCAAUUGCCUAUGGUCACGUUAUUUGUAGCCAAGCACUUUCUUACAGUGAUUGUGGCAUAUGUAUGAGCUUUGUUAAAUCCCAAAUAUUGGCCAUCUGUCCGGACAGUCUGGGCGCUCAAGUCAAGCUUGAAGAUUGUAGAACGAGGUACAAAAACUACUCAUUUAGUGGUUAAGUGGUUUGGUGCCAAACAUGGAGAACCUUGUUCGAACGGUAACGGCACUGGGAUGUGCAUUGCUUAAAUGUGUUGAAGAAUAAAUGCCCUAGUCAUAUAUCCUAAUUUAUGUUGUGUGUGGAUGUUUCUGCCGUUCUUGUUGUCAUUUUUAUUGUGGGAAAUGAUAUGAUAUGUGGCUCCUAUACUUUUUUGUUAUUUUAAAGUUCUCAAAUUGCCUUUUUAUGCCCGAGAAAACCUAAGAAAGCAGCUCAAAGCAAUGAUUCACACGAAAAAUCAAACCUGUAUUGUCUAUCUAAGCUACACGCACGUCAUUGGGUUUGUUCCUAUGGUACUUAAGCAGGUCUUCAAGAGAUGGCAGUUGGGGACACGCAAAUAAGAGGUCGUGCAAGAGAGUUCAAAACCAAAAGCCGGAAUUUAUAGAAGGAAACGCUGCCUAAAGGCUAAAAGAAAUUGUUACAACCUUGCUAGAGCCGCUUGUGAAUUUAACUUAUACGUUGAACUUGAAGCACAACUCUCUGUUGAAAUUCGGAAAGAAAUAACAUUGACUUUGUCCCUAGUAUUUGCAUAAGGAUCACUACUUGAAAAUCAUUCAGGAGGUUGAGAACAUAUUUACAGCAUACAAGAUAAAUACCACGAGAGGGUUCAUUCAUUUUGUUUUCAAGAAAAUAUUUUGAAGAAGCCAAAUCAGCAAAACAGAAACUAUGUCAAAUCAGUUACUGGUCAUACCAUAUAAGAGUCAUCAGCAUAAACCAAAAGUAAUACAGAGGAAGAGCUAAUGCAUGAAACAAUUAAAUGGACUUAUCAGCAUAAGAUUGAACCAAACCAGCAUAUACUAUCGCAGUAGGGGAUACUUAAGAAACCAAUUUUCUCUGAAGAUUUUACCUUUCAUCGUAAAAGUGGCCUCGCUUCAGUUGAUAAGCCCAUGAACCUGCGUUGUUAAAUCAGGAAACGGACAAAAGAGACAGCCAAGGAGUUGAUCCUCUUGUGAUAUAUGCACAACUUCAAUUUGAACCUUUUGCUUGACAAAUUCUCUUUUCUGAGCUCAAUUGAUCAUAUCUGACGACGGUAUCCAUGCGUGAACUUAAAUCAAAGACUCAUCUCCGGAACUCUUGCACGCUACUAUGAUUGGGUCAGCAAACAAAGAGUAGAGGGCACGACGAGAGGCAGACUGUCCAGGCAAAUCUUCCUGUUGUGAGUGAGACUCUUAAAAACCCCGAGUCAGUAAUUAAGACAGAUAAAAAUGGCAAGGAAUGUACUUCCAUUGAGAGCCAACCCUAUUGAUCGGGAAAGUAAUUCAAUUGAUGCAGUGGAAAAGACGAUGGAAUUUACAUCAUCUGGGCCUGACUGCAAUGGAGUUGAUUGUUGUUCGCCCAAGACGGCUAACAUUGGGAAUGUUUGUCAACGGCAUUCAUGUUCACCCAUCAUCAGAUGCUUUUCGGAAAAUCCCUGGCAGUGCAAAAGGGAAGAUACUUCAAGUAGUUUCAUACAUUUGCAGCCACGUUCCUUAGUCAGCAAGCCGUCCCUCAAACCUCGCUGUUAUUUGCAUGUAAGAAGCAGAGCAAAUAAACCAAAUAUGUAAUCGACCUGUGGUAAUAAUCUGAGUACACAGCUCGAUCCAAAUAUACUCCACUACCGAUUCAAAUACCAUCCACUUCAAUGUAUGCCUCUUCUUUGAAGUGUCUAUGGUAAAUAGGACAUUAAAAGGAUCAGAUUGUCAAAAAAGAAAGUGUAUAACAGAAAACUAGGAUCUCUCUCUCAAAGCACAUACACAAUAGGCUAAUCAGGAUUUAUGACAUAAUAUACUUCAUUACAUAGUAAAGUUAUUGCUAUUAACAUCUAUUUAAUACGAUAUCAUCCUCAGACUGCUUGAUCAUUCGUAUGAAUUUCACCUGUUUGAACAACAUUAGGCACCAAAAGCACUAACAAAUGAGUACACAUAACAGUUCAAUACAGAGAUUUCGUACCGAACCUAGAUAUACGAGGAUCAAAAUCCACCUUAUACCCCUCCAAAAAUUUGCCGUCUUGGGCGGUUCGAUUCAGUGAAUAAUCUCUCCGAUUUAAAAAAACUUCAUCAAUGGGACAUGGGACACAAAGAGAAGACGUUUGGAAGAAAACUUGACAUAUAUCUGAUUUACUCUUCAUCACAUUUCAGAUGAAAAUGUGGACAGAUCUCAGAGACAAUGGAGAGUUCUCCUAGUAAAGGAAGAAGUUCCAUUUGUCACGAGAUAUUUGACCCACAAUUCCAUUGUCGCUACAUCUGCAGAAAAACCCCUUUCAACCAUUUCACCGACAAGUUGCGUGGCUCUAGUAUUUUCAUUAUUUCUUAGCAAUCCUUGGAUUAUUGUGUUAUAAGUGACCCCAUCUGGAAAGCAUCCAUUUCCUUCCAUCUCCUUUAGAAGCUGAUAUGCUUCCUCCGUACAUCCUCCUUUGCACAACCCAUGCAUGAGAAUGUUACAUGUCCACACAUCAGGUUGCAAGCCUCGAGCAUGCAAACAAUUAACCAGCCCCUUUGCAUCGUCGAGCUUUCCGGCAUUACACAUGCCAUUUAUUAGGAUAUUGUAAGUCACGAUGUUUGGGAUGAAUUUGGAAUCUUCCAUCUUUCGAAGCAAUAUCAUGGCCUUGUCAAUCUGCUGUGUUUUACACAAGCCAUCCAGGAAAGCAUUCAAGGUAUAAUGAUCUAGAAAGAGAUUGCGAGAUUGCAUCUCAUUAAUUAGCUCCACCGCAGCUUCAAGGUUCCCAACCUGGCAAAAUCCAUAUACUAGAGUGCUGUAUGUGAUGACGUUAGGAUUCAGGCCCCUUUCAAGCAUUUCUUGGAACAGUAUUUUUGAUUUGUCAACUCUUUUCCCUUUGCAGUAUCCAUUAAUCAAUGUGUUAUAAGAAAUGACAUUAGGUGAGCAGCCUCUUUCAACCAUCAAAUUAAGAACCGCCAUAGCAUCAUCCAUCCUAUUUUGGAAACAAUAACCAUUCAACAAGGCAUUAUAAGUGACACUAUCAGGCAUUUUACCUAAUUGAAUCAUCUGGUCGACUAAGGCCUCGGCCUCUACAAGCAUUCCCUCUUUGCAAUAUGCAUCCACCAGGACAGUGAAGGUUCGAACAUUCGGCAUUACUCUGCUUUGCACCAUAUGACUCUGCAGUCUUCGAGCCUCUGUCAAUUGGCCAGAAUUGCACACUCCUUGAAUGACCGAGGUAUAAGUAACGACGUCUGGUUCAAUUCCUGCCUUCGUCAUCUUCUCCAACAAGACCGUAGCAUCUUUCCAUUGGCCUAGGUUGCAUAAGCAAUGAACCAAGGAGUUAUAAGUGGCUAAAUCGGGUUGGAUUGCUCUGCUUGUCAUCUCUUUCAACAAUGUGAGAGCAUCUUCCAGCUGGCCUACAUUGCACAGACCAUGAAUCAAGGAGUUGUAAGUAACAACAUCUGGUUUGAUCACUUUCCUACUCAUACUUUCAUGGAGUCUCAACGCUUCUGCAAUCAAUCCCUCCUUGCAAAGACUAUCAAUCACUAUGUUGUAUGUGAAGGAACCAAGCCUGCAGCUUCUCUCUUCCCAGUCCCUCAGCAAUUCGAUCGCAAAUUUGGUGUUACCCGCCCUGCAUAACCCCUUCACAACUAUCGCAUACGUGGUCUCAUUAGGUUCGGGGCCGUUUCGUUGCAUAUCAUCGAGGAACCUCAAGGCUUGAUCAGUUUUGCCCUGAAUAAAGAGACCAUCAAUUAGGGUGUUCGAUGCCACCACAUCAAUGUGAAACCCAAGCUUGAAGAUUCUGCCCAGGAUAGACAAACCCAAAUCAACCCGCUUUAACCGGCAGAAGCAAUUCAUCCAAAUGGUCAGCAAGGCAACAUCACCCUCGAUCCCCAAAGAAGGCAGCCGCUCAAUCAACCGGAUCACAGUCGAGUAGUGCUUCAUCCUCACUAUAGCACCCAACAGUAGACUGAAAUCCCCGGAGGAAGGCAAAGGGCUCGCCUUUAUCAUUUUACCGAAGCAACACAGGGCAUCACCCACACUCGUAAACCCACCGCCGCCACCACCACCAGCUCUGCAAUUUCUCCUCACGUAACUCAAGACAUGGUUGGGGUCGUCUAAAUUAGGGUUAGGGGUCGAGGAAAACCUCCGACGACGGUGAGACGAGAAAGGGAGAUGAGAAGGAUAAGGGAGAUAAGGGUGACAGAGAACGGAAAGGGAUGAUGACUCGCCAAAGAUCGCAGCUGGAGCGGGAAGAAGGAGGAAGAUGGAAGAAGCAAGGCAGAGAUUCGUCGGCUUCAUCAGUAGAAGUGAAAAGCUUUAAGCUUAUGGCGCUUCCUCUCGCUCCCUUUCUCAAGCUUCUAUAUAGUCAUCUUGACGGUCGCCAAUUAGAUCCCAAUCCCAAACAUAACAGUGAUACAUUAGCUUAAAAUAUUAAGGGUUAGGAAUUUAGGGAAAUUGCAUUGGUAUCCAUUUUCUUAAAAUAUUAAACUUCAGGAAUUUACACAUGGGGACCUAAUUUGCUUCUUAUCUACAAAAAGCACCCGAAAUAUUAUUCACUUAUAAAAAUCUUUAAAAUUAAGGAUGAUAUAUGAUUCAUUCAUAUUUCUAAAUUCAAUAUUUUCUUUAUUCUUAAAUUUUGAAGAGAAAGUCUAUAUACUAUAUUCACAUCACCAAUAUUUUUUUAUUUUUUUUGAGCAAACACAUCACCAAUAUAGAGGAUUGGUUUUGGAGUGGAUGGUUUCCAUCAUGGAAGGGAUUGAGAACUGUCCACUAAGGGUCGAUUCCGAAAAAUUGAAAUCAAGAAAUGCCCGUUGGUUCCCAAUUGCUCGUGUGCAAGUCAUUAACACCUAAAAAGUGUGUGUAAUUAGGAAAAUCAAAUCAAAUUUUACUUUUCGAAUGAAGAACUACGGUUUCUAGUUCUUUUUUCAUAUUUUAGCUAAGCUUCGGAAAAUAUAACCAUUUUCUUAGACUUCUUGAAUAUUUUUUGAAAUGUAACAUUUUUCGUUAAAUAAAUGGAGUUUAAGGGAAAAAUCCUAACAAGUUAUGACUAGAUUCUAUAGGUAGACUCAUGAACUUUUCAAUUAAGAAAGAGGGCGAGACAACCAUUGGAUUAACUUUUUAAAAUUUUUUAGUUUCUAAUCCUUUUCCUUGGAUCGGCCCUAGAUCGGCCCAUUCCUGUUAGUCCUGGUUCGGUUCCCAAGGAGACUAGGUCGGUCCUUGAUCUUAGAAUUCCUAGACCAAUACUAUGCGGGUCGGUCAUCGGUCCUAAAAGUUUCGGGUUGGUCCAACCCGGACCAACCCUGACUAGAUAUAUAUAUUAUUUAUAAUUUUUUUAUAUAGAGAAAAAUUUAAAAUAAAUAACGUUAACAACAUUAAAUAACUCUUUAAUGAGGAAUUCAAGUAAUUUUAUAUUAUUGUUUAAUAACUUAGAUUUUUAAUAUAUUUUACUAUGUCAAUAGUCAUAAUUUACGAAGAAGGAAAAUGUUUUUGUAAGGAGUCCUCACGGCGUUCAAAAAAGCAUAAACAACUCUUUAUGGCAUCCUCUUUAAUAUCUUAUUUGUCUUCUUAGUAUUCAAUUUGCCAAAAUCGAAAGAAACAAUUUUUCCGCUCGCCACUCGACACUUGCCUCGCUCGCUUUAGGUCAUUCGUGCAACUCACCGUUCGAUGCUCACUUGGCUUGUUGCUACAUGCUCGACAUUCGAUGCUCAUUCUAUUCGAUGCUCACCUCACUUGACCCUCACCGCUUGCCUUUCUUAACUAACCUCGCUCAUCAUCGAAUCCAUUUGGUGGGUAUGGUCCUCGGUUGCCCUUUCAAAUAGUACAAAAAAUGAAAUAAAAAAUUAUUGAUUGGUUCUGGAUUGACUUGGAAAUCAGAUCGAACUAAUUGGGUUAGUCCGGUCCUCAAUCGUUUUUUUAAGAAGUACAAAAAAAAAAAUGAAAUAAAAAAUUAUGGGUUGAUCUCGGGUUGACCCUUGAACUGGACCGAACCCAUUGGGUCGAUUCAGUCCUUAGUCCCAAUAAUUGAGGAUCAGCACUGUGUGGGUUGGUCCUAGGGUUAGGGGGUGGAUUGGCCCAACUAGGAACAUGCUCACCCUACCUUUUCCCCUCUAAAAGUUGAGCUAAGAACGCUUGCUGGCUCUAGGGUUGUUUGACCAACUUAGAGAAAGAGACCACUUUGACAGCCAGACCAUAAUCCUCAAUUGUCGCAACUAAUUCGUGUUUGCCAAAAAUGAAUAUUAAGAUGAUUGGAUUCCAAAAGUACGCCAUCACUUGCAUGAGACUCACUUGAUACUUGACACAAAGAAGAGAUAUAAGGUAAUCAAUCUUUUUUUCCACAUAGCUUUGACCUCUUCGAUCUAAUUUAUCCAUAAUGCCAAAGCAGGAAUGAUUUAAAUAUCUAAUAUUCCCAUUAUAUCCAAAUCACAAAGACGUUUUAAUUUGUCACCAUGGAUUCCAAAUAUGAACAUUGAAAACAUAAGUGAAUGAAGUAGAAGAAAUUAAGAAAGUAUGGAAUAUACUUUCAAUAACCACUAAGAAGGGUUUUAAAUCACACAUACACACAGAUAUACUUAUGAAGUUUGACACAUAAAGGUGGCAUAUACUAUUGGCUCGGGAUCUUAUCCAAUGAAAUAGUAAGUCUUUCUCCAUGUCGCUAAUUGUGGAUGGGUCUGACUUUUUUUUUUUUUUUGCGUGAUGACGAGAAUAAUUGUCCCAUCGUCGCUAGCUACGGGUGGUCCAACCUAUUCUCAACACCAUCUUAGGUAGUUUUCUAAGGAUGUAGCCUGAGUUUAGGCUAUGGGUUGUGUGUACAAAAUGUUAAAGCAAAUAAAAGCAUUCAAGAUAGUAUAUAUCAAAACACUGAUUCAAUAUACAUCCACUUAAUCAUACAUUACUACUUCUCUCUACAAGACAAAUGUAUCAGCAAAUACAUCAUCCCUAACAACUCCCAGUCUGCAUCAACAUUUAAAACAUUAGCAAACUAUCUUCAUUUUCCAUGAGAAUUUGACACGUGCUGCCAUGAAAACCACUUUAGUUGACAAACAAUCAAGUCAUUUCUAGGCCUCAAUCCUCUAAGGUCUAGAACCAAGUCCUAGUCACCAAGUUGUGGUGACCCUCUCAAACAAGUGUCGGGGGAAGGCAUGUUUUGGGAUAGUUUCAUUUUAAUUCAAUAAACCCUAUGAAAGUUCUAUAUAAGGAGCCAACUAGGAACCAUUUUAUGAAACUAGAGAUCUAGAGUCAAUGACUUGAUUAUAUUAGAGAUCUAACUAGUACCAUUUUGGUACCUUAACUUGAUUAUUUGUCAGUUAAAGUGUCAACGUGGCCUUUUACCAAAUUAUGAAUCUUAAGGUUAUCAGUUUUUAAGUGUCCAUACAAUAUUUUUGCAUUUAUUAUGAUCCCAAAAUGUAACCUCAGCAUUCAACUAAAACAGGCAAGUUGAAACUUGGAAAAAACAACAUAGAAUGACCAAUAAGUUAAUCUAAGUGCAUUUGGUUUAGUAUUUUGAAAGCCCAUUAGGCAAAUGCAAAAUAAUUUAGCCUAAAAGGCAUUGGAUAGAUGCAAAGGCCGUUUGGUAAAUUACGCUUUUGAUAAGCAACUUUGAGAGAAAAUACCGAUCAAUAGACAACACAUUUGAAAAGUGCUUUGGUGAUUAAUAUUAGUUUUCUAUACCACCGCCUUGGUGACCGCGAUGGUUUGCGCUCUCUCCCCCUCACGGUUGCUUGGAGUCUUAAGUAGGACGCUGGGAGUGGUGGGUCGUCCCGCUUACGUGUCCCCCCAGGUUUACUUGCCGGCUGCCGGCUGUAUGAGAUUCCUGGGCCACCAAAAAAAAAAUAAUAAUUUUCUAUAUUUUUAUUUGUUUAAAUUUGAAAAAGAAUCAAAUAUAUAUAUAUAAUUGAAAUAAUAAAAGACCAAACCCUUCGCCGGUUCGGCGAAGGGCUACAGCUACCAGCGAGCUAGAUUUGGCGCUGGUGGCCAUCGAUCAAGGUUGCCCAAUGGCGAGGGUUGCCAAUUGGUCGUGCAACCCUGACGAGGCAACCUCUAGCGGCCCUUGCUGGGUUCACACAACCCUCGUUGGAGAUCGACCAACCUCGGGUGACCUUAAUCAAAAGUCGUCGACGCCAAAUCUAUCCCCCCAACAAUCGUAACCCUUCAUUGAACCAGCGAAGGGUUUGAUCCUUUUUUAAUAAAAAAAAUAAUUAGGGAUAAAAUUUGAAAUUUGAAGAGUUGGUGAGGGUAGUUUUGGAAGAAAAAUUGAGUUCAACAUUCGAUCAAAUGAUCAAAUGUUGAAAGCCCAAACUAGUCUCUACUAGCAUUAGACUUUUAGCCUUCCCAAUGCUAGCUUUCAAGAGAAAGUUCACUCAAAAUAAUUACCAAACGGUCUAGCAUUCUCCAAGGGGUUUUGGAUCGCAUAACCAAAUAUAGAAGUUUCAGAAAGUUGAAGGUCUUCAAUGGAGGUUAACUAAAUUUAUACUACUACACCAACAGUCUUAACCGGCAACCACCUCUAUUGGUCACCAGACCACCACUAUCAGCCACAAUCAAAGAGUUGUAGAAAUUUAGAGCGUGGAUAGAAAAAUACAAAUUGAGAUGAAUGCUUCUGUAAAUCCACGCUUAAGCCAUGAACUACUAGUCAUUUCUCCAGGAACUUAUGUUAGCUACCAUUAGGAGUUCAAUGCACAAAACAGAGCAACACAACAAAUAGUGAUGUUAUUCUUGAUUUCAUGUUCGAGUUUCGCAAAACAACAAUGACAUAUGUGAAUCUAAAAUUCAUAUUGAGAUUUAAGAGAUGAUGAACCUUUUCGUCAAUAGAUAUAAUUAACUCUUUCUCAAAUACAUUUCACAGCUUCAUAGACACAUUUCAACAAACCACUUGCAUGCAACGAAAUUACUAAGUCUAAUCAUGGCAUUGAAAUGGUUUCUUGUCCAAAAUUAGCAUUAGAACAACAAUGCCAUCACAAAUCAUUAAAAGAAGUCUCAAAUUAAUUCAAUUCUUGAUGAUUUACAUUUGAACAACAUGAAUAAAUCUAAAUUUUGUGAAUCAUUUAAACAGAGCAAUGAAAUUACGUGCUCACGAAACAAUAUGAAGCUACAAUAUUUGGCCGAAAUUUGAACUUUCCAGCUUGUCUAACCAAAAUAGAGCAAGGCAAAAUCAAUGGUGAAACAACUAUUGGCAAUAAUCAAUGGUAACAAAUCAAAAGUACAUAAUGCCGUAAAUCUAAGUUCAAAUACUUUGUUAUACUUGAUUAGUUCGUCCAUGAUGGGGUGUGAUUAAGACGCACUGGUUCGUCUUGAUAUGUUAUGAUAGAGAGACACCAUUUUGAAAUGGUAUGAAGAAAGUCAUAUAAAUAACUUUUGGAGAUAACCGUUGGUGUAGUUGUUAGAAAGAAUGUUUAGAAAAAAAGUUUUCUCUCUUCUUCUCCUCUCUCCAUCAAGGAACAAAAGGCAUUCCAUUAUUGCUUUGAGAAGACAAUCGGUAUUAACGCAGUGGAAAUUGAAUGUUUUCCUCGUGAUUGUAUUCAGAGCAUCAUGAAGUCUUAUCGUCCGUCGUUGGCUCAUGAUUCACAUUCAUUCCAAGGUAAAUUGUUCAUUGCACAUCGAAGAGGUAAGUCAUUUCUUCCACCAACUUUCCUCCUAUAUUAGUAUUAGAGCCUAUGGUAUGAUUCAUGCCUUGUUUUCCCAUCGAAUUUUCUUGUUUGCUAUUUGAUACGAGGAUCAAGAAGAUGAACUUCACAUCGUUUGGAUGUUUAUUGCUCGAAAAUUGUAACAUGAAUCAUCAAAAACAAACCAAAGUGAAAAACGGGUUUGGAGGUCGUGUACACCUGCACAAUUUUGGCCAUUUUUUGGAAUAUUUUCUUGAUUAAAUUCAAUUUUUGAAUAUACGAGGUAAAAGUACUCGUCGAGAUGAGUUGAAAGGUGGUCUAGCGCCACCAGAAGAUGCUGGAUGCGCCCAUACAUGCGUCGACGAAUCGGUACACGCUGACGUCAUCAAUGACAUUAGCCAAUGGUCGGUAAUCGACAUGUUGAUGUCAUCAAUGAUGUUACCCAACUGGCAACAGUCGGCCGAUCGGCGACUAACCGAUGAUCCAACCUGACUAGAGACCUAAACCGAUUGACUAGUCAAUUGGUCGAAUCAAUCAAAAUGGCCAGGAGCCUUGUUGGCUCGUUGGCAUGUGUGCCACACGUGCCGCGCACUCAGGAGGCACACGUCGACACAUAGGAGAUCCGAUUGGCGCGUGAUGGGUGGCGUUUGGUUCGUAUAGAUAUGCUUUACAUUUUGGUAUAGUUAUUCUACAUGUUUGAGGCUUUUAAAGAAAUAAAAAUUUGUACGAAAUCCUAAGUAUGUGUAUUUUUGAGGUAUAAGUGCAUUAUUUAUUUCUUUUAACCUGUAUUUUCUUAUGGUUUUAGAAAUAUAAAAGCUAGCCUACAUGAAAAUAACCAUAUAUAUGUUAUGAAAAGCUUAGUUCGAUAAUAGCACGUAUAAAAGCUUAGUCCUGAUUCGAAGCAAACUCGAACAAUGGUUGAAGAUCCUUGAUUUUUUUCAUUACGUGUUGAAUUCUGCCUUCGAUUAUAGUUGCUUCAUAAUUGUUUUUUUAUAUAUUGGUUUACAUCAUGCUAUGCCUUUUGAUAUUUAAUAGAAAAGUGUGAAAAUUACAUGGGAUCAUGUGAUUAUUUUUUUAUUAGUGGGAAUUUAUAGGUUGAUAGAAUUCGAAAGAGUUCUCACCUAAAGUGGGCAAAUUAAACUAGUUAAUGAUAGUAGAACAAUCGUACAUAAAAGUGAAUUAGGAAUACAGUGAACUUUCGUUUAUGUGUCUUUUGUUGAAUUAUCAUUAAUUUAAUUUUUCUUUAUUGCAAAUUAAAUAUUUGUGUUAUUAUGAAAAUACGCUAGUAUUGAUUUUGCGUUUAUUAUGUCAAUGCGUUGUGACGAUUAAUUAUGGCUUUGGCAUCUAAGAUCACUGUGAUUGAUCUCGAUAAGGGUGAAAAACUGAAUGGUGAUAAUUAUGAUAUUUCGCACCGAAAGAUUUAGUAUAUCUUUAUGUAGUAAGAUGUUUUAGAAACCCUUAGCCGUAACAUGGAUGAGCCUAAACAUGAAACUUUAGCUCAGCACGGGAGAGAUUAAGAAGCUUAUCAAUUUUGGAAAAAGAAAAAUAAUAUUUCUCACAUCACAUUGUUGAGUUGUAUGCAAGAUAAUUUCAUGUGAAAGUUUAAAAGUUAUGAUUAAACUCAAAUAAUGUAGGUUGCCUUGAAAGAUAAGUUUGAGGCUACGUCUGCUAGUAAAUUAAGGAGACUCACCAUCAAGUUUGACAAAUAUCGAAAGCGUCCAAAUGUAAUGAUAAUACAGUAUUUUUGAAAGAUGUCAAACAUGAUUCGUAAGCUAAAGUUGAUAGGUCUCUCCCUUACUGAUGAACAAUAAGUUCAUGCUGUUGUAAGGUUUCUUCCUAACAGUUAGAAGCAUAUGAGAAUAUCGUCACUUUUGACAAUAUAACGUAUCAUUUGGAAUUAGAGGAUGAAUGUCUAGAGAUUGCGAGAUCCUUUACCCAUGCUUAUAUUGCUGAAUUGAGUUCGUUCAAAACUUCGGGUUUCAAGCGCAAAAGAAACCAUAAAUUCAACAACAAAGGGAAUGAGACUAAUUAGGCACCUAAGAGGGCUAAAACCUUCUAAUGUAAAAACCAUGGUGGGAAAAAGGAUAAAGCCAAGAUGAAGUGCUAUCAUUGUGACAAGAUGGGUCACUUUGCUAGUAAAUUCAUCGAGUAAAAAGAGGUACCUUAAUAUUCUAUUACUUUAAGUAAUACUUUUGUUUUUAAUACUGUAAUGCUUGUUGAAUCACAUCAAAUAUAGACUGUAAACUUAGGAGUAACAGACCAUGUAACUAGAGACUGAGGAUUAUUUGUGGAAUAUCGUCAGCCUAAAAGAAGAUGGACAUACGUUGGGAAUAACUCAAGAGUUGAAGUAAAAGGUAUCGGCAUAUGUAAAUAAAUUUUAUGUGGUGGUUGAAAUUUAUUUUUACAUGAUGUCCUCUAUACUCUAGAGAUUUGAUGAAACUUAGUCUCCAUAAUUGUUCUUCUUAGCCUAGGUUAUCUAUUGAAUUUUUAUGGUGAUUGUAUUGAUAUUUUAUUUGAAACAGUUUAUUAUGAUUUUGGUCACAUAUUGAAUGAUUUUAUGGUGUUAGACAUUGACUAUGAUGUGUACAAUGUUAAUGUUAAUGGUUGUUUUUCUUUAAUUACAUCUUUUAGUAACGUUGAGAUUGAUGCAAGUACUUGGCAUGCUAGAUUAGGUUAUAUUGGGUUACAAAGAAUGCAAAAGUUAGCUAAAUAAGAUCUUUUAGGGUCACUCGUUAAUGUUAAUAUAUUCAUAUGUGACUAUUGUCUAACGAGAAAAGUAACUAAAAAAAAUCAUUCGGUAAAAGAGCUAAAGCCGAACUUUCUUUGCAACUUAUACAUUUUACAUUUGUGGUUCAUUGAAUGUAAUAGCGAGGCAUGAUGCCUUAUAUUUCAUCACUUUUAUAGAUGUCUUCACGCAUUUCAAUUAUAUUUUUCUAAUCUCUCAUAAAUCAGAAAUAUUAGAUUACAUUAGACGAUAUGUAACGUCAGUAGAGAAUCGGUUGAACAAAAUAAUAAAGGGCAUUGAGAACCAAUCUCGGACUUGAGUAUCUAUCUGAGCAAUUCAAGAUUCUUUAUAAUGAAAAAAGAAUUAUAUAACAAUUUAUUAUUCCUGGUACUCUGCAACAAAUUUGGGUUGCCGAGAAAAUGAAUAGAUUCCUAUUGAAAAUUGUUAGGUCUAUGAUAGUGCAAACAAAUCUACCUAUCUCAUAUUAAGAAGAUGCGUUAUUGACCAUUGCUUAUAUAUUUAACCGUGUGCCCUCAUAGUCAGUCACUUCUACCCCUUAUGAAUUAUGGAUUGGUAGGAAACCAAACCUAAGUAAUUUACGUCAUUGGGGGUGUACAGCUUAUGUUCAUAAUUCUUCUCAUAAAUAUGAUAAAUUAAGCUAUAAAUUGAAUAAAUGUAUCUUUAUAAGAUAUUCUAAACACUCCAAAGGAUAUGUUCAUAGGUGAACAUACUGAUGGAAGUAUAACUGAAAUGGAGUUACGAGAUGUCAUGUUAUUGAAGAACGAUUUUCCUAGUUGAGGUGAGAUUGAUAAGAACUUCCAAUUAUAUGGAAUGAAAGACCAUAAUAACACAACCGCUAAUGUUGUCGAGGGAAAUGAAGAUUUACUUCAACAUACAAGACCUAGAGGGAGUGCCGCGUUUUCUAGCAAAUUGAAUUCAAGAGAAGUUAAGUUACGUAAAAAUAAUCAUAAAAGCAAUCCUCGUCGUCGUUUUGAGAUUUAAGGGGAAACUUUAUGAUUAUUCCGUAAGACAAUGCCAAGCCUAAGACUAGUUAAGAGGCUCUCUCAUUCUCUGAUAAAGAAGAAUAGACAAAAACUUUGGAAGAUGAGAUGGAGUUAAUGAGGGUAAACCACAUCUAAAAUUAAGUGAAGGGCGGAUAAAUCCAUUGAAAAGUAUAAGGCUCAUACUCAACAAGAAGGUAUAGAUUAUGAGAAACAUUUUCACCAAUUGUAAGGUUUGCUUCUAUACGCCUUAUUUUAUCCAUCAUUGUACAUUUGGACUUAUAAUUAUAUCAAAUGGAUGUAAAUACAACAUUUCUUAAUGGAGAACUAGAUGAAAAAAAAAUCCAUAUGAAAUAGCUAAUAGGUUUUAUAGCUAAAGGUUAGGAGCAUAAAGUUUGCAAGCUUUAUCGUUCAAUAUAUGGCUUUAAGCAAUCAUCUAGACAGUGACAUCUUUGUUUUCAUCGAGCCAUAAUAUCUUUCGAAUUCACAAUAAUUGAAGAAGAUCAUUGUGUAUAUAUCAAAUGGUUCAAAGAUAAAUUUGUGAUUUUAUCACUUUAUAUGAACGAUAUUCUGUUAGCUGAAAAUGAUAAGGGUUUAGUUAUCAUCAUAAAAGGAUGAUUGUUCUCUAAUUUUGAAAUGAAUGUACUUUAAUUUUGAAAUGAAGGACAUGGGAUAGGUCACUUAUAUAUUGAGAGUUAAGAUCGAAAAAGAUUGAUUAAGAAAACUUCUUACUCCAUUAUAAGAGUCUUAUAUAAUGAAGAUUCUUAAGCGUUUCAAUAUGUAAAUUGUAAUCUCAUUGAUAUCAUUGUCACACAAGGUAAAUGCUUGAGUACUAAGAUUUGUCCUAAGAUUCUAGAAAAAAAGAAAGAAAUGGAAACGGUUCCUUACACUAGCGCGGUUGAAAGUUUGAUGUAUGUUAUGAUGUGUAUUUGACCCAACAUCUGUCAUGUCGUGGGGUUAGUGAGUCAAUAUCUAUUAUCAAUCAAAUUUUGAUCAAGUACACUAGAAAGUAGUGAAGAAGAUCUUAAGAUACUUGAAAAACACUAUAGACUAUCGACUUUAUUAUCAGAGAAUAAUUUACGCUUGUUAGGCUACUCAGAUGCUAGUUGAAAAGGAGACCUAGAUGAACGUAAAUCAAUUUAUGGAUAUGCAUUCUUGUUUAAUGAAUGUGCAAUUUAUUGGAAUAGUAAGAAAUGAACAUGCAUGGCUUUAUCUACGAUAGAGGCAUAAUUUAUUGCGUGCUCUACUACAGUGCAAGAAGUAGUAUAGCUAAAAUAUUUCUUAGAAAAUUUAGUCAUUGUCACUGAGGUUCUAAGACUAAUUACAAUUUAUUAUACUAGUCAAGUAGCUAUUGCCUAUGUGAAAAAUCCCAAGUAUCAUGAUAGGACAAUAAGCACAUUAAUAUAAAAAAACAACUCCAUUAGAGAUAUAAUAGCGCAUAAAGAAGUGAUGCUUCAAUAUAUUUCAACUAAUAUAAUGGUUAUUGAUCCAUUUAUAAAUGCUAUUCCUAGAGACAUCCUCUUAACCCAUAGGAUAUCUCUAGGGUUACAUAGAAUGUGAUAUGUAUUAUUGUAAAUGAUAAUUAGUUUAUGUAUAUAUGCAUUAUACUCAUUUGUCUUUAGUGAUUUGAUGUUUUAUCAAUAAGUACAAAUCCAUAAUAAGACUAGCACGAACACGCAUAUAUUGUUGAAAAAUAUAUCAGUAAGUAAUGAUUAACUUACUCACACGAGAAAUCACAUCUAGUGCUAUAGUUAGCACAUUGAGAUGAGACGUUAUGUACAUAUAAAUACUGAAAUAAAAUAACGCAUCGCCUUAAUUGGAGUCAAGAUGAGAUCUGCGAUUUGUAUGUAAUAAUGCCAAACAUGAUAAUCCCACAAUCUUGUAUGCCUGUAGGAUGUUGAAUGCAAGUACUUAAUUGGGCGAUGUAGAAAUGGAGCUAAUAUAACACUUGAGCUAAACAUGAGUAUGUGAGAAGCGCGUGACUAUACUUAGGCUAAGAUUUAUAUAAUGAAUGUAUUUAAUAAAUAACAUAUGCUCUUAUAGAAAGAGAAAUCCACUAUAGUAUAUUAUUCAUGCUACAUGUGCAUUGUAUGACCAACAAUGAAAGGUGAGUGAAAUUACCCAUAUUUACUCAUCAUAUGAGCCAUUGAGGUAAUUUAUAAUUUACUUUAUUUUGUGUCAUAUGUUACUUAUGACUAUAUUCUUGAAGUGAAAUAUCAAUGUUACUAUUUUAACAUGUUACCGGCGGUCAUGAAUAGAUAUGGAUUUAUGGGAUGUGUCUGGGAAAACAGUUGUUCUAAAAUGGAGAGAAACAUGAGUGCAAAGGAACAUUAUCGUUGUUUUACAUCUACCACAUGUAUUUAUCGAUCGAUCAAUUAUAUCACAUUUUGUGGUCUUAGAUAUAAUUGUAAAUAUAUAAUGUUAUGAGAAUAGUCAAGUAUAACCUUUAAGGGAUAGGUAUGUUUGGACUAAUAUAACAAAAUAUGUCUGGGACACUAUGAGACAUCAAUUGUUCAUUUCUUUUUAGGAUUGUAGCCACUAUGUCAUCCCUAACAAAUGUAUAAUACUCACUGGUCACACGACUUUCUUGCCAAUAUGAAUUGUUUUUAAAGUAAAUGAACAUCGAAUGUCUUAUAUUCUUGAUAUGUCCGAGUGGGAGAUGUUAUAAUUUAUUAGUACAUACACGAUAGGGUGCGACUAAGACGCACUGGUUAGUCUUAAUAUACUAUGAUGAAGAGAUACUCUUUUGAAAGGAUACAAAGUAAGUCAUAUAAAUAACUUAUGGAGAUAACUGUUAGUGUGGUUGGCAGAAAGAAUGUUCUGAAAGAAAGUUUUCUCUCUUCUUUUUCUCUCUCCAUCAAAGAAUGAAAGGCAUUUCAUUACUACUUUAAGAAGAUAAUCGACAUUAAUGCUAUGAAAAUUGAAUGUUUUCCUCGUAAUUGCAUUCGGAGUAUCAUCAAGUCUUAUUAUCUGUCGUUUGCUCGUGAUUCAAUGUUUGUUCCAUGGUAAAUUGUUCAUUGCGCAUUGAAAAUGUUAGUCAUUUCUUCCGUCGACUUUCCUCCCACAUCCUCCAUGAGCAUGUGUCGUACGAUUGACCACACAAGCAAGUGAUGGAUGGUGGUUAGAACAAAACACAAAUUGAAAUUGCGAGUGCACACUUUUAGAGCCCCGAUUAAAUAACCUUAUAUUCAAGCUCCAUCCAUAACUAGAUACAUACCGAUUUUUAUCAACGCAUACUGCCUUUUGGCUAUAUAUCAAGUAACCAGAUAUUUUUUUUUAUAAUAAUUUUCAAGGAAUACCUAUUGUGCAUUGAAGAUAAGAAAAUUUCUUGUGAGCAUAUUUGCCUAGUAUCCAUCGACAUAGUUAAUAACGUAAUCCUACAAAUAAAUCUUUGGGCUAUUUCUUUAGAUGUAUCAUCUAUUUCGUGAGCUCCAACAAGGGUUCUCAUGUGAUGCAUGUGAAUGCAAUGAUUUAUGUAAAUUUGUGAGUUCUAGUCAAGCUAAGAUAGAAUAGGUUAAAUGCUAUCCAAUAUAGGAUGUAAAAAGAAGAAACAAGCAUUAAACGAAUAAGCAAAGGAAUCAGGAAUCUUUUUGAUUAAGUUGUCUAGAAUUGUUGUGGUUAAUGAAAGAUAACUGCAAAGAAAUAGACGGCCCGUAAAUGAGAGUACCGGACGAAAAAAGGAUAGGAGCAACAUCGGUGACGUACACAUGAAUAUUGAGGGACAACUGAAACAUGGCUAGACCCUCAAUAAUUCCAAAAAAGAAGAAUUAGGAUUAUCAAUGAUUCGUGGGAGAGAGCGACGAAUUUGUGUAUGCUCAAAUUGUACAGUUAUGUGCAACUGUUGCUCAAAUAGUAAAAAGGACACGUUAGCCAUAGAAAAAAGGACAAAUGCAAACUAAAGAAAUACUUUGAAUUACUUAAACAGAUCAAAUUGCAUAUCUAGCCCUCAGCAAAAUAUAAAAUUGCAUUGUUUCCAUUCUAUAAACAAAUAGUUAGAAGCUUUUAAGAUUGUUUAUGCAUUGGUACCAUGGAAGAAAGCUUGAGAUACUAAUCAUAGAAGAAAACCUAUUGGGUACAACUGCUAUAAAUAGUCAGGACUUGAGCCUAUCGAGGUACAAAGUUGGGUUGAGAGAAAAAUUAAGGUAUAUCACAUAAUGGAUACUAAUAAUGCUACUAUUGUCCCUCUUGAUGUUCAAUUUUGUCAAAGGUGCCCCGAACAAUGGCAUAGUCCAUUGGGCUUCCAAUACUGGUUCCCAUUGAAGUGGUGAUCCUUAUGCAAACAGUGUGGCUUAUGCCCUCGAGGACACGACGACCGUGAUGUCAAAUCACAUGGACUAAAACUACUCCACUGCAUCUCCUUAUCCCGCAGCAACUGCCUAUGGUCACGCUUUAGCCAAGCACUUUCUUAUAGCCACUGUGGCUGUUAAAUCCUAAAUACUGGCAAUAUGUCCAAAUAGUCAGGGCGCUCAAGUCGAGCUUGAAGAUUGUAGAAUGAGGUACGAAAACUGCUGGUUCAGUAAUUUGGCUCCAAACAUAGAGAACCUUGUUUGAAUGGUAACGGCACUGGGAUGUGCGUUUCCAGUAUUUGCGUACGGAUUUUGCUAACAGAAAUCACAAUGACUUUGUCCCUAGUAUUUGCAUAAAGGCUAAAAGAAAUGGUAACGAUUUUGCUAAAGCCGCUUGUGAAUUUGACAUAUACGUUGAACUCGAAGUACAACUCCCUGUUGAAAUUCCAAAAGAAAUCACAAUGACUUUGUUCCUAGUAUUUGCAUACGGAUCACUACUUGAAAAUCAUUAAGGAGGUCGAGAACAUAUUUACAGCAUACAAGACAGAUACCACGUGAGGAUUCAGUCUUUUCGUUGCCAAGAAAAUAUUUCCAAGAAGCCAAAUCAGCAAAACAGAAACUAUGUCAAAUCAAUUACUGGUCAUACCACAUAAGGGUCAUCGGCAUAAACCAAAAUAAGUACAGAGGAUGAGCUAAUGCAUGAAAAAGAAAAUGGACUUAUCAGCAUAAGAUUGAACCAAACCAGCAUCUACUAAUGCAGCAGGAGAUACUUAAGAAACCAAUUUUCUCUGAAGAUUUUACUUUUCAUCGUAAAAGUGGCCAAUUUUCUCUGAAGAUUUUACUUUUCAUCGUAAAAGUGGCCUUGCUUCAGUUGAUAAGCCAAUGAACCUGCAUUGUCAAAUCAGGAAACGGGCAAAAGAGACAGCCAAGGAGUUGAUCCUCUUGAGAUAUAUACACAACUUCAAUUUGAACCUUUUGCUUGACAAGUUAUUUUCUCUGAGUUCAAUUGAUCAUGUCUGUCAUGGUAUCCACGCGUGAACUUAGCUCAAAAACUCAUCUCUGAAAUGCUUGCAUGCUACCAUGAUUGGGUCAGCAAACAAAGAGUAGAGGGCAUGCCGAGAGGCAGAUUGUCCAGGGAAAUCCUACUGUUGUAAGUGAGACACUUAAAAACAAACAGAAAAAUGUGCUCCCAAGUCAGUGAUUAAGACAGACAAAUUUGGCAAGGAAUGUACCUCUAUUGGUCGGGAAAGUAAUUCAAUUGAUGCAGUGCAAAAGAUGAUGGAAUUUACAUCAUCUGGGCCUGACUGCGAUGAAGUUGAUAGUUGCUUGCUCAAGGCGGCUAGCAUUGUUUGUCAACGGCAUUCAUGUUCACCCAUCAUCAGAUGCUUUUCAGAAAAUCCCUCGCAGUGCAAAGGGGAAGAUACUUCAAGUAGCUUUCAUACACUUGUAACCACGUUCCUUAGUCAGCAAGUCGUCCCUCAAACUUCGCUGUUAUUUGCAUGUAAGAAGAAGAGCAAAUAAACCAAAUAUAUAAUCGACCUGUGGUGAUAAUCUGAUACACAGCUUGACCCAAAUAUACUCCACUGCCGAUUCAAACACCAUCCACUUCAAGGUAUGCCUCUUCUUUGAAAUAUCUAUGGUAAAUAUGACAUUGAAAGGAUCAGAUUGUGAAAAAAGAAAGUGUAUAACAGAAAACUAGGAUCUCUCUCUCAAAGCACAUACAACAUAGGCUAAUCAGGAUUUAUGGCAUAAUAUACUUCAUUAAAUAGUAAAGUUAUCGCUAUUAACAUCUAUUUAAUACAAUAUCAUCCUCAGACUGCUUGAUCAUUUGUAUGAAUUUCCCCUGUUUGAAAAACAUUAGGCACCAAAAGCACUAACAGAUGAGUACACAUAAUAGUUCAAUACAGAGAUUUCAUACCGAACCUAGAUAUAUGAGGAUAAAAAUCCACCUUAUACCCCUCCAAAUAUUUGCCAUCUUGGGCGGUUUGAUUCAGUGAAUUGUCUCUCAGAUUUGAAACAACUUCAUCAAUGGGACAUGGGACACAAUGAGAAGAUGUUUGGAAGAAAACUUGGCAUUAAUCUGAUUUACUCUUCAUCACAUUUCAGAUGAAAACUUGGACAGAACUCAGAGACAAUGGAUAGUUCUCCUAGUAAAGGAAGAAGUUCCAUUUAUCAUGAGAUAUUUGAUCCACAACUCCAUUGUCGCUACAUCUGCAGAAAAACCCCUUUCAACCAUUUCAUUGACAAGUUGUGCUGCUCUAGUAUUUUCGUUAUUUCUUAGUAGUCCUUGGAUCAUUGUGUUGUAAGUGACACCAUCUGGAAAGCAUCCAUUUUCUUCCAUCUCCUUUAGAAGCAGAUAUGCUUCCUCCGUACGUCCUCCUUUGCACAACUCAUGCAUGAGAAUGUUAUAUGUCCACACGUUAGGUUGCAAGCCUUGAGCAUGCAAACAAUCAAACAGCCCCUUUGCACCGUCGAGUUUUCCAGCAUUACACGUGCCAUUUAUUAUCUUUCGAAGCAAUGUCAUGGCCUUGUCGAUCUGUCGCGUUUUACACAAGCCAUCCAGGAAAGAAUUCAAGGUAUAAUGACUUAGAUACAGAUCACGAGAUUGCAUCUCGUUAAUUAGCUCCCCCGCAGCUUCAAGGUUCCCAACCUGGCAAUAUCCAUUUAUGAGAGUGUUGUAUGUGAUGACAUCAGGAUUCAAGCCCCUUUCAAGCAUUUCUUGGAACAGUAUUUUUGAUUUGUCAAUUCUUUUCGCUUUGCAGUAUCCGUUAAUCAACGUGUUAUAAGUAACAACAUUAGGUGAGCAGCCUCUUUCAACCAUCAAAUUUAGAACCACCAGAGCAUCAUCCAUCCUAUUUUGCAAACAAUAACCAUUCAACAAUGCAUUAUGAGUGACGCUAUUAGGCAUUUUACCUAAUUGAAUCAUCCGGUUGAUUAUGGCCUCUGCCUCUACAAGCAUUCCCUCUUUACAAUGUGCAUCCACCAAGAUAGUGAAGGUUUGAACAUUCGGCAUGACUCUGCUUUGCACCAUAUGACUCAGCAGUCUUUGGGCCUCUUUCAAUUGGCCGGAAUUGCACACUCCUUGAAUGACAGAGGUAUAAGUAAUGACGUCUGGUUCAACUCCUGCCUUCAUCAUCUUCUCCAACAAGACCGUAGCAUCUUUCCAUUGGCCUAGGUUGCAUAAGUAAUGAACCAAGGAGUUAUAAGUGAAUAUGUCGGGUUGUAAGCCUCCGCUUGUCAUCUCUUUCAACAAUACGAGAGCAUCUUCCAUCUGGCCUACAUUGCACAGACCGUGGAUCAAGGAGGUAUAAGUAACAACAUCUGGUUUGAUACCUUUCUUACUCAUGCUUUCAUGGAGUCUCAAGGCCUCUGCGAUCAAUCCCCCCUUGCAAAGACUAUCAAUUACUAUGUUGUACGUGAAGGAAUUGAUCCUGCAGCUUCUCUCUUCCCAGUCCCUUAGCAAUUCGAUCGCCAAACUGGUGUUACCUGCCCUGCAUAACCCCUUGGCGAUUAUCGCAUACGUGGUCUCACUAGGUUCGGGACCAUUUCGUCCCAUAUCAUCGAGGAACCUCAAGGCUUGAUCAGUUUUGCGCUGAAUAAAGAGACCAUCAAUUAGGGUGUUCCGCGUCACCACAGUGAUGGGAAACCCAAGCUUGAAGAUUCUGCCGAGGAUAGACAAACCCAAAUCAACCCGCCUUAACCGGCAGAAGCAAUUCGUCCAAAUGGUCAGCAAGGCAACAUCAUCCUCGAUCCCCAAAGAAGGCAGCCGCUCAAUCAAGCGGAUGGCAGUCGAGUAGUGCUUCAUCCUCACUAUAGCACCCAGCAGUAGACUGAAAUCCCCGGAGGAAGGCAAAGGGCUCGCCUUCAUCAUUUUACCGAAGCAACACAGGGCAUCACCGACACUCGUAAACCCACCACCACCAGCUCUGCAAUUUCUCCUCACGUAACUCAAGAGCCGGUUUGGGUCGUGUAAAUUAGGGUUAGGGCUGGAAGAAAACCUCCGACGACGAAGGCAAACCGAGAAAGGAUGAGAGAGAAAGAGAAUGGAAAGGGAUGAGGACUCGCAGGAGAUGGCAGCUGGACCCCGAAGCAGAAGGAAGAAGGAAUGAGCAGGGCAGAGAGUCGCGCGCUCCAUCAGCUUGAUGCUGAUGAAUUGUGAAAACUGCAGAGCUCGACAGGUCUUCGAGUUUUUAGUCGAAUUCGGAAGUCAUUCUCCAUUUCCCAAAAUAUAAUGGAGGGCGGCUGUUGAGAGAGCUAACUGGCCGUCAGUAUCCAUGCUUGAAAAGAGGCUUAGAUAUAUUCUCAUCCUGGAGGGAUUGGUUCCUAACAAAAACAAGAGCGAGAUUUUUAUUGCAGGUGGUGACCUUUCUAUUCGAAACAGAAUCCGGUCGGCAUUUGAUUUUAAGGAAGGGAAACUCCCUGCUAUCAUAUCUUCCAGAUUGAAUAAGGGGGAUUAUAUUGCAUUGACGGAGCGUAUUACGGCUAGGAUUCAAUCCUGGGCGCAUCGUUUCCUGUCCUUUGCAGGGAGACUGCAGCUGAUUCGGUCGGUUCUUUAUUCGAUUCAAUCAUUCUGGACAAGUGUCUUUAUGCUUCCCGCUUCGAUUUUGUCGGACAUCGAGAGAAUUAUGAGGCAAUUUUUAUGGAAGGGAACGGCUCUUGGCCGUGGAAGAGCAAAAGUAGCGUGGGAGGAUGUAUGUCUUCCGAAACUUAAAGGGGGUCUUGGCAUUAGGAAUAUCAGAGAUUGCAACAAAGCCUCUAUGCUCAAAUUCAUAUGGAUCCUCUUCUCGGAUAAGGAAUCGAUGUGGUGCCGGUGGAUUCAUUCCAUUUUCUUGACAAGGAAGAAUUUUUGGUUUUCAUCUCAACCUGCGACUUGCUCCUGGGCGUGGAAGAAAAUCCUCCAGCUUAGAAAGCACUUCAGAACUUUGUUUAGGUGGAAAAUUGGUAAUGGGCUAUCGGUAUCCUUAUGGCAUGAUUACUGGCUUCCAUGUGGCCCUCUUGAUGGAUUCGUUCCGCCCUCGUUUAGGGACAAUAUGCGGCUCCCUGAUAAUGCAGUAGUUGCUGACUUAUACACCCCAUUAGGCGACUCAUUCUCUUGGAUAUUAAUCAGAUGGGGUGUAGCUUUACCAACUCUGGAGGCUUAUAAUGACAAGUUUAUUUGGUGUGGCGAUCCAUCAGCCUCCUUCUCGGUCGCAUCCGCAUGGAAUGCCAUUAGAACCAAGAGAGAUCGGGUGGAUUGGGCUUCUUUGAUUUGGGAUAUCGAUAUAGUCCCGCGCCAUCAGUUUAUUAUGUGGCUUAUAUCUAGAAACCGUCUUCCUACUCAGGUGAUGUUGUUAAAUCAAGGUCGAAUUGAUUUUAAUCUAUGUGCCUUUUGUAAUGAAGUACCGGACUCAAUCGAACACCUAUUCUUCCGGUGUCGCAUCUCGGCCUCGUUGGCCUUCUUUUGGGCGGCCAGAUGUAACUUGCCAUGGAUGAAUAGAUGUUGGAGAGAGGCGCUCACUUGGGCCAGGAAAUUCCUCAUGGGGAAGGAUUUUUACCACAGGAUAGUUCGAUUCUCUUUCGGUGCUUUGUGCCAUCUCAUUUGGAAGAAGAGGAAUGCGAUUAUCUUCGGGGGUGAAUCCUUGGUGGUCCCUGCCCUUAAAAAUCACCUAAUCAAGGUGGUUAAGGACAAAGCACUCACAUUCACGGAAGUUCUUCCUUCUCCGAGGAACAGAAGAUUGCAAAGGGGGUGGGGAUUCCACCCCAUGAUCUUUUCCUCUGUAGCUAUUCCUCCUUAGGUUGCUGUUGUUUCGGUCUGCUCUUGUUCUUGUAGUUGCAGGUUCCUUCCUCCUCCGUUCUCCGCUUUCAGCUUUGAGGGCUUGAGGGCUGGGGAGGCUACGGAUUCCUGUUGUUACGUCUUGUUUGUUGGCUUCAUAGCUUUUGUGUUCUUGCUGGCGCCCUCGGGCUUUUUAUCGGAUCCCCGUCACUCUUGCUCCUUUGUUAAGAGUGCUUGUAUGGAUCCGAUCUUUUGUACUUUUGUCCAUUCUCAUUAAUAUUAUUACCUUUACCAAAAAAAAAAAAAAUGGAGGGAGAUAUGUAAUAUUCAGUUCAUUUGAAAAGAAAGGGGGUAACCACACUGAAGUUACUUCUUUUGAUGUGAUUGAGUCAUUCGACAUUUACAUCAUAAGUAAUACCAUAUUUUGAUGUCCAAUUAGGCCAUCCAAAUUAUUUUAAAAUAGAGUUAUUAUUAUAAAGAACCCAAAAUUAAUAUAUUUACGAUCAAAAUUAGUGCAUAUAUAACAAAUUUACCAUUUAUUUUAGAUUUUACAGUUAAAUUACUGAGUUAGAUAACAUUUAACAAUUGAUGAAUGUACUAGUUUGAGAUUUUACCUUCCGUUUAUCGCAAAUAUACCGGCUUGAAAUUUUUUGUAAUAUUAAUCCAAUUAAACGGGGAGUAAAUUCACAUGUGUACUAAUUCUGAGUUUAUUGGUAAAUUUAUCAUAUAUGUAUUACUUUGAAAUUUAUCGUGAUAUUAAUCCUUCAAAAUAUUAAAUGUUAUCCUCUGCUAGUGAAAUUUACUACCAUGAAUGACAAUCUAAAAAUACUAAAGUUGAAUGGGAAAUAACUUUUGUACCUUCAAUCACUUUAAACAGACAUUCACGUUCACAUAUGCAUCCUCUCUUAAGUAAAUAUGGGUAGGUAGGAUACCGGAGGGAUCAGGGAUCAGGUUGUGUUAGGAAGAGAGCAAAAACGAAAAUCAGUAUCUCUCCCUCAAAGCACAUACACAAUAGGCUAAUCAGGAUUUAUGACCUCAACAUAAAUUUAAAAAAAAAAAAAGAUUUUUCUGCAUAGCUAACUUCAAUAUUAACAUUUAUUUAAUUUAAGAGCAUCCUCACACCGCUUGAUUGUUUAAAUGAAGCAUAAACUGACGGGUACAUGUACCAUGUAUGAACAGGGAUUUCUUGUAGAACCUAAGUACACGAGAAACAAAACCCACCUGCGACCACUCCAAAAAUCCUCAUAAUGAAGCAAGAGAAGAUCACCCAAACUUAAAACAACUCCGUUAAUGGGACAUGGGACUCAAUGAGAUGAUUUGUGGAAUAAAACUUGCCCUCAGUCGAGUUUACUCUUCAUCACUUUUCAGAUGGGAAGAGUGGACAGACCUCAAAAAAAAUUGGAUAGCUCAACCAGAAAAGGGAGAAGUUCUGUUUGUCACCAGAUAUUUAACCGACUACUCCAUCAUUGCCAUACUUGCAGAAAAACCCCUUUCAACCAUUUCACUGACAGCUUAUGCUGCUUUCGUGCCUUCCUUUUUUCCUAGUACUCCUUGGAUUAUGAUGUGAAGAGAGACGCCAUCUGGAAAGCAUCCAAUACUUUCCAUCUCCUUUAGCAGCUGAUAUGCCUCCUCCGCACAUCCUCCUUCGCACAAUCUACACAUGACAAUGCUAUACAUUCACACGUCAGGUUCUAGCCUCAAGCAUGCAAACAAUUAAACAACCCCAUAGCAUCGUAAAGCUUCCCGGAAUUACACAUGCCUUAUAUUAGAAUAGUGUAUGUCAUAAUAUCCGGCGUGAAUUUGGAGUCUUUCCUCUUUCGAAGCAAUAUUAGCCUAGCAUACUCGGUCAAUGGGUCGAGCAAGCAUCUUCACCAAUAGUCAUUGUAUGUUCAUGUUCCAUCCAUAAAAUGGUGGAACCUAUUUGCAUCCCUUAAAGACUAUAGAUCUUCCAGUUGCCAUGGGGAUAUAUUUGAUCGCAAAAUGACAAUCUCCGCAAAUGCGAAAAUGGUGGAACUUGUUUGCAUCCCUUAUGACUGAAGCGUCCAUGUGGUAAACAAGUUCAUGAGAAGAUAAGCAGUGAUUUCUCUAAUUUCGUUUUCUUUUCUUUGUUGUGAUGCUUUGUUAAUGUUGACGAGAUAUCAUGUGAAUCAUUUCCUAAAUUUGACAGAAGGACAAUAGAAGUACUAAAAGUUAUAUAUGACGCUCAUUUUAGAACUUGCCAAAGAAUGAACUUGUAAACCACCAACUGGACAAAUCACCCUGCUCAGCUGUAUCCACAAGUUCGCUUGCAGUUCCGAACUUCACGACAGAAACAACGGAAACCUAGAUUAUGUACUUUGAGAUCAGAUUCUUUGAUUAGUGAUAAGAUUCUCUUCUAGACAAACGUUGUGCGAUAGGCUAAGUGUACGUGCGACCCCUUUUAACUAGGCCGUUGGCCCAAAAGGAAAGUGGACCAGAAUUUCUUGAUCUCAGCCUAACCUAGGUCCCUGGAUUCUAUUAGAUAAGCAACACUGGCCUAAGUUCGACCAAGAAAUGGUACUGCAAUUAGAAAAUUGUUAGUUCUAGAUUCAGAACAUGUUCCGCAGAAGACCAAUUACUCUCGUGAGCUUGAUUCCACUUUUCCGGCUCAUCUCUUGUGAAGAGUCCGUCACUAAUGGACAACCCGAAAUUUAAAGCCAAAUUUGCUAUAGAGCGUCUCAGUCACAUUGCAACAGGGUGUAAACGGAAAUACCCUGCAAAAUUCCAUGUUUGCUAUAAACAAUGACCAAUGCCUCUCCAAGUGUACGAAUUCCAGAUGAAUCGUAGGCAAGUAUUGCCAUUCUAAAAUUACCUUACAGCAUAGAAUCAAGCAUCACAUAUGGUUAAAACGAUCAAAUGCCAUCAUCAAGGUUGCCUCCAGAGUGCAUCUGGGAGAGUUAUUUCCAUGCCUAUUGGUAUUUUACCAGGUCAAUUGCAAGCAAUAUUGUGUCCUCUCCCAUCAAUCGUAAGACCAGUCUCUAAAACACUUGCACCCUACUAUGAUUGUGUCAGGAAACGAAGAGUAGAGGGCGUGACGAGAGGUAGAUUGUCCGGACAAAUCCUGCUGUGGAAAGUGAAACACACAAAAACAAUCAGAAUAAAACAUGUUCCUAACUCAGUAGCUGAAACAGUUAAGCAUGGCAAGGAGUAUAUCUCCAUCGAUAGCCAACCUAUUCACUGGGAAAGUAAUUCGAUUCAACGGAAAAGACAUUGUAAAGUUACAUCAUCUGGGCCUGUGAUCAAGUUUAUUGGUGUCGCUCUAGAUGUCUACUGGGUUGGGCAUUGGGAAUGUCUGUCAACGUCAAUCAUGUUCACCCAUCAGCAGACACUUUCAAGAAAUUUUUUUGCAGUUCAGAGGAAAAGAUACUGCAGGCAGUUUUCAUACACAUCCAGCCAUGUUCAGGAUGCCGUCUCCUCCAAACUUGGCUAUUGUUUGCAUGUAAGAAGCAGGCAAAUAACCCAAAUACUGAUCAACAUACAUUGAUAAUAUGAGUACCCAGCUCGCCACAAAUAUUUUCCACUAUCGAUUUAAAGUGCCCAUCAUCAUCAUAAAAUAUCAUCCCCUUCCACGUAUGCAUCUUCUUUGAAGUAACUAUAAUAAAUUCGACAUGUAGGGAUCAGACUGUGUUAGGAAAAGAGGGAAAGAAAUUAGUACCCCUCUCAAAGCACUAGGAUCAGAUUAUGUCAGGAUAUAUGACAUUAUUUUUUCAGGCCCAACCGCUCCACCCCCCGCGGGCGGCGGCGGCCCUCUUCUGAAAUUUUUUUGAUUUCUUUAGUUCCAUUUUCAGGAAGAGUUCCAUGCUGUUUCUGCUCAAUGACUGAAUUACAUAAGUCUAGCACAUAGUAAAGUUAUUGCUACUAACAUCUAUUUAAUUCAAAAGCAUGCUCACACUGCUUGAUCAUUUGUACAAAUUUCAUCUGUUUGAUUAAUAUUAGACACAAGAAGCUCUAAUGGAGAGAAUAUACCAUUUAAAUACAGAUAUCACUUACAGAACCUAGGUACACGAGAAACAAAAUCCACCUUCUACCCCUCCAAAACCCUUAUGUGUUAGCUAGCGAAAAAAUCUCCUAGAUUGAAAAGUCUACUUCUUUAAUGGUAAAUGGGACUCGACAAGAUGAUGUGGGGAAGAAAACUUGCCAUUGAUCUAGUUUACUCUUCAUCACAUUUCAGCUGAAAAUGUGGACAUAUCUCAAAGACAAUGGAGAGUUCAGAUAGAAAAGGAAGAAGUUCCAUCCAUCACAAGAUACUUAACCCACAACUCUGCUGUCCCCACAUUUGCAGAAAACCCCCUUUCGACCAUUUCACCGACAAGUUGUGCUGCUCUCAUGUUUUCUUUAUUUCUUAGAAGCUCUUGGAUUAUUGUGUUAUAAGUGACACCAUUUGGAAAGCAUCCAUUUCCUUCAAUCUCUUUUAGCAGCUGAUAUGCUUCCUCCAUGCGACCUCCUUUGCACAACCCACGGAUAACAAUAUUAUAGGUCCACACGCCAGGUUGCAAGCCUCGAGCAUGCAAACAAUUAAACAGCCCCUUUGCAUCGUCAAGCUUUCCAGCAUUACACAUGCCAUGUGUUAGGAUAUUGUAAGUCACAAUGUUAAAGGACAAAUUUGGAAUCUUCCAUCUUUCAAAGCAAUAUAUUAUGGCCUUGUCAAUCUGCUGUGUUUUACACAAGUCAUCGAGUAAAGCACUCAAGGUAUAAUGAUUUGGAGAUAGAUUGUGAGACUGCAUCUCAUUAAUUAGCUCCACCGCGGCUUCAAGGUUCCCAACCUUGCAUAAUCCGUCCAUGAGAGUGCUGUAUGUUAUGACACCAGGAAUCAGACCCCUUUGGAGCAUUUCUUGGAAAAGCAUCUUUGACUUGUCCAUUCUUUUUGCUUUGCAGUAUCCGUUAAUCAAUGUGUUAUAAGUAACAACAUCAGGUGAGCAGCCUCUUUCAACCAUCAAAUUAAGCACUUCCAUUGCAUCUUUCAUCCUAUUUUGCAAACAAUGACCAUUCAUCAUUGUACUAUAAAUGAAAUUAUGAGGCAUUUUACCUAAUUGAAUCAUCUGGUUGAUUAUGGCCUCUGCCUCUACAAGCAUUCCCUCUUUACAAUGUGCAUCCACCAAGAUAGUGAAGGUUUGAACAUUCGGCAUGACUCUGCUUCGCACCAUAUGACUCAGCAGUCUUCGAGCCUCUUCCAAAUGGCCGGAAUUGCAAACUCCUUGAAUGACGGAGGUAUAAGUAAUGACGUUCGGUUCAAUUCCUGCCUUCAUCAUCUCCUCCAACAAGACCGUAACAUCUUUCCAUUGGCCUCGGUUGCAUAAGCAUUGAACCAAGGAGCUAUAAGUGAAUAUGUCAGGUUGGAUGCCUCUGCUCGUCAUCUCUUUCAACAAUACGAGAGCAUCUUCCAUCUGGCCUACAUUGCACAUACUGUGGAUCAAGGAGCUAUAAGUAACAACAUCUGGUUCGAUGCCUUUUCUACUCAAACUUUCGUGGAGUCUCAAGGCCUCAGUGAUCAAUCCCUCCUUGCAAAGACCAUCAAUUACUAUGUUGUAUGUGAAAGAAUCGAGUCUGCAGCUUCUCUCUUCCCAGUCCCUCAGCAAUUUAAUCGCCAAUCUAGUGUUACCCACCCUGCAUAAACCCUUUGCGAUUAUUGCAUACGUGGUCUCAUCAGGUUCGGGGCCAUUUCGUCCCAUAUCAUCGAGGAACCUCAGUGCUUGAUCAGUUUUGCCCUGAAUAAAAAGACCAUCAAUUAAAGGUACUCGAUGCCACCACAGUGACGGGAAACCCAAGCUUCAAGAUUCUGCCCAGGAUAGACAAACCCAAAUCGAUCCGCUUUAACCGACAGAAGCAAUUCAACAAAAUAUUCAGCCAAAAAUGAUUAUCUUCAACUCCUAUAGAAUGCAGCUGCUCAAUCAAGCGGAUGGCAAUCAAGGAGUGCUUCAUCCUCACUACAGUACCCAACAGAAGACUAAAAUCCCUGGGGGAAGGCAAAGGGUCCGUCUUCAUCAUUGCACCGAAGCAACGCUGGGCAUUGCCGACGCCCGAAACCACACCACCAUUCCUGCACAUUUUCCUCACGUGACCCCAGACCUGGUCCGGGUCGUCUGAAUUAGGAUGGAAUGGGAUGAUGGCUGGCUGGAGAUCGCAUGAAGAAGGAGGAAGAUGGAAGAAGUAGGGCAGCGGAGACUCGUCGGCUUCAUUGCUCUGGGGUCUCUCUCUCUCUCGAACCACGAGAGUUUCUCCCGAUGCGACGGUAGUAGCUGAAAAAUUACAGAGAAUAUGAAAUUCAAUUUAUUUAAAAAUAGAUAACACCACCGAUGGUCCGUGAAUUUUCGCCUAAUACCCAAUUAAAUCAUCGAUUAUUAUAUGCAAUGUCAUACUCGCCCUUUCCACUGGUUUAACUAAGUGCUUGAACUAUUUUAAAACAUUUGACAAUAUUAUAUGUAAUGUCAAAUAAGCAUUUAAUCAGAUUUACUAAAAUAGACAUCAAUUUCAAUCGGUAAUUUCGGACUGGAAAAAUCAAUACACAUACCUUCCUUCUUCUUUUUUUGGCUCAAUCACUUUAAGCAGACAUUCUGAUUCACUUUACUCAUUUCGAUAGAAGACAUUUUGAUUCACUUUAUUCCACCUUAAGUAGACAUUCUGAUUCACUUUACUGAAGAAUAAGGAGAGCCAUUAACAACAAUUAUGGAUGUUUUAAAGUUGACCCUUCAUUCUCAACUUAACAUGAUCUAAUGGAAAAUUUAAGAGAGAAGAUGACAUUUUUGUGUUGAACGAAUGGCUCUUUACUAAUUUGGAGUCUUUUUCAAAACAAGGAUCGCAUUGACAUUAAAAAGAAAUAAUUUAAAGACCCAAUUGAGCUAAUUUAAAGUUCAUGGAUGACUUCAUACAUUAGACAAAGUUGAAAAACCUAACUACACCUAUUAAAAAUUUUGGGAAGACAUGGACAUUCUGCAUAUUGAACAAAAAUCCAUGGAGCUAUUAGUGUCAUUGUCACAAUACGAGAAUAAUCCUACUAGCAAUUAUGUACCCUUUUCAUUUGCCUUUUAUUAAAUAUUUGGUCAAUUAAUCAAAUAGAGUAGCUAAAAAAACUUCAAAAGAAAGGAAAAUGAGAGAAAUCGCUUCUCAUUGUCUCCAUUGACUUUUUAACACAAAGCAACUUUAAGAUAAAAUUCCAAAUAAAAACCUGACGUGUUUUUAUUUUCUCAAAUAAGGCCCAGAGUAAACCUUGUUUCAAACAACGACAUGAAGUGCCAUCAUUUUUUCAAGUAAGCGCUUAAAGUAAAUCUUAUUUCAAACAAUGGCCUGAAAUAAUUAUAUCUAUUUCAAGGCCUGCCUUUCCGACUAGUCAAGAGCAUUUUAGUCAUUUACCUUUUUUAUUGAAUAUUUUCCUUUCUUAUUUCAUUUUCCCUUUUUCCUUACCUUUUUUCCUUUUUCUAGUUUUUCUGUCUUCAUUGCUGCCAGUGGCUAUGAUGAUGCUGGAAAGGGUUGGGCAAGGAUUGCCCUUGCUGGUUGCUAGUAAGGGCCCCUCAUCGGCCACAAGCGAGGCCACCCACACUAGAUUUAGCGAGGGUCGGCUUGACCUAGGGCGACGAGGGCUCAACGACCCUCACCAGCCGCUAGCGCUAAUGGCCAAUGAGGGUUGCCAAGCCCUCGUUGGCCCUAGGCAAGGCUGACCUUCGCCACAUUUGGCUAGGGUGACCUUGAGCACGGCUAGCGAGGUUAGCAUAUCCCUUGCCAGCCCUUACCAACGGUUGACAAGACUGGUCACGCUCUUGCCAACCCUUACCAACGACCACCCUUUUCCGGCGGCCACUCACCCUCGUCAGAUAAAAAAAGAAGUGAAAAAAGGACAAAAAAGAAAAGAAUAAAAAAUAAUCUAAAAUUAAAAUUGUAAUUGGUCAAAAACACCCUUAACUAGUCAAAAUGUUUAGUCAGCCGGAGACUGAUGAGGUCAAGCUCUUAUUUGCAACAAUCAUAGCCACUUUAUGUCUUUAUUUGAAAUAAUCAUGAUUAUUUUAAACAUUUAUUUGACACAAGGUUCACUUCGAGCCAUUAUUUGAAAUUUUCCCCAACCUUGAUGACUGAAACAUCAAUAUUAUCUUGAAUAUACUUUCCUUGAAAAAGACCGGUCAAUAUUUUUAAUCUAAGGAUUCAUUUGUUUUAAGAAAAAUGAAAGACUUGAAAAACAUUUCCCUAAAAAAAUGAUUGGUUAUGUUGCUCUAAAUAAUUAGCCAAUAAAAAAUAUUUUCAUUAUCGACAAUAAUUUGUGCUUGAACUUUAUUGUGGACGAUAAAAAUAUUUUUCGUUCAUAUAUUUUUGUUAGAAAUACAAUUGAUUAUAUUUAGAAAAAUAUUUUGUAACUCGUGAUUUUUUUGCGAAACAAGCGAACCUAAGACUAAUCAAAUUAUUGAUUUGACUUCCAGUUCCAAUACGUUGGAAAAUACAAGUAAAUCUUAUAUAUUGAAAAAGUCUAUGCUGAUAAACAUGGCUGCUCAGUGCACGGAAUAAUGAACCUUGCACUCCCAAAGAGGCCAACAUGUUGAUCCACGCUGUGCCAUCCCUAAAAAUUCUCUUACAAAGGCUUGGUCAAAUUGAUGACCGGUCACCGAAUGACCAGAUGAAUAGGAUCAACACCGGUUUUGACUGUAUCUUGACCAAACCGGGUGACUGAGAAAAACUAGACCCGACCAUGGUCCGGAUCCCAGUUCAAUCGAUUACACAGGCCCAUUUAAUGCUGUCAGGUUUUAGGAUUAGCGGAAUCAUAUCUUUCUUGUCCUACAAAUUAUCUCACCAAUGAACGGAUUACCUGUGGUAAAAGAUGCAAUCACAAAUAAUAUAAUGUCCAAGUUUCCAUAGUCAAUUACCCCACUUAAUCUGAUGAAUUCAAGUUUACUCUGGCAGGUUAUACUGUUCUUUGAGGGAAAAAGAAUUACUUUUUUCUACCUCUCUCUCUUAUUUACGUUAGAUAAAAAGCCUUUUUAGUGCAAAAAAACGGCAUUUGUCUCUUAUAUCCAACCACCUGCUACAUUGAAGCGUAAUAGCUGCUGGAUCAAGCGGAUGGCAAUCGAGUAGUGCUUCAUCCUCGCUAUAGCACCCAACAGGACUGAAAUCCUUGGGGGAAGGCAAAGGGUCGAUGUUGAUCAUUUUACCGAAGCAACGCAGGGCAUCGUCGACACUCGAAAACCCACCGCCACCAGCUCUGCAAAAUUUCCUCACGUAACUCAAGAGCUGGCUCGGGUCGUCUAAAUUAGGGUUAGGGAUCGAAGAAAACCUCCGGCGAUCGCGAAACGAGAAACGGGCACGAGAGAGAUGAGGGAGGGAGAGAGAGACCGGAAUGCGAUGAUGAAUCGCUGGAGAUCGCAUCUUGAGCACGAAGGAGAAGAAAGACGGAAGCCCCAUGAACACUCUAACCUAACCAAGGCGACUCCUAUCAGCUUAAUGGUGCUCGAAAGCCUCCUUUUCGAUUUCCUUCAAAACGAGUGAGUGAUAAGAAAAACUUAGGUAGAAUCAUUUUAGUGAAAUUCAAGUUAUUACACACUUGUUUAAACAAAAAAUCUAUGCAUAAAUUGAUGAAAAAUAUUUCACCCUUUAGAACAUCGAAAAUUAUUUUCCAAAGAAGUUACUAGACAUCUGCAUUUUGGACCAAAAACUCUACUUGUGCAUGAGAGAUCUAAGACUCAUUUCUGAAACCCUUGUUCAUGUGCUUAAUUUCUCAAAAGUCCGUACGCAAGUCAUUUAGAUCUUGUUCAUGUGCUUAAUUUCAAAUUAGAUCUUACUUUUCAAAUGACAAAAAAUAUUUUAUGAUUUUUUUUUUCAAAUUCCACCCAAAUUUAGAAAAUUGACUUCUUGAAAAUUAGAAAUGUAACACUUUGCAUUAAACAAAUAGAGUAUUUGAGAAAAAUCUUAGUAAACUGAUGACCAAAUUCUAUAAGUAGACUCGAGAACAUUUCAAUUAAGAAAGAGGUUGGACAAUUUUAAUAUUUUUCAAUUUAGAUCUUUUUUUACCCCUAAAAAUUGAGCUAGGACACUUGUGGGUUCUAGGCCAACGAGUGGUUCGACCAACUUGGAGAAAGAGACAACUUUGAUGGUAAUGUCGUAUUCCUCAUCUCCACCAAAAAUGAAUGUUAAGGUGAUCAGACUCCAAAAGUGUGCCAUCGCUUGUAUGAGACUCGCUUGACACUUAACCCGAAGAAGAGAUAUGAGGUAACCAAUACUUUUUUCCAUGUAGCUUUGGUCUCCUUGAUCUAUAAUUUAUCCAUCAUGCCAAGAGAGCGUCUUUGGGAGCGAGAAUGAUUUAAAUAUUCAAUCUUCCCAUUAUAUCUAAAUCACAAAAGACGUUUUACUCGAUCACCAUGGAUUACAAAUAUAAACUUUGAAAACUUAAGUUGAUGAAGUAGAAGAAUUUUAAAAAAGUACAUAACAUACUUAUAGCGUCUGAUGAGAAGGGUUUUCAAUCAUAUAAGUACAUAGGUAUACUUGUGAGAUUCGACACAUAAAGUUGGGAUAUACUAUAGGUUCAAGAAUCCCUUCCCAACAAAACACUAAAUAUAUCCCAAUCUCGCUAAUUGGUUGGGUUCAACUUUUCUCUUGCGAGAUGAGUGGGGUCGAGAAGGAUUUGAUUAUGCUACUUAUCUAACUAUACAUUUCGGUACCUACACUUGAUUAUUUGUCAACUGAAGUGUCAACACGACCUUUCACCAAAAUAUGAAUUCUCAGGUUCUCAACCAUUAAAAGCGUGAAUGAUAACAAUUAUGUUUCAGAAUUUAAUUUUGGUUCCAAAAAUCUAAUUUUAUUUUUGGGAUGAGUGUUUGAGUAAAAAUAGCGUGUGAUGACAACAUAAAAUCCCUAUUCCUAGAAUAGAAAUUUGUUUAAUAAUGAUACAAAAAUUUCUCCUUUGCAAGCUGUGGCGGUGGCAACAACAAUGGACAACCGGUGGCAAUGGCAGCAAUCAAUGGAUGACUGACAACGGUGGUGAUCGGCAAACAACAAUGGUGGAUGGCAGGCGACAGCAAGUGAGCGGUCGACUAGUAGCGAGGGCGAGUGAGGAGAAGAGUUUUUAUUUAUUAUUUAUAUUCCAAAAUAGAAAAGUAGAAAAUUUUAGCUUCUCAACAAUAUUCCAAGCUCAUUUCUAGACUAAAAAAUUGUUCUAAAAAUAGAAAAAAUAAAAUUGCAUUACCAACGAAUUUCUAUUCUAAACCUAUUCUUGAGAGUAGAAAAAUAGUUUUAGCUAGAAAUAAAAUGUUUAUCACGUGCAUCUAACUGUCAAUCUAAUGUUUUUGUAUUUAUUUAUGAUCCCGAAGUGCAACCUAAACAUUCAAUGAAAACAAACAAAUCAAAACUUAGAAAAAGCAACAUAGAAGGACCAACCAAUUAAUCUAAGUGCAUUUGGUUUUGUAUUUUGAAAGCCCAUUAAGCAAAUGCAAAGUAAUUUAGCCUAAAGGGCCUUAGAUAAAUGGAAAGGUUGUUUGAUAAACUAUGCUUUGAGAAGUAAUUUUGAGAAAAAUACCGAUCGGUAGACAACACAUUUGAGAAGCACUUUGGUGAUUAAUAUUAAUUUUCUAUAUUUUUAUUUGUUUAAAAUUGAAAAAGAAUCAAAUAAUAAUGAUGAUGAUGAUGAUGAUGAUGAUGAUGAUGAUAUAUACCAAACCCUUCGCUGGUUCGGCAAAGGGCUACAGCCGGUGAGCUAGAUUUGGUGCUAGCGGCCAUUGAUCGAGGUUGCCCAAUGGCGAGGGCCGUCAGUCGGUCGUGCAACCCAGACAAGGCGACCUCCAGCGGCCCUUACUGGGUUCACACAACCCUCGUUGGAGAUCAGCUGACCUCGGGUGACCUUAAUCGAUAGUCGUCGACGCCAAAUCUGUCCCCCCGGCGAUCGUAACCCUUCAUUAGACCAGUGAAGGGUUUGGUCCUUUUUUAAUAAAAAAAAAUAAUGAGGGAUAAAAUUUGAAAUUUGAAGAGUUGGUGAGGGUAGUUUUGGAAGAAAAAAUGAGUUCAUCAUUUGAUCAAAUGAUCAAAUGUUGAAAGUUUAAACCUAGUCCCUACUAGCAUUAGGCUUUUAGCCUUCCCAAUGCUGGCUUUCAAGUGAAAGCUUCUUCAAAAUAAUUACCAAACGGUCUAGCAUUCCCCAAGGGGCUUUGGAUCGCAUAACCAAAUAUAGAAGUUUUAGAAAAUUGAAGGUCUUCAAUGGAGGUUAACUAAAUUUAUAUUGCUCCACCGGCGGUCUUAACUGGCAACCACCUCUAUUGGUCACUAGACCACCACUAUCAGCCACAAUCAAAGAGCUGUAGAAAUUUAGAGCGUGGAUAGAAAAAUACAAACCGAGAUGAAUGCUUCUGUAGAUCCACGCUUAAGCCAUGAACUACUAGUCAUUUCUCUAGGAACUUAUGUUAGCCACCAUUAGGAGUUCAAUGCACAAAACGGAGCAACACAACAAAUACCGAUGUUAUUCUCAAUUUCAUGUUCAAGUUUCACGAAACAACAAUGACAUACGUGAAUCUAAAAUUCAUAUUGAGAUUUAAGAGAUGAUGAACCUUUUAGUCAAUAGAUAUAAUUAACCCUUUCUCGAAUACAUUUCACAGCUUCAUAGACACAUUUCAACAAACCACUUGCAUGCAACGAAAUUACUAAGUCUUAUCAUGGCAUUGAAAUGGUUUCUCAUCCAAAAUCAGCAUUAGAACAACAACGCCAUCACAAAUCAUUAAAAGAAGUCUCAAAUUAAUUCAAAUUCUUGAUGAUUUAUAUUUGAACAACAUGAAUACAUCUCAAUUUUGUGAAUCGUUUAAACAGAGCAAUGAAAUUACGUGCUCACGAAACAAUAUGAAGCUACAAUAUUUGACUAAUUCAAGGAAGAAAAAUAAAGAAACUGCCACUGGCAUAAAGGCUUCGGGUGAAAUUUGAACUUUUCAGCUUGUCUAACCAGAAUAGAGCAAGGCAGAAUCAAUGGUGGAACAACUAUUGGCAAUAAUCAAUGGUAACAAAUCAAGAGUACAUGAUGCCAUAAAUCUAAGUUCAAAUACUUUGUUAUACUUGAUUAGUUCAUCCAUGAUGUGGUGCGAUUAAGACACACUGGUUCAUUUUGAUAUGUUAUGAUAGAGAGACAUCCUUUUGAAAGGGUAUGAAGGAAGUCAUAUAAAUAACUUUUGGAGAUAACCGUUGGUGUGGUUGUUAGAAAGAAUGUUUAGAAAAAAUGUUUUCUCUCUUCUUCUCCUCUCUCCAUCAAAGAACAAAAGGCAUUCCAUUAUUGCUUUGAGAAGACAAUCGGUAUUAACGCUAUGAAAAUUGAAUGUUUUCCUUGUGAUUGUAUUCAGGGUAUCGUGAAGUCUUAUCAUCCGUCGUUGGCUCAUGAUUCACGUUCAUUUCAGGGUAAAUUGUUCAUUGCGCAUUGAAAAGGCCGGUUGUUUCUUCCACCAACUUUCCUCGUAUAUUAGUAUUAGAGCCUAUGGUAUGAUUCAUGCCUUGUUUUCCCAUCGAAUUUUCUUGUUUGCUAUUUGACAUGGGAAUUAAGAAGAUGAACUUCACAUUGUUUGGAUGUUUAUUGCUCGGAAAUUGCAACAUGAAUCGUCGAAAACAAACCAAAGUGAAAAACGGGUUUGGAGGUCGCGUACACCUGCACAAUUUUGGCCAAUUUUCGGAAUAUUUUCUCGAUUAAAUUCAUUUUUUGAGUACACAAGGUAAAAGUACUCGUCAAGAUGAGUUGAAGGGUGGGUCUAGCGCCAUCGAAAGAUGCUGGAUGCGCCCAUACGCGUGUCAACGAAUCGGUACAUGCUGACGUCAUCAAUGACAUUAGCCAAUGGUCGAUAAUUGACAAGCUAACGUCAUCAAUGUUGUUACCCAACCAGCAGCAGUUGGCCGAUUGGCGACUGACCGAUGACCCAACCUGACUAAAGACCUAAACUAGUUGACUAGUCAACCAGUCGGAUCAGUCGAACUGGCUAGGAGCCUUGUUGGCUUGUUGGCGCGUGCGCCACACGUGUCGCGCACUCAGGAGGUGCUCGUCAGCACAUGGGAGAUCCGAUUGGCGCAUGGUGGGUGGCGUUUGGCUCGUAUAGGUAUGAUCUACGUUGUGGUAUAGUUAUUUUACAUGUUUGAGGCUUUUGAAGAAAUAAAAAUUUGUAUGAAAUCUUAAGUAUGCGUUUUUUGGGUAUAAGUGCAUUGUUUGUUUCUUUUAACCUGUAUUUUCUUAUGGUUUUGGAAAUAUAAAAGUUAGCCUACAUGAAAAUGACCAUAUAUAUGUUAUGAAGAGCUUAGUUUGAUGAUAGCACAUAUAUGGUUUAAUGUGCUUACCAUUUCCUGAUUCCGAGCAAACACGAACAAUGAUUGAAAAUCCUUGAUUUUUUUCAUUACGUGUUGAAUUCUGCCUUUGAUUAUAGUUGCUCCAUAAUUUUUUUAUAUAUAUUAAUUUACAUCAUGCUAUGCCUUUUGAUAUUUAAUAGAAAAAUGUGAAAAUUACAUGGGAUCAUGUGAUUAUUCUUUUACUAGUGGGAGUUCAUAGGUUGGUAGAAUUCGAAAGAGUUCUUACCUAGAUUGGGCAAAUUAAACUAGUUAAUGAUAGUAGAAUAAUCGUACAUAGAAGCUAAUUAGGAAUACAAUAAACUUUCAUUCCUGUGUCUUUUGUUGAAUUAUAAUUAAUUUCGUUUGUCUUUGUUGCAAAUUAAAUAUAUAUGUUAUUCUGAAAAUAUGCUAGUAUUGAUUUUGCGUUUAUUAUGUCAAUGUGUUAUAACAAUUAAUUAUGGCUUUGGCAUCUAAGAUCAUUGUGAUUGACCUCAAUAAAUGUGAAAAACUGAAUGGUGACAAUUAUGAUAUUUUAAGUCGAAAGAUUUAGUACAUCUUUAAGCAGUAAGAGGUUUUAGAAACCCUUAGCCAUAACAUGAAUGAGCCUAAACAUGAAACUUUUGCUUAGCACAAGAGAGAUCAAGAAACUUAUCAAGUUUGGAAAAAGAAAAAUAUCAUUUCUCGCAUCACAUUGCUGUGUUGUAUACAAGAUAAUUUCAUGUGUAAGUUUGAAAGUUAUGAUAAAACUCAAAUAAUGUUGGUUGGCUUGAAAGAUAAGUUUGGGGCUAUGUCUGCUAGUAAAUUAAUGAGAUCUACCAUCAAGUUUGACAAAUACCGAAAACACACAAAUGUAAUGAUAAUGUAGUAUUUUCAAGAGAUGUCAAACAUGAUUCGUAAACUAAAGUCAAUAGGUCUCUUCCUUAUGGAUAAACGAUAAGUUCAGGCUGCUAUAAGGUCUCUUCCUGAUAGUUAGAAGCACAUGAUGAUCAACAUGACACACAAUGAGAAUAUCGUCACUUUUGAUGAUAUAGCGCAUCAUUUGAAAUUAGAGCAUGAAUGUCUAGAGAUUGCGAGAUCCUCUACCCAUGCUUAUAUUGCUGAGUUGAGUUCGUUCAAAGUUUCGGGCUUCAAACGCAAAAGAAACAAUAAAUUCAAUAACAAAGGGAAUGAGACUAAUUAGGCACCUAAAAUGGCUAAGACCUUUCGACGCAAGAAGCAUAGUGGGAAAAAAGAUAAAGCCAAGAUGAAGUGCUAUUAUUGUAGCAAGAUGGGUCACUUUGCUAAUAAAUUCAUCGAGUCAAAAGAGGUACCUUAAUAUUCCAUUAUUUUAAAUAAUGCUUUUGUUUUUAAUAUUGUAAUGCUUGUCGAAUCCCAUCCAAUAUGGACUGUAAACUCAGCAGUAACAGACCAUAUAACUAAAGACCGAUGAUUAUUUGUGGAAUAUUGUCGGCCUGAAAGAAGAUGAACAUAUGUUAGGAAUAACUCAAGAUUUGAAGUAAAUUGUAUCAGCACAUGUAAAUUAAUAUUACGUGGUGGUUGAAGUUUUAUUCUUACAUGAUGUCCUCUAUACUCUAGAUAUUUGACGGAACUUAGUCUCUAUAAUUAUUCUUCUUAGCCUAGGUUAUAUAUUGAAUUUCUAUGGUGAUUGUAUUGAUAUUUUAUUUGAAACAAUUUAUUAUGAUUUUGGUUAUGUAUGGAAUGAUUUUAUGGUAUUAGACAUUAACUAUGAUGUGUACAAUAUUAAUGUUAAUGGUUGUUUUUCUUUAAUUACAUCUUUUCGUAAUGUUGAGAUUGAUACAAGUACUUGGCAUGCUAGAUUAGGUCAUAUUUGGUUAUAGAGAAUGCAAAAGUUAGCUAAAGAAGACUUUUUGGGGUUACUUGCUAAUGUUGAUAUAUUCAUGUAACUAUUGUCUAGCGGGAAAAGUAAGUAAAAAAAAAAUCAUUUGGUAAAAGAGCUAGGGCCGAACUUUCUUUGCAUCUUAUACAUUUUGACAUUUGUGAUUCAUUGAAUGUAAUAGUAAAGCAUGAAGCCUUAUAUUUCAUUACUUUUAUAGAUAACUUCACACAUUUCGAUUAUAUUUUUCUAAUUUCUCAUAAGUCAGAAACAUUAGAUUACUUUAGACGAUAUAUAACAUUAGUAAAGAAUCAGUUGAACAAAAUAAUAAAGGGCAUUGAGAACCAAUUUCGGAUUUGAGUAUCUAUCUGAGCAAUUCAAGACUCUUUGUGAUGAAAAGAGAAUUAUAUGACAAUUGAUUAUUCCUAGUACUCUGUAACAAAAUGGGGUUGCCGAGAGAAUGAAUAGAUCUCUAUUGAAAAUGGUUAGGUUUAUGAUAGUGCAAACAAAUCUACAUAUCUCAUAUUAAGGAGAUGUGUUAUUGACCGCUGUUUAUAUACUUAACCGUGCGCCCACAAAGUCAGUCACUUCUACCCCUUAUGAAUUAUGGACUAAUAGAAAAUCGGACUUAAUUAAUCUACGUCAUUGGGGGUGUACAGCUUACGUUCAUAAUUCUUCUCAUAAAUAUGACAAAUUAGGUCAUAAAUGGAAGAAAUGUAUAUUUAUAAGAUAUUCUGAACACUGCAAAUGAUAUGUGUUCAUAGGUGAACAAACUGAUGGAAGUAUAACCGAAAUGGAGUCACGAGAUGUCAUGUUAUUGGAGAAUGAUUUUCCUAAUUGAGGUGAGAUUGAUAAAAACUUCCAAUCAUAUGAGAUGGAAGACCCUAAUAACACAACCAUUAAUAUUGUCGAGGGAAAUGAAGAUUUACUUCAACAUAUAAGACCUAGUGGGAGUGCCGAGUUUUCUAUCGAAUUGAAUUCAAGAGAAGUUCUAAUGUUGUGAUUUUAUCACUUUAUAUGAACGAUAUUAUGUUGGCUGGAAAUGACCAGGGUUUAGUUAUCAUCAUAAAAUGAUGGUUGUCCUCUAAUUUUGAAAUGAAGGACGUGUGAGGAACUACUUAUAUAUUGGGAGUUAAGAUCGAAAAUGUGACAAUCUGAUUUUCCACUUAUGUUUUCAAUUGAAUAAAUCGGGUUUUUCAUCGACGUGCUUAUAGUGCUAUUCUCUGAGUCGAUCACUCAUGAGAUAACUAGACUAGUUGGGGAAGUUAUUAAGGGAUUUUAAUGCAAUAAGCUUGAAAAUUCGCCCAAGAAUCGACUACUUGACCGUGUUAGUCUGCAAUAGUCAUUACGGCAUAGUCAAAAAUCUAUCAGAGAUCGGAGAUAGGUCGAUUCGACGGAGGUAUGUAAUUAGGCAAAGGUGAUUCCACCUAAUUGCAAAAUUCUCGUCAAUCGGCACUAAAUCAAUUUUUUUUGUCGUUUUGAUACUCUAUACCUGUAAUUGAAAUCUUGAAAUUUUCAUGACAACCUAGAGUCACUAAUAAGUCGAAGAUGUAUAUUGUGGUUUGAAAACAAUCGACCACAAGUCGAUUCCAUCAAAAAUUCCCAAAAACUAUUCGAUAGUUUAGGUCACGUUAAAAUCACGUCAGAUUGAAAUUAACCGCGAAAUUUAAUCCGAUUUCAGAAAUUGAGAAUUCUACCGUGUCACAAUUAAUCCUAGGAACGUUGAUGCAUCCUCUCAAGACCUUUUGAUGAAUUUGAAAUUUUGGUGGAAAUGUCAAAUUGCAACAAGUUAAGCGAAUGUGGUAAAGGCCAUAAUUUAAAUGGUUUAUUAGUCUUCAAUGUGGAACCUUUGGAGAUUGGAAUUAUAAGAAUUUAAAUAAGGCUUUAUCCUUAUUAACUAAGGUUAUGAAAUGGUAAAAUGAAAAAAGGAAAAGCUAAUGGAAAAAGGGUGCAAAAUUCGGAUGUAUGCACACCAAAAGGAAUUCCACCACCAUUUGAGUUUCGUUUGAAGAGGAUAGGCUCAUCUAGGGAAUGGUAGGUCCCUUGAGAGUGAUGGAGAAUUAGUUUCCAUGGAAAAUAGCAAAAGGUUGUGAAAAUAUGGAAAGGGGGACCCUCCAUGGUCCUUUUUCUUCUUCUCCUCUCCCCCUCCUUGUGCUAUGUGACCACUCGUCUCUCUCUCCCUUUCUCUUUCCUUCCUUUUCCCCCUACCAUAAAGUCCCUUGUCUUCUUCUCCCUUAAGCUAUUCGGCCUCCCUUGUUUCUCCUUGGCUGACAACACAACAACCAAAAAUAGCGGAGAGCUCUGUUUUGGCGCUGCCGGUUCCUAGAUUAGCAGAAGCAUUGACCAAGCUGCCCUCAUGUUCCAUUUCUCUUUUGUGUGGCCAUUAAUCACCUCUCAACCACCCUCACCAGCAGUCCAGCAGUCCACAAAAACCGGUGAGAUUUAUGCAUCCCUUUGCCGGAAGCUCAGCGCCACUGCAUACGAGUGUUGCAUCGUUUCCAUCGCCCAUCCCUUCUCGAUCUCAACUCACCACCUUCACCAGAAGUAGCCAUCCCUUCGCCAUUGCUGCUACCCUGUCACUAGAACCCCUGUUGUACUGAUGCAGCCCACCAGUCAACCGAACCGCUCCAUGAUGCCGCCACCUCGCCUCUAAUGAGCUCACGCCGUCACUGCUCGGCCUGGCUUGGCUGAGAAGACUGCUUCUAAGUAGUAGGCCGAGGGCCUUGCUAGCCUAAGCAGGGCCACCCGGAGUUAUUCCAGCGCCCCCUUAGAUCGAGACCUCGUUGCCGCCGCUCCGCCGUCGCCGGAGGUCAUUGGUUUUUAGUUUAGGUGAGUCAAUUUCCUAAUUUCUGAUUAGGGUUGAUUACAUUCCUCAAGAGUAUGAUUAAGUUAAAUAGGAUUAGAAACUAGUUUAGUUAGGAUAAUGACUAGUUAAGUAGUUAGUUGAGAUGAGAUUAGAUAGUUAGACUACUUAGUUAGGUUGUUGGUUGGAUUAUUUAGUUAGAGACUUAAAUAUUUAGUUAAAUGGUUAGACUAGAAGGAUAUUGUAAGGCACUAGUUUAGUUAGGCAUUUUAACAAUUGGUUCUAGUUAUAAUCAAAUUGAAUUUUUAGUGAAAAAUUAUAAAUGGUAAUUAAUUAAAUAAUUAAUUUAAAUGAUUCAAUUAUAAAUUAGUUAAUUAUUUAAUAUUUUCCGGAAAUUAUACCGAGAUAGUCGGUGACUGAAAUUCCGUGCUGAUUGUAGUAGCAUAUUCCAUUUAUGCCAUGGAUUGUUAAAUUGUGCAAUUGAGUGAUGGUUGUUAAAUGUGAAUAUUUAAUUCAAAACGACAGAAUUUUGGUAUUUAAUUAGAAAAUAUCCGGUGUCAAGUUUUGGACACCGAAAGUGUUUUUAAGUACUAUAUCAAACUGUUGGAUUUUAAAAGAGAUUAUACAAAUUUUCUAGUUCGAUCUGACCAUAUUCCUACACACGAUUAUUUUACCAUGCAUUUCUAACAUGAAGAAAAGAGGCCGGAUCACUAUUUUAAUUGAGAUAUUUAAGUGCAAUACAUGGUGUCCUGGGCUGAAAUUGAAUGAAUGCAUGUAUGAUAUGAGAUACUGUCACGAGCCUUUGGGGUUGGACGAUGUUUCUUCGAGAAUACCCCAAGUUAACGGAUGCCGGUCGUAGUGGAGGCUGGACCGAUGCUCCUUUGAGAAAUGCCGUCUAGAUGUAAACGUUGUCGUGCUCGAUGGUGCGAGACGAAACCUGGUUAAGUCGGAAGAUUGCUGAUUGUUAAAUCGACCGUGACCGAUGAGUCAUAACCAAUUGGAACGCAUGAAUGAUUGAGAUUGAGGGGCCAUAUUAGGAGACGAAAUUGUGUGGUGCGGUAUGGGACGUACCAUAACAAUUUGGUUUGGUAAUCAGGACCUGUGAAUCGGUGAUGAUAUAUAUUUAUAUGUGUAUACAUGUCAAGAUGUUCCAAUGAUGCAUGAUUUCAAUAUAAUUAUAUGCAAAUUGAAUGGUAUUGACAUGCAGGACAACCACUGGUGUUACGUGAGUUUGGCGGAGAUAUGGUUAGAUUGCAUGCGAGUGUACUUUUCUUUUAAUCAGGAUUUAGGGGAUGGAAUCGCUGAGACAUCGUCUCAUUGGUUAUUGUAUAAUCAUUUUCAAGUCCUUAGAUAAAGGAUUGUCAAGCAAGGUGCAGGGAUUCGCAAGAAGUGAAAGCUAGGUUUUUAUUUAGUCUCUGUCAGAUGUCGACGAGUCUUUUAUCUAGUUUGGAUAGUGGGUGAUAGCUCACCCUUUUGUUAUCAAGAAGUCUGACGUGAUCGCAAGGGACGCUGGUCCCAUGGACGAAAAGCUCAGAGCGUAGAUAGCCUAGAAGCUUUUCUUUUUGAAAUAGAUCCAUGUGGUGUUAGACAUAUAUAUAUUGUUUGUAUUAUAAGUGUGUUUUGUGAAAAUAUCAUCCUAUGUUUCUAUCCCACUUUUAUGUUAUUUGAAGAUUGUUAUUAUGUUUCCACUUGUGCCAUAAAACGAAUGGGUCGUCGAUACUUCAUGGGACGUCGCAAAUUUUAUUGAGCAUAGAGGGAUGUGCAUGUGCUCGAAAUUCGGGUCGUGACAGAAAAAGAUCGAUUAAGAAAACUCCUUACUCUAUUAUAAGAGUCUUGUAUAAUGAAGAUUCUUGAGCGUUUCAAUAUGUAGAUUGUAAUCUCAUUUAUAUCCUUAUCAUGCCAGACGAAUGUUUAAGUAUUAAGAUUUGUCCUAAGACUCUAGAAAAAAAGAAAGAAAUGGAAAUUGUACUUUACGCUAGCGCGGUCGAAAGUUUGAUGUAUGUUAUGAUAUAUACUUGACCCAACAUAUGUCAUGUCGUGGGGUUAGUGAGUCAAUAUCUAUUUAUCAAUCAAAUUCUGAUCAAGUACACUAUAAAAUAGUGAAGAAGAUCUUAAGAUACUUGAAAAACACUAUAGACUAUCAACUUUGUUAUCAAGGGAAUGAUUUACGCUCAGAUGCCAAUUGAGGAGGAAAUCUAGAUGAGCGUAAAUCAAUUUAUGGAUAUGCGUUCUUGCUUAAUGAAUGUGCAAUUUAUUGGAAUAGUAAGAAACAAACAUGCAUGGGUUUAUCUAUGAUGAAGACAGAAUUUUUUGCGUGCUCUGCAGCAGUGCAAGAAGUAGUAUAGCUAAAAUGUUUCUAAGAAAAUUCAGUCAUUGUCACUGAGGUUCUAAGACUAAUUACAGUUUAUUAUGAUAGUCAAGCAGCUAUUGCCUAUGCGAAAAAUCCCAAGUAUCAUGAUAGGACAAUAAGCACAUUGAUAUAUAUAAAAAAAAUCAUUAGAGAUAUAAUAGCACAUAAGGAAGUGAUGCUUCAAUACAUUUUAACUAAUAGAAUGGUUACUGAUCCAUUUACAAAGGAUAUUCCUAGAGAUGUGUUCUUAACCCACAGGAUAUCUCUAGGGUUACAUAGAAUGUGAUAUGUAUUAUUGUAGAUGAUAAUUUGUUUAUGUAUAUAUGCAUUAUACUCAUUUGUCUUUAGUGAUUUGAUGUUUUAUCAAUAAGUACAAAUCCAUAAUAAGACUAGCACGGACACACAUAUAUUGUUGAAAAAUAUAUCAGCAAGUAAUGAUUAACUCACUCACACGAGAAAUCACUUUCGGUGCUAUAGUUAGCACAUUGAGAUGAGACAUUAUGUACAUAUAAAUACUAAAAGAGUAAAUUUAGUACAUAAAAUAACACAUCGCCUUGAUUGGAGUCAAGAUGAGGUCUGCGAUUUGUAUGUAAUAAGGCCGAACAUGAUAAUCCUACAAUCAUGUAUGCCUGUAAGAUGCCGGAUGCAAGUACUUAAUUAGGCGUUAUAAAAAGAGAGCUAAUAUAACACUUGAGCUAAACAUGAGUAUGUGAGAAGUACAUGACUAUAUUAAGGUUAAACUCUUAUAAUGAAUGUAUUUAAUAAAUGACAUAUGCUCUUAUAGCUAGAGAAAUCCACUAUAGUAUAUUAUUCAUGCUACAUGUGUAUUGUAUGACCAACAAGGGAAGGUGAGUGAAAUUACCCCUAUUUACUCAUCAUAUGAUCCCUUGAGAUAAUUUAUAAUUUACUUUAUUUUGUGGCAUAUGUUAUUUAUGACUAUAUUCUCGAAGUGAAAGAUAAAUGUUACUACUUUAGUAUGUUAUUGGCCGUCAUGAAUAGAUAUAGAUUUAUGGGACGUGUCUGAGAAAACAUUUGUUUUGAAAUGGAGAAAAACAUGAGUGCGAAUGAAGAUUAUCGUUGUUUUACGAUCGAUCGAUCAAUUAUAUCGUCUUUUGUGGUCUUAGAUAUAAUUGUAAAUAUAUGAUGUUAUGAUAAUAGUCAAGUAUAACCUUUAAGGGAUAGGUAUGUUUGGACUAAUAUAGCAAAAUAUGUCUGGGGUACUAUGAGAUAUCAAUUGUUUAUUUCUUUUUAGGGUUAUAGCCAUUAUGUCAUCCCUAACAAGUGCUUCCACAUGUAGGUAUACUCACUAGUCGUACGGCUUUCUUGCCAAUAUGAAUUGUUUCUAAAGUAAAUGAACAUUGAAUGUCUUAUAUUCUUGAUAUGUCUGAGUGGGAGAUGUUAUAAUUUAUUAGUACGUCCACAAUAGGGUGCGAUUAAGAUGCACUCGUUCAUCUUAAUAUAUUAUGAUGAAGAGAUACUCGUUUGAAAGGAUAUGAAGGAAGUCAUAUAAAUAACUUAUGAAGAUAAUUGUUAGUGUGGUUGACAGAAAGAACAUUUUGAAAGAAAGUUUUCUCUCUUCUUUUUCUCUCUCCAUCAAAGAAUGAAAGGCAUUUCAUUACCGCUUUAAGAAGAUAAUCGACAUUAACACUAUGAAAAUUGAAUGUUUUCCUUGUAAUUGCAUUCGGAGCAUCAUGAAGUCUUAUUAUAUGUCGUUCGCUCGUGAUUCAACGUUUGUUCCACGGUAAAUUGUUCAUUGCGCAUUGAAAAUGUUAGUCAUUUCUUCCGCUGACUUUCUUCCUACAUACUCCAUGAGCAUGUGUCCUACGAUUGACCACAAAAGCAAGUGAUGGAUGGUGGUUAGAACAAAACACAAAUUGAAAUCGCGAGUGCACACUUUUAGAGCCCCGAUUAAAUAACCUUAUAUUCAAGCUCCAUCCAUAACUAGAUACAUACCGAUUUUUCUUGUGAGCAUAUUUGCCUAGUAUCCAUCGACAUAGUUAAUAACGUAAUCCUACAAAUAAAUCUUUGGGCUAUUUCUUUAGAUGUAUCAUCUAUUUUGUGAGCUCCAACAAGGUAUCUCAUGCGAUGCAUGUGAAUGCAAUGAUUUAUGUAAAUUUGUGAGUUCUAGUCAAGCUAAGAUAGAAUAGGUUAAAUGCUAUCCAAUAUAGGAUGUAAAUAGAAGAAACAAGCAUUCAACGAAUAAGCAAAGGAAUCAAGUAUCUUCUUGAUUAAGUUGUCUAGAAUUGUUGUGGUUAAUGAAAGAUAACUACAGAGAAAUAGACGGCCCCUUAAAUGAGAGUACUGGACGAAAAAGGAUAGGAGCAACAUCAGUGACGUACACAUGAAUAUUGAGGGACAAUUGAAACAUGGCUAGACCCUCAAUAAUUCCAAAAAUGAAAACUCAGGAUUAUCAAUGAUUUGUGGGAGAGAGCGAUGAAUUUGUGUAUGCUCAAAUUGUACAGUUAUGUGCAACUGUUGCUCAAAUAGUAAAAAGGACACGUUAGCCAAAGAAAAAAGGACAAAUGCAAACUAAAGAAAUACUUUGAAUUACUUAAACAGAUCAAAUUGCAUAUCUAGCCCUCAGCAAAAUAUAAAAUUGCAUUGUUUCCUUUCUAUAAACAAAUAGUUAGAAGCUUUUAAGAUUGUUUAUGCAUUGGUACCAUGGAAGAAAGCUUGAGAUACUAAUCAUAGAAGAAAACCUAUUGGGUACAACUGCUAUAAAUAGUCAGGUAUUGAGCCUAUCAAGGUACAAAGUUGGGUUGAGAGAAAAAUUAAGGUAUAUCACAUUAUGGAUACUAAUAAUGCUACUAUUGUCCCUCUUGAUGUUCAAUGUUGUCAAAGGUGCCCCGAACAAUGGCAUAGUUCAUUGGGCUUCCAAUACUGGUUCCCAUUGAAGUGGUGAUCCUUAUUAGGGGUGAGCAUGAUUCCCAGGUAGAACCGGGAACCGGAGAACCGCACCGGAGGGUCCGGUUCGGUUCCCGGUUCCAAAGAGACAAGUUCUGGUUCCCGGUUCCCCUUUUCUGGGAACCGGCGUUCUCGGUUCCGGUUCCUAUGGAAACCGGAACCGAAACCGGAACCGGAACCGGUCAUAUAAUUCAAAAAAAAAAAAAAAACCCUAACUUCCCCCCACAGAUUUCCCCCCUCUGCGGAUUCUUCCCCCCUUCCCCUUUCUUUUUCUCUCUCUUUCUUUUCUCCCCUUUUCCCUCCUCACGUCACUUCUUGCCCCCCAACUUUUUUUAUUUUCUUCUCUCUCCCUCUCUUCUCUUUCCGGUUCCGGUUCCAAAUCGCCUAGGGUUUCCUGGAUUGCUCUCUCUCUCUCUCUCUAGAAUCCUCCGUUUCUUUCUCAACGAGCGCCUCCUCCCGACGCCGUCUCCGAUCUCCUGCUUUCCGGGACCUGAUCCGCGCGACGCCCUUUGUUCUGCGGCCACUCCGAUUCGGAGCUUCGAUCGAGCGCUCGUCGCCGUCGAUUAGUUCCCGCUCUUCUUCUUCUGAUCUCUUUCUUGUUUUUUGUGGCUUGAGAGAGCGAGAGAGAGAGAGGGAAGGGGGAAAUGGUGAGGGGGAAGACGCAGAUGAAGAGGAUAGAGAACGACACGAGCAGGCAGGUGACGUUCUCGAAGCGCAGGAACGGGCUGCUGAAGAAGGCGUUCGAGCUCUCCGUCCUCUGCGACGCCGAGGUUGCACUCAUCAUCUUCUCCCCGAGGGGCAAGCUCUACGAGUUCUCGAGCUCGACGAGACGGUAGGUUUUCCUCCGCAUUUUUGCUCGUCUUUGCUCGCGACCCACCACCUCUGCUCAGCGCCAGAAGCCCCGACGCCCCUGCUACUGGGUCCUCUCUGCUCCACCGCCGCUGCAACCAGACGCCAGAAGCCACCAUUCCUGCUGCGACGCUGCUGCUGCUGUCUCCGCCUCUGCUCCGACAACCCGACGCCAGCAAUCGCGACGCCUGAUGCCGUUGCCCCGAAGACCAGCAACCGACGUCCCUGCUCGGCGCUAGAAGCCCCGACGCCCCUACUGCUGGGUCCUCCUCUGCUCCUCGACGCCCCUGCAAGUGCAUGCUGCUUUAUUCUUGGUUGUGAAUGCUGGUAGAGCUAAGUUGCAGUGUCUGACUUCCUCAUUAUUGUGAAUUAUUUAAUACUUUUGAGGCUUUAUUCCCCUUGUUUUCUCUUGACUAAGUGUGUAUCUCCAAGUGUGCCCUCUCUCCUUGUUCUAACCCUCUUUGUGUUAGUUUCCACAUUUGAGUUGACCCUCCGCGGAUGAUUUCUGACUUUUAAUAUGGUUGCACUUAUGCCUUGCUUCUCAUGCAAAACUCUGUUUCUGCGAUGAUAAUAUAUUAAAGGUCUUACUAUGGCAAGUCUGUUGGUGCCAUGCCAUUUUCAGGAGCGAAAUUGGGUAUGAUGGAUGGAGGCUCGAUUUUGUUAGAGGCUUUUGGGGCGUCUAUGUCAAAGACUACUUGGAUGCUAGUGAACCUUACUUUGCUGUUGGUGAGUACUGGGAUUCCCUCAGCUAUACAUAUGGAGAAAUGGAUCACAAUCAAGAUGCACACAGGCAGAGAAUUAUCGACUGGAUAAACGCCACAAAUGGCAUAGCUGGAGCAUUUGAUGUCACCACAAAAGGAAUUUUUCAUGCCGUAAGCACUAUCACUGAUAGAUAGGCACUUUUUUAGAUGUUCUGGAAGCAUAGACACUCUGAUUAAGUGCACUGACUCUAGAUAGAGGAAAUUCAUUCGGUGUUUUGUUUUUCUUUUUGGAUGAGUAUGCAUACCAUGUCAAUUAAUUUGUUCAUGUUAUGCUUAAAUUAGAGAUGUACAACUAUUACACUGCUGGACCCGCUGUUAUUCAAGUAGUUAUGCUCUUGGAUGUUGCCGGUGAAGGAGAACUGUAGACUAAAACUCAGGCUCUAACCCUUGAAUUAUGUACUGAUCUGCACUUGAUGAAUCUCACUAAUUAGGUUGCUGAAGGACAGGCUUUUAUAGAUUACUUGUAUGAGCAUUAACUGUACCGCUGAUUAUCUUCAGAAGCAAAAGCUCUUGAUUCCUGAUUCUCUCUUUGUGCUUUCUAACCGAAUUAAAGGAUUUAACUUGGCAGAAAGUGCCAUUACCUCAACCAACAAAUUUAUAGAAUCUGUAGAGUUUGUUACCCUUCUUCAAGUUUCAAUUAUGCGUGCCUGAUGUUUCAAUAGUCAUCCAUUAGCCAACAUCUGGCAUUAUUGAUAACUGUAAUUUUUAAUUUUGUUAACAGGUUAAGCGUAGCAAAACUUCUUCAUGGACUUACAAAAAAGAUUUCUAUGUUUUGAUAAAAACAUAUGGUUUGAGAAGAAAGAUAGGUGACAACCAGCAUCUCAACAGUGCUGAAGAUUCCGAUAAUAUGCGCGUACGUUAUAAUUCAACUCUGAAAAUGAACUAAAAAAAAAAAAAAAAAACCUGUUGGAACCUGGAACCGACCCUGGAACCUGUGACCGGGUAGGUUCCAGGUUCUUGGUUCUUACGGGUAGGUUCCAAGUUCCAUAUUUUUUGGAACCUGUACCCGAGGGUAGGUUCUAGGUUCCAGACGGAACCGAACCGGAACCUGGAACCGCUCACCCCUAAUCCUUAUGCAAACAGUGUGGCGAGGACACGACGACCGUUAUGUCAAAUCACAUGGACUACAACUACUCCACUGCAUCUCCUUAUCCCGCAGCAACUGCCUAUGGUCACGCUUUAGCCAAGCACUUUCUUAUAGCGACUGUGGCUGUUAAAUCCUAAAUACUGGCAAUUGUCCAAAUAGUUAGGGUGCUCAAGUCGAGCUUGAAGAUUGUAGAAUGAGGUACGAAAACUACUGGUUAAGUAAUUUGGCUCCAAACAUAGAGAACCUUGUUUGAAUGGUAACGGCACUGGGAUGUGCGUUGCUCAAGUGUGUUGAAGAAUAAAUGCUCUAGCCAUGUAUCCUAAUUUAUAGUUUGCGUGGUUGUUUCUGCCGUUCAUGUUGUCAUGUUUAUUGUGGGAAAAAAUAUGAUGUGUCUCCUAUACUUUUUUUGUUAGUUUAAAGUUCUCAAAUUGCCUUUUUAUGACCGAGAAAACCUAAGAAAGCAGCUAAAAGCUAAUGACUCGUAUGAAAAAUCAAAUUUGCAUUGUCUAAGUUGCACGUCAUUGGGUUUGUUCCUAUGAUACUUAAGCGAGUCUUCAAGAGACGGCAGUAUGCAAAUAAGAGGACGUGCAGGAUAGUGCAAAACCAAAAGCCGGAAUCAAUAGAAGGAAACGCUGCAUAAAGGCUAAAAGAAAUGGUAACGAUUUUGCUAAAGCCGCUUGUGAACUUGACAUAUACGUUGAACUCGAAGUACAACUCCCUGUUGAAAUUCCAAAAGAAAUCACAAUGACUUUGUCCCUAGUAUUUGCAUACGGAUCACUACUUGAAAAUCAUUAAGGAGGUCGAGAACAUAUUUACAGCAUACAAGACAGAUGCCACGUGAGGAUUCAGUCUUUUCGUUGCCAAGAAAAUAUUUCCAAGAAGCCAAAUCAGCAAAACAGAAACUAUGUCAAAUCAAUUACUGGUCAUACCACAUAAGUGUCAUCGGCAUAAACCAAAAUAAGUACAGAGGAUGAGCUAAUGCAUGAAAAAGAAAAUGGACUUAUCAGCAUAAGAUUGAACCAAACCAGCAUCUACUAAUGCAGCAGGAGGUACUUAAGAAACCAAUUUUCUCUGAAGAUUUUACUUUCAUCGUAAAAGUGGCCUUGCUUCAGUUGAUAAGCCAAUGAACCUGCGUUGUCAAAUCAGGAAACAGGCAAAAGAGACAGCCAAGGAGUUGAUCCUCUUGAGAUAUAUACACAACUUCAAUUUGAACCUUUUGCUUGACAAGUAAUUUUUUCUGAGUUCAAUUGAUCAUGUCUGCCGUGGUAUCCACGCGUGAACUUAGCUCAAAGACUCAUCUCUGAAACGCUUGCAUGCUACUAUGACUGGGUCAGCAAACAAAGAGUAGAGGGCAUGCCGAGAGGCAGAUUGUCCAGGGAAAUCCUACUGUUGUAAGUGAGACACUUAAAAACAAACAGAAAAAUGUGCUCCCGAGUCAGUAAUUAAGACAAGACAAAUUUGGCAAGGAAUGUACCUCUAUUGAUCGGGAAAGUAAUUCAAUUGAUGCAGUGGAAAAGAUGAUGGAAUUUACAUCAUCUGGGCCUGACUGCGAUGAAGUUAAUUGUUGCUCGCUCAAGGUGGCUAGCAUUGUUUGUCAACGGUGUUCAUGUUCACCCAUCAUCAGAUGCUUUUCGGAAAAUCCCUCGCAGUGCAAGGGGGAAGAUGCUUCAAGUAGCUUUCAUACACUUGUAACCACGUUCCUUAGUCAGCAAGUCAUCCCUCAAACUUCGCUGUUAUUUGCAUGUAAGAAGAAGAGCAAAUAAACCAAAUAUAUAAUCGACCUGUGGUGAUAAUCUGAUACACAGCUUGACCCAAAUAUACUCCACUGCCGAUUCAAACACCAUCCACUUCAAGGUAUGCCUCUUCUUUGAAAUAUCUAUGGUAAAUAGGACAUUGAAAGGAUCAGAUUGUGAAAAAAGAAAGUGUAUAACAGAAAACUAGGAUCUCUCUCUCAAAGCACAUACAACAUAGGCUAAUCAGGAUUUAUGGCAUAAUAUACUUCAUUACAUAGUAAAGUUAUCGCUAUUAACAUCUAUUUAAUACAAUAUCAUCCUCAGACUGCUUGAUCAUUUGUAUGAAUUUCCCCUGUUUGAAAAACAUUAGGCACCAAAAGCACUAACAGAUGAGUACACAUAAUAGUUCAAUACAGAGAUUUCGUACCGAACCUAGAUAUAUGAGGAUAAAAAUCCACCUUAUACCCCUCCAAAUAUUUGCCAUCUUGGGCAGUUUGAUUCAGUGAAUUGUCUCUCAGAUUUGAAAAAACUUCAUCAAUGGGACAUGGGACACAAUGAGAAGAUGUUUGGAAGAAAACUUGGCAUUAAUCUGAUUUACUCUUCAUCACAUUUCAGAUGAAAACUAGGACAGAACUCAGAGACAAUGGAUAGUUCUCCUAGUAUAGGAAGAAGUUCCAUUUAUCAUGAGAUAUUUGAUCCACAACUCCAUUGUCGCUACAUCUGCAGAAUAACCCCUUUCAACCAUUUCAUUGACAAGUUGUGCUGCUCUAGUAUUUUCGUUAUUUCUUAGUAGUCCUUGGAUCAUUGUGUUGUAAGUGACACCAUCUGGAAAGCAUCCAUUUUCUUCCAUCUCCUUUAGAAGCAGAUAUGCUUCCUCCGUACGUCCUCCUUUGCACAACUCAUGCAUGAGAAUGUUAUAUGUCCACACGUUAGGUUGCAAGCCUUGAGCAUGCAAACUAUCAAACAGCCCCUUUGCACCAUCGAGUUUUCCAGCAUUACACAUGCCAUUUAUUAUCUUCCGAAGCAAUGUCAUGGCCUUGUCAAUCUGUCGCGUUUUACACAAGCCAUCCAGGAAAGAAUUCAAGGUAUAAUGAUUUAGAUACAGAUCACGAGAUUGCAUCUCGUUAAUUAGCUCCCCCGCGGCUUCAAGGUUCCCAACCUGGCAAUAUCCACUUAUGAGAGUGUUGUAUGUGAUGACAUCAGGAUUCAAGCCCCUUUCAAGCAUUUCUUGGAACAGUAUUUUUGAUUUGUCAAUUCUUUUCGCUUUGCAGUAUCCGUUAAUCAAUGUGUUAUAAGAAACGACAUUAGGUAAGCAGCCUCUUUCAACCAUCAAAUUAAGAACCGCCAUAGCAUCAUCCAUCCUAUUUUGCAAACAAUAACCAUUCAUCAAUGUACUAUAAGUGAAACUAUCAGGCAUUUUACCUAAUUGAAUCAUCUGGUUGAUUAUGGCCUCUGCUUCUACAAGCAUUCCCUCUUUACAAUGUGCAUCCACCAGAAUAUUGAAGGUUUGAACAUCCGGCAUGACUCUGCUUUGCACCAUAUGACUCAGCAGUCUUUGGGCCUCUUUCAAUUGGCCGGAAUUGCACACUCCUUGAAUGACAGAGUUAUAAGUAACGACAUCUGGUUCAAUUCCUGCCUCCAUCAUCUUCUCCAACAAGACCAUAGCAUCUUUCCAUUGGCCUAGCUUGCACAAGUAAUGAACCAAGGAGGUAUAAGUGAAUAUGUUGGGUUGGAAGCCUCCGCUUGUCAUCUCUUUCAACAAUAUGAGAGCAUCUUCCAUCUGGCCUACAUUGCACAGACCGUGGAUCAAGGAGUUAUAAGUAACAACAUCUGGUUUGAUACCUUUCUCGCUCAUGCUUUUGUGGAGUCUCAAGGCCUCUGUGAUCAAUCCCUCCUUGCAAAGACCAUUUAUUACUAUGUUGUAUGUGAAGGAAUUGAUGCUGCAGCUUCUCUCUUCCCAGUUCCUCAGCAAUUCGAUGGCCAAUCUGGUGUUACCCGCCCUGCAUAACCCCUUGGUGAUUAUCGCAUACGUGGUCUCACUAGGUUCGGGGCCAUUUCGUCCCAUAUCAUCGAGGAACCUCAGUGCUUGAUCAGUUUUGCCCUGAAUAAAGAGACCAUCAAUCAGGGUGUUCCACGUCACCACAUCGAUGUGAAACCCAAGCUUGAAGAUUCUGCCCAGAAUAGACAAGCCCAUAUCGACCCGCUUUAACCGGCAGAAGCAAUUUAUCCAAAUAUUGAGCAAGGCAACAUCACCCUCGAUCCCCAAAGAAGGCAGCUGCUCAAUCAAUCGGAUGGCAGUCGAGUAGUGCUUCAUCCUCACUAUAGCGCCCAACAGUAGACUGAAAUCCCAGGGGGAAGGCAAAGGGCUCGCCUUUAUCAUUUUACCGAAGCAACACAGGGCAUCACCGACACUCGUAAACACACCACCACCACCACCAGCUCUGCGAUUUGUCCUCACGCAACACAAGACCUGGUUGGGGUCGUCUAAAUUAGGGUUAGGGGUCGAGGAAAACCUCCGACGACGGUGAGACGAGAAAGGGAGAUGGAGGAUGGAAUGGGAUGUGGACUCGCUGGAGAUCGCAGCUGGAGCACCAAGAAGGAGGAAGAUGGAAGAAGCAGGGCAGAUAUUCGUUGGCUUCAUCGGUUGAUGACGAAUCUGAAAACUGAAAAGCUUCAGCUCAUGGCGCUCUCUCUAUCUCUCUCCCCGUCUCACUAUCAAGCUUUUAUACUCAGGCUCGGCUCUACCGUUUGUUGGUUAUAAUUAGGGGUGAGCAGCGGUCCAAGGUCAACCCUGGACCGACCUGAACUGGCCCGACCCUACUCGUCCUAGUUCGGUUCCCCGGGGACUGGGUUGGUCUUUGGUACUGAAAUUUCAAGAUCAACACUAUACGGGUUGGUUUUUGGUCCUAAGAGUUUUUGGUCGGUCUAAUCUUGGACCAACCAUAUAUAUUAUAUCAUAUUAUAUUAUUUAUAAUUCUUUUAUAUAUUCAAACCUAAAUAAAAUAUUUGUUAUAUUAUAUUAUAUUAUAUUAUAUUGAAAUGUUCUAUCCAUAAUUAAAAGUUCAAGUGAAUUAACAAGAUGUGAAGUUAUAUAUUUAUGGUUUAUAUUAAGUAUUUUGAACUUUUUAUGGUUCAAUUGUAUUUUACUACUGAAUUUCAGCUGUACUUUUCUUUUCAAUUUGUGUCAAAUGGUAGAAGUUUUUGAAGAGUAGAAUAGUACUACAGUUGCUACAGUGAUUUGCUAGUCAAGUGGUGUAAGCUCAUUUUUGGUUGAAUGGACUCUACAUGAUCAAAUGCAGGAAACGCUUUUGAAUAUAGUGUUAUGAAUAUUAAAGAUAGAUGAUUACAAGAACUUUCUAUAUUAUCUCAUAUCUCGAUGAGCGGUUAGCAUGUACAAAAUUUCUAUUAUUGUGUCAUCUUAAAUUUGCUAAAUAUGUAUUUGUAUUUAUAAUUUAGUUACACAAUACCGCAUUGUCGAUGGAUGUGUAAUUUGAAUUUGUAGGUUUGCUUUUUUAGGGAGUAUAAAAAAUAAGACGAAAAAAAUUAUCAAUCAGUCCUGGGUUGACCCUGGAACCGGACCAAACCCAUUGGGUCGGUCCGGUCCUUGGUCCCAGACUCAAUAGGGUCGGUCCUUGGUCCUAAAAAUUGAGGACCAACACUGUACGGGUUGGUCCUAAGAUUAAGGGGUGGCCAAGACCACCCGGACCAUGCUCACCCCUAGUUAUAAUAUCGAACGGAAAGAUGUAAGAUCUGGAUAGGGCAUGAUUUCAAAUGAUCUCGCAUCAUUAUUUACUGACGAUACAAAUUUUCUUUUAUCCAUUUUUUAAAUAAGUAAUACAAUUAAUCAUUUUCACCACAAAAUCAUAUUUGCAUUUUUCGUUCCUAGUGGCUCGUGUGCAUAGCUUUACUUCUCUUGCAAAUAGUUAAGACUUGCUGGAUCAUUAGACAUACUCAUAAAUAGUGUGAUAACUUAAUGAUAAGUAUCUAACAAUAUAUUUCAAUCGACUUAACUUGUAACUACGAUUGUGUAUGUUUGUACGGAUGAAUAGAUUAUAGCAUGUAACACGGAAUUUAACUCAUUCUAUGUCCCGAUCCAACAAUUGAAGUUUGAUUUGACAAAUAUUUCUGACUCAGUCAUUCCUAAUUCCACUACAAGGCCUUCAGCAUUCUGCUUCAUAAACCGCAAUCCUUCUUAGAAAUAUAGUUGUUCAAGGAUUUAAACAAAAACACCGGAGAAGAUGAGAGAGAGAGAGAGAGAGAGUAGUGACAGGCUAUGCCGUUAAAAUUUGAAAUUGAAACACGAAAUUUAUCCUAGGAGUACGUUUAACAAAUAACUCCACUAUAAUUAGCACAUUGCAUCUCUAUGUUACAACUCUCAAUUACAAGAAAAAGAAAUCAUAUAUGCCUAGUAACUAUUCAUGGACUUGAACCAAAAUUAUUAAUAAAAUAUGAGCUCAAACUAUAAAAACCUCAAAACUCCUCUAUGCCUUCCUAUUAAUUGGGAGUAUGAAUCACAUCCCCUACAUAUCAUAUAGUACGGAAAUUGUUGUUAGAGAGGCAAAGUGGCAAAAAAUAGGGAUGGAUUUGAGUGGGUCACAGAGUGAGAAAGAAGCAAUGGUGGGUGGCAACGAAUACUCCGGUGGUAGAUGACGACACUCGGGCUAGUCAUUGGUGACUACGAUUGGCGAGAGAGGCAAACAAGAACUAGAGGUCGAGAGGGGCAUCAAGCGUGAGUGAAUUAAUGGCAACGGGCUUUACCCAAAUGAAAACCAAAAUGAGUUUACUUUCAUUAUGAAACUCCAAUUAGUACUGCCUCAAACAUUUUUCCCAAAAGUCUUUUGAAAAAAAAAAACUAAAUUAAUACCUCAUGAUAUAUUUAUUCAAACUAAUUUCAUCUCAUAGAAUAUCCUAAUUGAUACCUCUCACACAAAUCUAUCCUCCGUUAAAAUGCAUACAUGUCAACAUACAUGAAUUUUCCACAUCGGAUCAAUCAUUUUUUACCUCUCAUUCAUCAUGUGUUGACAAAUAUGCAUUACAAGUAGAUUCUGGUUUUAUUUUUUGUGAGACGAAAUUAAUUUGCGACCAACGUGCCAUGCAUUUACUAAUUUGAGAUUUUUUUUUGUAAGGUUAGUAAUAUAUUGACUUUUAACCAAAAAUUAUACAACAGGGGGUUCUUGGCACCAAAAAACUUACUCACUUUGGAAUUUAUCGUGAUAUUAAUCCUUCAAAAUAUUAAAUGCUAUCAUCUGCUAGUGAAAUUUACUACCAUGAACAACAGUCUAAAAAUACUAAAGUUGAAUGGGAAAUAACUUUUGUACCUUCAAUCACUUCAAACAUAUUCAUGUUCACAUAUGCAUCCUCUCUGAAGUAAAUAUGGGUAGGUAGGACAUUGGAGGGAUCAGGGAUCAGGCUGUGUUAGGAAGAGAGCAAAAAGGAAAACCAAUAUCUCUCCCUCAAAGCACAUACACAAUAGAUUAAUCGGGAUUUAUGACCUCAACAUUAAUUAAAAAAAAGGAUUUUUGUGCUUAGCAAACUAAAGUAUUAACAUCUUUUUAAUUUAAGAGCAUCCUCACGCUGCUUGAUUGUUUAUAUGAAGCAUAAACCGACGGGUACAUGUACCAUGUAUGAAUAGAGAUUUCUUGCAUAACUUAGCUCAAGGCUGGUAGGGACCAGCCUUGGGCUUUCAGAAUUCUACCAAAUGUUGAAAACAUUUUUUUUCCUAAACUAUCCUCAUUAAUUUUUUGUAUUUCUGUUAUUGCCCCUAUAUUUAUUUAUUUUUUUAAAUGAAGAAGGAGCAGCCCUUUGCCGAACCAACGAAGGGCGACGGCCGCCAGCGCCAGAUCCGGCUCGCCAGCGGCCACAGCCCUUCGCCGGCUGGCGAAGGGUUUAGCUGAAUUUUCAAAGAAAAGAAAAAUAUAUAUAUAUUACCCAAAGCCCCUUGGAAAGUUCUUUUUACCAAAUACACAUUCAACUCAAAGUUCAUUUGCAAAAUUUUUUUACCAAACACAAUUGCAUUUUUCCCAAGUAGCUUUGGGCUUUCAGCAUUUGCAUUGAACUCAAAGCCCAUUGCAAAUGCUGAACCAAACGCAGUCUUAGAUACACGAGAAACAAAACCCUCCAAAAAUCCUCAUAAUAAAGCAAUAGAAGGUCACCCAGACUUAAAACAACUCCGUUAAUGGGACAUGGGACUCAAUGAGAUGAUUUGUGGAAUAAAACUUGCCCUCAAUCUAGUUUACUCUUCAUCACUUUUCAGAUGGAAAGAGUGGACAGACCUCAGAAAAAAUGGAUAGCUCAACCAGAAAAGGAAGAAGUUCCGUUUGUCACCAGAUGUUUAACCAACAACUCCAUUGUUGCCAUACUUGCUGAAAAACCCCUUUCAACCAUUUCACCGACAGCUUAUGCUGCUUUCAUGUCUUCCUUAUUUCUUAGUAGUCCUUGGAUUAUGAUGUUAAGAGAGACACCAUCUGGAAAGCAUCCAAUACUCUCCAUCUCCUUCAGCAGCUGAUACGCCUCCUCCGCACAUCCUCCUUCGCACAAUCUACACAUGACAAAGCUAUACAUCCACACGUCAGGUUCCAGCCUCAAGCAUGCAAACAAUUAAACAGCCCCAUAGCAUCGUCAAGCUUCCCGGAGUUACACAUGCCUUAUAUUAGAAUAGUGUAUGACACAAUAUCCGGUGUGAAUUUGGAGUCUUUCAUCUUUCGAAGCAAUAUCAGCCCAGCAUACUCGGUCAAUGGGUCGAGCAAGCAUCUUCACCAAUAGUCAUUGCAUGGGCAUGUUCCAUCCAUAAAAUGGUGGAACCUGUUUGCAUCCCUUACGACUAUAGGUCUUCCAGUUGCCAUGGAGAUAUAUUUGAUCGCAGAAUGACAAUCUCCACAAAUGCGAAGAUUCUUAAAUACCCUAAUAGAUUUCGGACUGGAGGUGCUUAUAAGGCCAAAAACGACAGCAAUUUUCUCACUGUGUUGGAGCAAAUAUUGUUCCUUUUGUCCCUCCUCCACAUCAUGAAGAACAAAUUGAGUACUCGGAAAAUAACCCAGUUUCUUUAUUCUACUAGCCAAUCGGUCUAGUUCCUCAUAGAUCUCCCAUGCCUUCGGAUGUGAAGCAUCGCCUGUUGGAAAAAGUUUAGAAUACAUAAAAAAAAAAAAAUUUAUUGAAAAUACAUUACGAAGGAUUAGAAAAUAGAAAAACAAAUGUAUGAGGCGUGCAAGUACUGUCCUUAAGGAUAAUUCCGCCCCUCGGAGUACGAAACUUGGUGCGUAAUGCUUCAGUGGCUAUCGUCCCAAGAUACAACAGACAUUCAUCUAUACUCCGCACUGAAUAUUAGAAGGAAACAUAACAACUUUUAUGUAUAACCCAGCUGAAAGGAAAUGAAAGAUAUAUGAGAAUAUAUUGUGUCUUUAUGAGAUCUUAUUUUUAUAUUUAGACAAAAUAGAGCCGUUAAAAGAGCCGUUGUAAAAUAAUGGAUGAUUUAUUUGAGAAAUAAAUUAAACGUUACAAAACGAUUUAAAAAGCCAUUAUAUGACCAUUAAGAAACCGUUAUGUGACCGUUAAAAAUAAUGAUGAUUUUCAAUGCGAUCAUAACUUUUAUCGAAGCUAUUAUUGUAAAUAUUUCAAAACUGCUGAAAUAUCCAACAAUCCCCCACAUAUUUCAGAAAGUUUUGACAAGAAAAUAAAAUAAUGCUGGGUUAUUGGAGAGUAAUGUAUCGGAAUUGGUGCUUGUUAGGUUAUGAACCAACCCUAGAAAGAAUGAAAUAUAAUUAAUGAAAUCAUUAGUGAAGUUUGAAACUUCUAUGAACUAAAAAUUUCUUUUGUGAAUUAUAAUUUUCAUCAAUCACAUUAUACUCCCACAAACUUUGUUGUUCAACGCGGUUUUGCGCUAAUAGGCCAUGCGCAUGCUUGGUUUAUUCAUAAGUGCUUCAGAGAUUUUCGCCAAAAAAUCUCAUAAGAGCGGCCCCACUCCACACUUAUAUAGGUGAUUCCAUCAAGUGUAUUAUGCAGUUUAAUACACCAUCAAUAAUGGCUAUGGAAUUUCAUUAAGAACUUAGCUCAACCUCUUUUUCCUUGUAAUUUUGCACUAUUUUCACUUUAGAAUGGACAAUAAAUUUUAAUAGUGCACUAAAUCAAUAAAUGACUUGUUAUUACCAAUAUGAACCUAAUUCAUGGGAUCGCCAAUCACAUAAGUUAGGUUACCAUCACUGUUGAUUUUCUUCAAUUGGCUUGUCCCAUUCCCUUCGAUGUAUAGUCAAAUGAUUGGCCAAAUCAUUUCUGACUUAAUAUAAUCGAUUGAUAUAAAUCCCUUUUAUAAGGAAUUAUUUUAUCACAUCACGUUUCAACCAAACGUCUCUUUUUGCCAUUGAAAGUUUCAUUCUUUGCAAUAGCUAUUGCCUUUUGGCAAUCAUAAUGUCUAGACAUAAGUGUUAUUUCAUUUCCAUAGGAACAUACAGUAAGAAAUUUCUCAACUACUCAGCCUCAAUUUUAAUGAGUUUGAGAAAUUUUUCUUCUUCCCAAGAACUUGAGUAGUUCUUCAAUCAUCAAGAUAAAUAUUUUCUUCUCCUUCCUUACUAGAGGUUAGGAGGAUAAAGCAUUAUGUUUUUAACAUAUAUGCUUGGUAGUACCUAAGUCUGUCUCAAAUUCUUUUGCAUUUGCCAAAAUAUUGGCUUGGAAAAUGACUACAACAAUUACAUCAUUAGAUCAUCUACUUCAACCAAGUCAAAUUUUGGUUGAGCAGGAUUGUCAUUUCCCCCACAAUUUCAUUUGACUGCUUUUUAUGUUGCGACACCUCCACAAGGUGGACACAUAUUCAUUUGUGGAUUUUGUCUCAUAUGAAUCCGAGAUCCACUUAACAUCACUGUAUUAUUCUAAUACAGUGAAAAAUCCACUAUGUAAAAAUGUCAUAGUUUUAUAUUCACAUGGCCGCAAAAUCCAUAAAAAUUCUAUUGUUGUGAAAAUUGAUCUCACCUGAGAUGUUCAUUGGUUGUCGUGGAGUCUUUGACUUCUGUCUCUUCACGCUGAUCUCUACUCAAAUCAGCCAGACAUACAAGUUCGUUGAUGAUGGCAUAUUCAUUCAAAGAAAAUUUUGCACUAGGAGCUGCUCUUAUUCUAAUAAAAAGAAGCUUGAAGAAGUGAGUAUUUGUAAGGACAAAUUUGGCCUCCACCAAACCCAAUACCAAGCACUUGUCAACACUAAAUGGUAUAUCAACGAUAGAAAAUUUGUUGCUUUGCUAAAACAUUUAUAAAAGUAGCAUUAUGAAAUCAUCAUAAAUCCCAUUUGCAAGUGUUGAAUCCUCAUCAGCAAUGUUACAUACACAUGUAGGAGCACAAAAACACUAAUUAACGCUCGACUCUAAAUCCUACCACAAAAAGUCCUAUCUUAAGAUCGAUGACAAGAUGAUUACCACUCUUAACGCAAGUGAAACUAUUCACACCAAAAAAAAAAGAAUAAAAUAGUUCACAUUUUAGAAAGGAACAUUAGCUACAAUCCUUGAGAUUGGCUAUGCAUUGAACGUUAUUUACUGUCCUUGACCCACAUAUUAGAUAAUGGAAAGUAAGCAGUACGCAAUGGGUCAAAUGAAGCAAAGGAUAUCUAAAGUUAUUAUAAGAUAUACAAUUACCUUGGUCUUGCGCUACCAUAAGAGUGAUCUUGCGCUACCAUAAGAGUGAUGGCUCUUUAAUACGAAUAUCAUAAAAUCUUCUAUUUCAGUUUAAAUUUUUACCUGCAGCUUCUAGAAGGUAACAAAAUAAGGUGACAAUAAGUUUUUAACAAAUCUUGAAUGUCACUAAUAGUGUCCUGUCUCCUAGAUAAGUUCUCAUCAUGCUCUGUUAAAGAGGCAAUAAAAUGUCACAAAUUAAAAUGAUACAUGAAAAUACCACCACUUUCACUUUACAAGCACUAGACUAAAAAUGAACUGGCUAAAUCUCUUCCACUGGCACUCAGAGUUUAUUCAAAAUCUCAAACUGAGAAAGAAACAACUACCGGCAUGCAUCCAUCAAUGGUGCUCAUCCAAUAUCCCUAAAAUAUAAAGCAGGGCAAAGACAAAAUGCAAAAAUAUAUAUAGCUUGAUUUCGUAUGUUGUACCUCCUCUAUUUUUAAUGAGCAUAAAGAAGGCCAAUAUGAGACUCAUAAUUUUCAGCUUGCAUUAUUAACAAUUGCACCAGAUAGAAAGGUCAAAGCCAAGCAAUAGUCAAAAUAAAACCUACUAAUAUAACAGUUCAAAGUUAAAUCAAAUACACCACCCAAUCACAAUCACUAUUGCUCUCUUCUAAUGGAAGAGCAACUGACGCCUUAAUGAAUUUUCCAAAAAAUUAAACAACAAGAAGAACAUGGUUCUACUAACAACAACAUCAUUGCAGUGGUUCUCAAGCUUGGAGACAUACUUCUUGUCCUAUCAACACAAAAAUUCCUUGAUGGAUACUAGAAGUCAUUAACAUUCAGAUGGUAAGAAUUUGAAACCAUUUUGUAAAGUAAAAUUUACUCACAAAAAUCCAAAGUUUCCAUUUUUUUUCUUUUUCAUUUCUAAAAUAUGAAAUGGGUCACUACAUAAUGGUUAAUAUCAAGCGGUCAACCAAUUAAAACAAUAGGAACAAUCUCUAAUCCUAAAAUUACAACUUCCAAAUCAUGAACAGAAUUAAAAUAGGAAACCCCAAUGCGGAUUGAAGCUUACGAAUAAUCACAAAUUUGAGUGAGCAAAUAAUUACAAGCACCCAACUUCCUCUCGAAACAAAUUUAGGUAUUAAAGCCUCAAAGUACGAUUUUACCUUACAUUCAAUAACCUUACCAAAACGACCAAGAAACCUUUGACGAUGCUCAGUAAUUUCCCACAACAUCUGCCCAUGAAUAUGUGAUACUUGUACUUCACCAUCUCGAUCAGUCUUUCAAUUCCAAUUGCGGUGGUGGCGACAGCAACAACUUCAACUUGGAAAUCCAUAGGACUUAUCCUUAAGAUUGUUGGAACAAGAAGGAUUAGAAAAUAGAAAAACAAAUGUUUGAGGCGUGCAAGCACUGUCCUUAAGGAUAAUUCCGCCCCUCGGAGUACGAAACUCGGUGCAUAAGGCUUCAGCGGCACUGAAUAUUAGAAAGAAACAUAACAAUUUUUAUGUAUAACCCAGCUCAUAGGAAAUGAAAGAUAUAUGAGAAUAUAUUGUGUCUUAUGAGAUCUUAUUUUUAUAUUUAAACAAAAUAGAGCUGUUAAAAGAGCCGUUGUAAAAUAAUGGAGGAUUUAUUUGAGAAAUAAAUUAAAUGUUACAAAACAAUUUAAAAAGCCAUUAUAUGACCGUUAAGAAACCGUUAUGUGACCGUUAAAAAUAAUGAUGGUCUUCAAUACGGUCAUAACUUUUAUCGAAGCUAUUAUUGUAAAUAUUUCAAAACUGCUGAAAUAUCCAACAGUGAAAUAUCCAACAUCACCCACAUAGAACUUGUGAACUGUAUUUUUCACUUCAAUCCAGCUACAACCAGCUUCUUUUGUAAGAUCUUUCAGUUUCAUCUUCUUUCUGAUUGCUGCAGCAUCUUCCCAUAGACCAGCCGAGGCAUAAAUAUUUUAUAGCAAAAUAUAAGUCGCAGUGUCAUCUGGUUCUUGCUCAAAAAUCAUUGCUGCAGCUUGUUUUGCAAGUUCAACAUUGCCAUGAACUCGGCAAGCUCCGAGAAAUGUACGCCAGACAAGUGUAUCAGCCCGGAAAGGCAUUGAAUUUAUAAACUGAAGGGCUUCGACAAGGGAUCCUGAUCUGCCCAAUAAGUCCACCAUACAUGCAUAGUGUUCGGUUCUAGGCACGAUUCCAUGUUCUGUGUACAUUGACCUAAAGUGUUUCCAUCCAUCAGAUAUCAAACCCACAUGACUACAAGAGGAUAAAACAGCAACAUAGGUGAUCUCAUUUGGCCUCACACCAGCAUCAAGCAUUUGAUGGAAUGUGUCUAGAGCUCUCAUCCCAAAUCCAAGCUUUGCAAAACCAGUAAUCAUUGAAGUCCAAGUUAUGACAUUUUUCUCUCUUGUCCCACUGAAAACUCGAAAAGCAGCUUCUAUGUUUCCACACCUGGAAUACAUAGAGAUCAAAGCAUUGGAAAUGCACUGAUUUGAGUCAAGCCCUGAUUUUACCAUCCUCGCAUGGAUUUGCUCCCCCUUACCAAUAGCGCCAACGCAGGCAACUCCACUCAAAAGGCUGGCAAAUGUAAAAGCACUUGUUCCGAUCCCUCUCUCCUCAAUCUCAUGUAGUAGUUCAAAGGCUUCAUCGGACUCCAAACUUUUGGCAUAGGCAUCUACAAGGGUAUUAUAAGAAACCAGAUUCUUUUCAAAUAGUGCAUCAAAAGCUCUCUGAGCGUCUUCCAUGUGGCCCGACCGGGAAUACAUGCUGACAAGAGAAUUACCCACGCAAGUAUCACAGGCAAAGCCCAAUUUUAUAGCUAGUGCAUAUAUUUGUAUCCCCAUAUCUACAUCACAAAUAUUUCCACAUGCCUUGAGAACACCAGCAAAUGCGAAAUCGUUUGGCCUCACGGGACCUUUUGUCAUUUCCCAAAAGAGCUUGAUAGCCUCCUCAUUCUCUUCCGCCCGUGCAUAUCCUGUGAUUAUCGCCGUCCAAGACAUUACAUUGUGAUCUUGCAUCUGAUCAAACACCUUUCUCGAAUCAUGAAGCGAUCCACCAUCUACAGACUUGACAUACAUGUCCAGCAAACUGCAUCCAACACAGACAUCCGAAGCCAAUCCAGACCGUAUAACCCAGGAAUGCAAUUGUACCCCGAGCGAUAGUAACUCCAACUCUGAACAUGCAGACAAAACAGCCGUGAGUGUAAAUCUAUCUGGCACAGGCCCACUCACCAGCAUAUCCAAAAACAAAUCAACAGCUUUCUUUGGACUACCCAACUGAGUACAUCUCGUCAUCAUCAAAGUCCAAGCAACCACAUUCCUCUCGGGCAUUUUCUCAAACACCUUACGAGCUGAAACCAAAUCAGCACUACCCUUUGCAAACAUGUCAAUCAAUGCACACCCAACACACACAUCAGAAUCAAGAUAGCCGCUUUUGAUAAUAAACCCGAAAACCGUAUCGCCAAUAGAUGCACUCUCCGGGACCGAGCAAGCCCGAGCAACCGCCGCGAAACAAUAAUCAUUAGGGAAAAACCCAUCCUCGAGCAUAUGAACGAACGUAUCCACCGCUUCAAACUCCAUGUGAUUAUUGGCAUAGCAGGAGAUCAUGGAACUCCAAGAAACCAUGUCCCUCUUAUCGCCCAUGUCCCCAAAAACCCUCUCCGCCUCAGCCCAGUCGUUGGAUUUCGAGUAGAGACUGAUGAGCGAGUUGAGGAUCACCGAGUCGGGCUCGAGCCCGGACCGGGCGAGCGCGCGGUGGACGCGCCUCCCCAGCGCGAACGCGCGGGAGCGGAUGCAUGACUUGAGGAGGAGCGACAAGGUGAGGACGUCGGGGUGGGACCCGUCGCGGGACGCGAGCUCGAGUCACUAGAUAGCUCCGCGGAGGUCGCCGCCAUCGAGGCGGGCGACGAGGCGGCGGCCGUCGAGGGGCGAGGGGGGAAGGUUUUGGCGGGAAGGAGAGAGCUUGACGGUGGACGGUGGAGGGAAGAGAGAGAAAUUCAUUGCUCCAUGCAAGACCAGCAUGGCCUGCUACAUCAAGAAAUGAAAAUAGAUAGGUUCAUGAAUUACAUGGUCAAUUAUGCUUUUGAUUGAACUACUUUUAUUUUGCAUUACUUCUUACCUGAGAAAAGAUAAUCAAACGAUGGACGAUCUCGUAAUUUUAUUGUUAUACAUAAGUUAUCGGGACACUUAAUGUAUUUAAGAACGAUUCAAGUUCUGUUUGAGUGUUCACAUCAUCAACUCGUUUCUCGAAUGAAUACAAAAGAGGGUAGAUACUUUAUUAAUAUCUUCUUCAAACAUGUCUAGGGACUCUUUUUUAGGGGUGAUUAGUUCCUAACACUUUAUUAAUAUAUCCUUCAAACAUGUCUAGGGACCCUUUUUAAGGGGUGAUUAGUUCCUGAUUCAGUUCGAUUUCGAUGCGGAAUCAGAAAUCCAUUUGUAAUAUUAGAAAAGUAGUCGGGAAAUAGAUUUGGAACAAAAAUAAAAAAGUAAAAAAAAAAUAACUUCUUGUUCUCGGGAACAAUUUCUAGAAAUAAGUUUGUUUUCUUUUCUUUUUCUUUUCUUUUCUUCUUUUCUUCUUAUUCGUUGGCGACCACACCCUUUGCCGCUUGUCGUCGGCUGACUGCCGUUGCUGCCACCGCCAUCUAUCACCACCCACCACUAAUGACCGCCGAUGACGCCACCCACCAGCUAGCUAACAAACUACAGUCACCAUUAUGGCAUUGAAAUUUUUUCCAAUCUAGAAACUUGAAUAAUAUUUAACUCUUGCCAUUAGCAAAUUGACAAAUUAGCCAAAGGAAAAAUGGCAAAUGUACACUUAAGAAAUAAUUUGAAUUUCAUGAACAGAUCAAACUGCAUACUUGGUCCAAAGCAAACGAUCAAAUCGCAUUGUUUCCUUCUUAUGUCCGAAACAAACAGAAGCUUUUGAGAAUGCUCAUGCAUUGCUACCAUUAAACGAAGAUUUAUAUGCUAAUCCCUACUGGGGACAACCACUAUAAAUAGUGAAGACUUGAGCCUCUCUCGAGAUGCAAAAUAGGAGUGAGCACAAAAAUUAAGUAAAGGAUAUCAAGUUAAGGAUGCUCCUUCAAGAGUUGCAGUUAUGCUAGUUGGGUCCCUUUUAAUGUUCUAUAUUGUUCAAGGUGCUCCGAACACUAACAUAACUUAUAGGGGCCGCAAUGGUGGUACCUAUUCGAGCAACGACCCUAAUGCAGACAGCGUGGCUUAUGUCCUCGCUGACAUGGCGACUGUCACACCAAAUCAUGCAAAUUACGACUACUACACCGCGUCUCCUUAUCCCACGGCAGCUGCCUAUGGUCAUGCCCCCUGUAACCCGGCACUUUCUUUCAGCGAUUGCGGUAUAUGUGUUAGCGCUGCUAAGGCUCGAAUAUUGGCAGACUGUCCAAACAUUUUUCGGCAUCGAUAUGGUGUGAAGAUUGCAGUAUGAAGUAUGAAAACUAUUUAUUUACUGAUUAAAUAGUUCGCCGCCAAACCAGAGAGCCGUGUUCUAUUGUAUGCGGUUGUUUCUGCCGCACAUGUUGCCAUGUUUGUUUUUGCAAGAAAUGACAUCCUAGAAGAUAUGCUUUCUUUGUCAAUUUAAAGUUCUCAAAAUAAUACUUAUUUAUUAUGAUGAAAAAACCUAACAAAAUAUCUAUAAGCUAAUGACUAGUGUGAAAAUGUGCCGUGUAUCUAAUCCAUUCUUACGUUCAUUAGAUUUGUUAUUACGAUCCAAAAGUAUGCAAUUACUAUAUGCUGUGUAUCUUCCCCUUAUUCCAACUACCUACAUUUAUCACAAGAGUAUGCAAUUACUAUAUGCCCAUUUCCAAAAGUUCUAUAGAAUAAUCGAGAAAGCCCUUGUCUCUGGAGAUAAUCAAGGAUUGCUCGUUCAUGGACAGAAACCUUUUAGAUCGUAUCACUUCCUUGGACCAUAACACAUGUGCCUUACUUCACUUUACACCAUCUGAUAAUCUUAUUAUUUCUUAAUUUGGCACACCCAUCUUAUUAUGAAGAAAAGAUGCAAGAGACCACAUUUUGGUAUAAUCAAAAACACGCGAUGUACCUGACUAGCUUUCCACGUAGUCGAAUAUUCCAGCUUGAUUGCAAUUAUUAGGAUCAAUAGUGGAAGAUAAAGCACUAUCUACAAAAAUGGGAAGAAAAAUGUUUUGGGCAAGAUUUUGUGCUCUGGAGGAGAAGAAGCACCACCAAAUUGUGAAGGUAAUUGAAAAAAACUCUAAACCCACUGCAUUUUAAGCAAUUCAGUCAUAAAUCUUUUAAUUUUACCAAUUGACUUCUAAUUUUUUUUUUCACUUAUCAGCAGUUGAUUCUAUUCUGCCAAUUUUGGCCAAAAAUUACUAACAUAGACGGCUGGGUUGACGUGACAUUUUUUAAAUAAUAUUUUAAUAAUAUUUUGAAGGUCGAGGCGAGGGCGGGCAACCCUCACCUCUGGUAGGCCCUCGUCUAAGCUUCGGUGACCUAGUCGGCCUUUGCUGCCGUCCCAUUGGCAAUGGGGGGCGGUAGCCACAGGGGAGAAUAAGCACCCUCUCCCUCUCACUUCUGUUUUCCUUUUUCUAAAAGUUUUUUUUCUAAAGAAAAAAGGAAAAAAAUUUAAAAAAUUUAAAAAAACAAAAUUGUCAUAUAUAGACUCUUCUUUGAGACUAAUAUUGGCAUUUCAAGCACUUAUUUGAGACAAUGAAUGCACUUCGGCCCCUUAUUUAAAAUAAAAUUCACUUUAAACUCUUAUUUGAGAAAAUAAAGGCACUUGAGGCCAUUAUUUGGAAUUUUCUCAAAAAACAAAAUUAAAAAAAAAAUUAAGAAGAAUAAAGUAAAUGGCUAAUGAUUUUCCUCACAAGAUUUUCAAAUUUCCAGUAUGAUAAUUUAUUUGCUCUGAAGGAAUAAAAGUUUCUUAGGGCAAAAAUUGCUAGAAAAAUAAGCAUCACCUUUUAAAGAAGGACAAAAGGAUCACAUUCUCCUUGCUCGAGGAACUCUUGAGCAAGAUGACCCAAAAUGCAUAUCAUUCUCAUCUUAAUUUAACCUUCAUGACUUAGCCUUCAUACGUAAGGAUUCAACUGACUGCCAUGGAAACACUGAAGUUGAGAGAACAUGUGACAUUUCAACGUCCAACACACUACACAAUCAUUUUGUGCGGAAAAAUUCUACAAUUAGUCAUAAACCUCUAGCACAUAAAUCAAUUGAGUCUUAAACCUUUCAAUUGAAAUAAUAGAAUCCUAAAAUUUUGUGGGAAAAUGCAAUCAAGUCCUCUCAUCCAAGUCUUGUUUGAUUUAUCUAAUGUGGCAAUCCAGUAAUCGCCAUCUAUCCUAUGUAAUGUUUCUAUCCUAUGUAAUGGCGACGACAUGACGUGGUCUAUUUUCAUCGAGAUGACGUCGCUUUCAAACUUACUGGUCAUCAUCUUUUAGCUUGCAUUCGCUUGGCUAGAGCUCCUCUGGUGCUCGUCCAUUGCUGUCCACUACUGCUUGGACCUUCGACGGUGUGCUGCCACCACUAUCGACCUAGAGGUGUGAAUCAAAUUCUAUGCAUUAAUAGUUCCUCAUAGCAACCAAUCUAAGGAUAGAAAGAAACCAACCACAAAACCCAACUCAAGACAUCUCACAGAAUAAGGUGGCACGAUUGUAAUGCACCAAUGGCUUAGUAUCGAAUGCCAACUAAGCCUCAAAAUUGCAAAAUUCGAUUAGUGCAAUUCCAUAGUAAAACAUUGCCCAUGGAGGCAUGUUGCUUUAUGAUAAGUACUAUCCUCUCAAACAAGGAACUUCCAUUUAGGAAGAAAACAAUCCUAUACAUUGCUUGCUUGCAUUAAGCUAUCCAUUGAGUUUGUGACUAUGUAACGCAAGCUGUUUGGCUGUGCUCUUACAAUAAUGUCUUGAUGCCUGGUGUAUUCCUUCGUUGAUGGCCCACAGCGUGAAUCUAUUUUGAAAAUGAUGUUCCCUUAAUGACUGUACUCUCAAUUCUUGCAAAGAUUGAAGGUUUCAAGGCCUCUAGUUGAUAUCGAUAUCUAACACUAAAGGAUCAAUCUGAGGUGAGUCGACAUAAUUUACAGUAAAGGAUACACCAUGCCCGCGACUUUCCAGCAAAAGAAAUCAUAAAGCUUCUUUUGAAACUGAAGCCUGAUGAUGCACUUGCACAUGGUUCUAGUCAGCGAAGAAUCUCGAAAAGUGAAAUUAAAACCAUCAUCGCAAAAACAGUGGCUUUGCUUCAGUGGGUAAGCCCAUAGACCAGCUUUUGUAAACAAGAAAAUGGACAACAGAGAGCUGAGUUGAUCCAAUUGUUAUAUAUGCAGAACUUCGAAUUGAUCCUUUUGCUCGAAAGGUUCUUUCUUCUGAGUUCAAUCGAUCAUAUCGGCCAUGAUAUCCACACGUGAACUUUGCUAGAAGAGCGUUCUCUGGAAUGCUUCCAUGCUACUAUGAUUAUGUGAGGAAACAAAGAGGAGUGGGCGUGACAAGAGGAAGACUGUCCAAGCAAUCCUGCUGCCUUAAGCGAAACAUGCGAAAACAAACAGAAAAAUCAGUAAUUGAAACAGAUAAAAAAGGCAAGAAAUGAGCCUCCGUUGAGAGGCAACCCUAUUUAUUGGGAAAGUAAACCAAUUGAUAGAGUGGAAAUGACAAUGGAAAGGUAAAUCAUACGGGCCUGACUGUGAUGAAUUUGGUUGGUGUCGCUCAAGACGUCUAUGUGGUUUGGCAUCUGUCAAUGGUAUUCACCCAUCAGCAGAGGCUUUUCUGAAAAUCCCUCACAGUGCAAAGGAAAAGAUACUGCAAGUAGUUUUCAUACACUUGCUGCCACGUCCCUUAGUCAACAAGAAGCAGAGCAGAUAACCCAAACGUGUAAUCUACCUUAGAUGAUAAUCUGAGUAACUAGCUCGCCACAAAUAUUCUCCCCUAUUAAUGCAAAGUGCACAUCACCAUGAUCAGGUACCAUCCACUUCCACUUAUGCAUCUUCUUUGAAGUAACUACAGGACAUUGAAGGGAUCAGAUUGUCAGGAAAAGAGUAUAAAAGAAAACUAGUAUAUCUCUCUCCAGCACAUAAGUAACAAGCUAAUCUGGAUUUAUGGUAUAAUUUUUUGAACCCAACGCCCCCCCCCCCCCCCCCCCAAUCGAAAAAGGCUGACUCCCCCCCCCCCCCCCCCCCCCAAAAAAAAAAAAAAUUAUAUAUAUAGGUCCCUGAUAUUGGUGCAUAACGUCUGCAUUGCAGAUCUUUGGUACAAAGUAAAUGUAUUGCCAUUAACAUCAACUUAACUCAAGAGCAUCCUGACACCAUACAAAGUAAAUAUAUAGGUCCCCGAUAUUUUCUUGCACGCUACUAUUAUUAUAUUUGUGUCAAGACACAAAGAGUAGAGGGGGUAACAAGACUCUCCAGGCAAAUCCUGCAGUUGUGAGUGGAACAUGCAAAAACAAACCAAAACAUUUGUUUGUCUGAUGAUAAAACAGAAAACUGGCAAUGAAUUUACCUCUAUAGAGAGCGAAAGAAAGUUAAAUCCUAUGAGCCUGUUUGUAAUGAAGUUGAUUGGUGCCACUCCAGAUGUCAAUGUGGUUUGGCAAGCAAUGUCUGUCAGAGGCAUUCAUGUUCACGCAUCAACAGAUGCUUUUUGGAAAAUCCCUUGCAGUGCAAAGGAAAAGAUACUGAAAGUUGUUUCCAUACAGUUGCAGCUAUGUUCCUUAGUCAGCAAGCCGUCCAUCAAACUUUGCUGUGAGAAGCAGAGCAAAUAACCCAAAUAUGUAAUCAACCUGCAUGACAAUCUGAGUACCCAGCCCGCCACAAGUAUUCACUGUUAUUGAUUCAAAGUGCCCAUCACCAUGAUCAUAUACCAUCCACUUCCACCCAUGCAUCUUCUUUGAAGAACUAUGGCAAAUAAGACAUUGAAGGGAUCAGAGGUGUUAGGAAAAGAAAAUAAAAGAAAACCAGUAUCUCUCUCUCAAAGCACAUACAUUACACCCUGAAAAAAAAAGAAAAAAAAGUAGUUUUCUUUAGUCCCAUUGAGGAAGAGGUCCAUGAUACUUGUCUAUAAUGUCUGAAUUGCAUAUAGUACACAGUAAAGUUAUGCUAUUAACAUUGAUUUAAUUUGAGAACAUCCUCACACCAAUUGAUCAUUCAUAUGAAUUUGACCUGUUUGAUAAAUAGUAGGCACCAGAAGCACUAACCCACAAGUACAUCUACCAGUUAAAUACAGAUUUCUUGCAAAACCUAGGCAUACGAAAAGCAAAAUCAACCUUUCCCCCCUCCAAAAGCCUGAUAAUCAAGCAAGAGGAAAAAUCUCCCAGACUUAAAACAACUUCAUUAACGGGACAUGGGACUCAAGGAGGUGAUGUCUGGAAGAAAACCUGCUGUUAAUCUGGCUUACUCUCCAUCAAAUUUUAGAUGAAAAAGUGGACAGAUCUCACACACAAUGGAGAAAUGAAGGAGCUCCAUUUGUCAAGAGAAAUUUAACCCACAACUCCAUUGUUGCUAAGUCUGCAGAAAAACCCCUUUCAACCAUUUCACCAACAAGUUGCGCUGCUCUCGUAUUUUCGUUAUCUCUUAGUAGUCCUUGGAUGAUUGUGUUAUAAGCGACACCAUCCGGAAGGCAUCCAUUUCCUUGCAUCUCCUUUAGCAGCUGAUAUGCUUCCUCUGUGCGUCCUCCUUUGCACAAUCCACGCAUGACAAUACUAUACGUCCACACGUUAGGUUGCAACCCUCGAGCAUGCAAACAAUCAAACAGCCCUAUUGCAUCGUCGAGCUUUCCGGCAUUACACAUGCCAUUUAUUAGGAUACUGUAAGUCACGAUGUUAGGGAUGAUUUUGGAAUCUUCCAUCUUUUGAAGCAAUAUCAUGGCCUUGUCAAUCUGCUGCGCUUUACACAAGCCAUUGAGGAAAGCACCCAAGGUAUAAUGAUUUGGGGAGAGAUCGCGAGAAUGCAUCUCAUUAAUUAGCUCCGCUGCGGCUUCAAGGUUCCCAACCUUGCAAAAUCCGUCCACGAGAGUGUUGUAUGUGAUGACAUCAGGAAUCAGGCCCCUUUGAAGCAUUUCUUGGAAAAACAUCUUUGACUUGUCCAUUCUUUUCGCUUUGCAGUAUCCGUUAAUCAACGUGUUAUAAGUAACAACAGUAGGUGAGCAGCCUCUUUCAACCAUCAAAUUAAGCACUUCCAUUGCAUCUUUCAUCCUAUUUUGCAAACAAUAACCAUUCAUCAAUGUACUGUAGAUGAAAAUAUCAGGCACUUUACCUAAUUGAAUCAUCUGGUCGACUACGGCCUCUGCCUCUACAAGCAAUCCCUCUUUACAAUGUGCAUCCACCAGGAUACCGAAGGUUAGAACGUCAGGCAUGACUCUGCUUUGCACCAUACGACUCAGCAGUCUUCGGGCCUCUUCCAAAUGGCCGGAAUUGCAAACUCCUUGAAUGACGGAGGUAUAAGUAACGACGUCCGGUUCGAUUCCUGCGUUCAUCAUCUUCUCCAACAAGACCAUAGCAUCUUUCCAUUGGCCUCGGUUGCAUAAGCAAUGAACCAAGGAGCUAUAAGUGAAUAUGCUGGGUUGGAUGCCUCCGCUCGUCAUCUGUUUCAACAAUACGAGAGCACCUUCCAUCUGGCCUACAUCGCACAUACUGUGGAUCAAGGAAUUAUAAGUAACAACAUCUGGUUCAACGCCUUUCUUGCUCAUAAUGCCGUGGAGUCUCAAUGCCUCUGUGAUGAAUCCCUUCUUGCAAAGACUAUCUAUUAUUAUGCCGUAUGCGAAGGAAUUGAGCCUGCAGCCUCUCUCUUCCCAGUCCCUCAGCAAUUCAAUCGCCAAUCUAGUGUUACCCACCCUGCAUAAACCCUUUGCGAUUAUGGCAUACGUGGUCUCAUCAGGUUCGGGGCCAUUUCGUCCCAUAUCAUCGAGGAACCUCAGUGCUUGAUCAGUUUUGCCCUGAAUAAAGAGACCAUCAAUUAAGGUACUCGAUGCCACCACAUCGAUGGGAAACCCAAGCUUCAAGAUUCUGCCCAGGAUAGACAAACCCAAAUCGACCCGCUGUAACCGACAGAAGCAAUUCAACGAAAUAUUCAGCCAAAUAUGAUUAUCUUCAACUCCUAACGAACGCAGCUGCUCAAUCAAGCGGAUGGCAGUGGAGUAGUGCUUCAUCCUCACUACAGCACCCAACAGAAGACUGAAAUCCCGGGGGGAAGGCAAAGGGUCCGUCUUCAUCAAUGCACCGAAGCAACGCUGGGCAUCGCCGACGCUCGAAAACACACCACCAUUCCUGCAAAUUUUCCUCGCGUGACUCAAGACCUCGCUUGGGUCAUCUAAAUUAAGGUUAGGGGUCGAGGAAAACCGACGACGACGACGACGACGGCGAGACGAGAGAGGGAGGAUGGAAGGGGAUGAUGGCUGGCUGGAGAUCGCAUGAAGAAGGAGGAAGAUGGAAGAAGCAGGGCGGCGGAGACUCGUCGGCUUCAUUGCUCUGGGGCCUCUCUCUCUCUCUCUCUCUCGAACCACGAGAGUUUCUCCCAAUGCGACGGUAGUAGCUGAAAAAUUACAGGGGAAAAUAUGGAAUUCAAUUUAUUUGAAAAUAGAUAACACAACCGAUGGUCCGUGAAUUUUACUAAUUUGGAGUCUUUUAUUCAAAACAAGGAUCGCAUUGACAUUAAAAAAGAAAUAAUUUAAAGACCCAAUUUGAGCUACUUUAAAGUUCAUGGAUGACUUCAUACAUUAGACAUAGUUGAAAAACCUAACUACACCUAUUAAAAUUUUUGGGAAGACAUGGACAUUCUGCAUAUUGAACAAAAAUCCAUGGAGCUAUUAGUGUCAUUGUCACAAUACGAGAAUAAUCCUACUAGCAAUUACGUACCCUUUUCAUUUAUCUUUUAUUAAAAUAUUUGGUCAAUUAAUCAAAUAAAGUAGCUAAAAAAACUUCAGGAGAAAGGAAAAUGAGAGAAAUCGCUUCUCAUCAUCUCCAUUGACUUUUUAACACUAAGCAACUUUAAGAUAAAAUUCAAAAUAAAAGCCUAGCGUGCCUUUAUUUUCUCAAAUAAAGUCCGAAGUAAACCUUGUUUCAAACAACAACACGAAGUGCAAUCAUUUUUUCAAGUAAGCACUCAAAGUAGAUCUUAUUUCAAACAAUGGCCUGAAAUAAUUAUAUCUAUUUCAAGGCCUAAUAUUCCGACUAGUCAAGAGCAUUUUGGUCAUUUAUCUUUUUUAUUGAAUAUUUUCCUUUCUUCUUUCUUUUUCCCGUUUUCCUUUACUUUUUUCUAGUUUUUCUUUCUUCAUUGCCGCCGAUGGCCAUCGAUGAUGCUGGAAAGGGUUGGGCAAGGAUUGCCCUUGCUCGCUGCUAGUAAGGGCCCCUCAUCGGCCACAAGUGAGGCCACCCUCACUAGAUUUAGCGAGGGUCGGCUUGACCUAGGGCGACGAGGGCCCAACGACCCUCACCAGCCACUAGCGCUAGGUAAGGUAGGCGAGAGUCACCUCACCCAAUCGCUAACAGCCGAUAAGGGUCGCCAAGCCCUCGUUGGCCCUAGGCAAGGCUAACCUUUGCCACAUUUGGCGAGGGUGGCCUUGAGCACAACCAACGAGGUUAGCAUAUCCCUUGCCAGCCCUUGCCAGCGGUCGAUAAGGGUGGCCAAGCUCUUGCCAGCCCUUACUAGCGACAACCCUUACCGACGGCCGCUCGCCAUCGUCACAUUAAAAAAAAAAAAAGUUAAACAAGGACAGAAAAAAAUAAUAAUAAUAAAUAAUCUAAAAUUAAAAUUGUAAUAGGACAAAAACACCCUUAAUUGGUCGAAAUGUUUAGUCUGCUGAAGCCGAAGACGGAUGAGGUCAAGCUUUUAUUUGAAACGACCAUAGCCACUUUAUGUCUUUAUUUAAAAUAAUCAUGAUCAUUUCAAGCAUUUAUUUGACACAAGAUUUACUUCGAGCCAUUUUUUGGAAUUUUCCCCAACUCUAAUGACUAAAAUAUCAGUAUUAUCUUGAAUAUACUUUCCUUGAAAAGACAGUCAAUAUUUUUAAUUUAAGGAUUUAUUUGUUUUAAGAAAAAUGAAAGACUUGAAAAACAUUUCUCUAAAAAAUGAUUGGUUAUGUUGCUCUAAAUAAUUAGCCAACAAAAAAUAUUUUCAUUAUCGAUAAUAAUUUGUGCCUGAACUUUAUUGUGGACGAUAAAAAUAUUUUUCGUUCAUAUAUUUUUGUUAGCAAUACAAUUGAUUAUAUUUAGAAAAAAAUAUUUUCUAAAUUGUGAUUUUUCACAAAACAAGCUAACCUAAGACUAAUCAAAUAAUUGAUUUGACUUGCAGUUCCAAUACGUUGGAAAAUACAAGUAAAUCUUAUAUAUUGAAAAAGUCUAUGCUGAUAAACAUGGCUGCUCAGUGCACGAAAUAAUGAACCCUGCACUUCCAAGAGGCCAACAUGUUGAUCCACAUGUUAUAACCCUGCUACAUUGAAGCGUAAUAGCUUGUUUUAUGGACAGCAAUGCUUACAUACACUAAGGGUGCAUUUGGAAAAACUUUUGGGGAAAGUCUUUAGGAAAAUGCAAAGGCCUUUUAAUGGUAUUUUUCAAAAUGCAAACUGUUUUUGGUAAAUUGUAAUUUAAAAGCCCUUGUGAAGUACCUUUGAGCAAAAUGGUGUUUGGAAGACAAAAGACUUUUGUGAAAAAAAAUAUUAUCAAAAAAUAAAAAUAAAAAAAAUGAAAACCGGCAAGGGCAGGCGGCAUCCGACGGCGACCCCCGGCAACCUUCGGCAACCCCGGAUCUAGGCCGGCGAGGUCGCGCGCGUCGCACGAUGCCGCCUCGACCUCCGAGAACCCCGAUUGGCCGUCGCGAGGCUACGCAACCCUUGCUUGAGGUUGGAGGACCUCGGCGAGGGCCGUGCUUGGGUCGUGCGACCUCGGCGAGGGUUGCGCCUGGGUCGUGCGACCCGAGCAACUACCGCCGAGGCCACCCUCGAUGGAGAAGAUGAACACUGAUUUGAGCAGCUACAGCUAGGGCCACCCUCGACGGAGAAGUUGAAUGGUGCUCCUCAUAAGGGCAAAAAAUGGAAAACAAAAAGUUCGUAAGGAUAAUUUCGGAAAUAUAUAUAUAUGAAUGAACAGUACCCCGAGCGGGCAUGCCGGAAAAGCCGAAAGCCCAAGGCAGGUCCUCCCCUGCCUUGGGCUUUCAGCCUUCACAAGGCUGGCCUUCUCCAAAGGGGGCUUCAAAUGUUUUUGCCAAACACCCCUACUUUAGCCCAAAGAUCUUUAGGGGCGCAAAGAUACUUGGCAAAGUGGUUGACAAACGGAGCCUAACUGUCCCUCCAGAAAGAACUUCAAAGUACUUGGGUCGGGUUUUUUGUGUUGACUGACUGCAAUGAAGUUGGUUGGUGUCGCUCAAGACUUCCAUGUGGUUUGGCAUUGGCCACUGGGAAUGUCUGUCAACAGCGUUCAUGUUCACCCAUCAGCAGAGGCUUUUCUGAAAAUCCCUAGCAGGGCAAAGGAAAAGUUACUGCAAGAAGUUUUCAUACACUUGCUGCCAUGUUACCUUGUCGGCAAGAAGCAGAGGAGAUAGUUUCCUUAUUAUUUGCCAUGUAAGAAACUAAGAGCAGAGGGCACGAUGAGAGGCAGACUGUCCAGGCAAACCUGCUGUUUUGAGUGGAACACACAAAAACAAACCAAAACAGUCUUCCUCAGUCAGUUAUUAAAACAGUAAAUUGGCAAUGAAUGUACUCUAUUGAGAGCGAAAGAAAGUUACAUCCUACAGGCCUGUCUGUAACGAAGUUGAUUGGCCCCAUUCAAGAUAUCCACGUGGUUUGGCAUUGGCAAUGUCUGUCAGCAGUAUUCAAGUUCACCCAUCGCUAGACACUUUUCAGAAAAUUCCCCGCAGAGCAAGGAAAAGAUACCUUAACUUGUUUCCAUAUACUUGCAGCCAUGUUCCUUAGUCAGCAAGCCAUCCCUCAAACUACGAUGUAAGAAGCAGAGAAAAUAACCCACAUAUGUAAUCGACCUGCGAUGAUAGUCUGAGUACCCAGCUCACCACACAUAUUCAUCACUAUUGAUUCAAACUGCCCAUCACCAUGAUCAUAUACCAUCCACUUCCACCUGUGCAUCUUCUUUAAGAACUACGGUAAAUAAGCCAUUACAUUACAUUAUCUCUCUCUCUCUCUCAAAGCACAUACAUUACACCCCAGGAAAGAACAUUGUUUUCUUUAGUUCCAUUUUGAGGAAGAGGCCCAAGAUAUUUGUGUAUAACGUCUGAAUUGCAUAUAGUACACAGUUAAGUUAUUGCUUUUAACAUCUAUUUAAUUCAAGAACAUCCUCACACCCCUUGAUCAUCUGUAUGAAUUUCACCUGUUGAUAUAUAUUAGGCACCAGAAGCACCAAUGAUGAGUCCAUGUACCAGUUAGAUACAGAGACUUAUUACAGAACCUAGGUAUCCAAUAAACAAACUUCACCUUCCACCCUUCCAAAAGCCUCGUAAUGAAGCAAGAGAGAGCAUCUCCCUGACUUAAAACAACUUCAUUAAUGGGACAUGGAACUCAAUGAGAUGAUGUGUGGAAGAAAACUUGCCGUCGAUCUGGUUUACUCUGCAUCACAUUUCAGCUGAAAAGGCAGACAGAUCUCACACACAAUGGAGAGUCCGACUGGAAGAAGAAGGAGAAGUAGUUCCAUUCGUCACAAGAUACUUAACCCACAACUCCAUCGUCCCUACAUUUGCAGAAAAACCCCUUUCGACCAUUUCUCCAACAAGUUGUGCUGCUCUCAUAUUUUCUUUAUUUCUUAGAAGCCCUUGGAUGAUGGUGUUAUAAGUGACACCAUCUGGAAUGCAUCCAUUUCCUUCCAUCUCCUUUAGCAGCUCAUAUGCUUCCUCCAUGCAUCCUCCUUUGCACAAUCCAUGCGUGACAAUAUUAUAUGUCUGCACAUCAGGUUGCAAGCCUCGAGCAUUCAAACAAUCAAACAACCCCUUAGCAUCGUCGAGCUUUCCAGCAUUACACAUGCCAUUCAUUAUAAUAUUGUAAGUCACAAUGUUUGGGACGAAUUUGGAACCUUCCAUCUUUCGAAGCAAUAUCAUGGCCUUGUCAAUCUGUUGCGUUUUACACAGGCCAUCCAGGAAAGAAUUCAAGGUAUAAUGAUCUAGAUACAGAUCGCGAGAUCGCAUCUCGUUAAUUAGCUCCCCCGCGGCUUCAAGGUUCCCAACCUGGCAAUAUCCAUUUAUGAGAGUGUUGUACGUGAUGACAUCAGGAUUCAAGCCCCUUUGAAGCAUUUCUUGGAAAAGCAUCUUUGACUUGUCAACUCUUUUCCCUUUGCAGUAUCCAUUAAUCAAUGUGUUAUAAGAAACGACAUUAGGUGAGCAGCCUCUUUCAACCAUCAAAUUAAGAACCGCCAUAGCAUCAUCCAUCCUAUUUUGCAAACAAUAACCAUUCAUCAAUGUACUAUAAGUGAAACUAUCAGGCAUUUUACCUAAUUGAAUCAUCUGGUUGAUUAUGGCCUCUGCUUCUACAAACAUUCCCUCUUUACAAUGUGCAUCCACCAGAAUAUUGAAGGUUUGAACAUUGGGCAUGACUCUGCUUUGCACCAUAUGACUCAGCAGUCUUUGGGCCUCUUUCAAUUGGCCGGAAUUGCACACUCCUUGAAUGACAGAGGUAUAAGUAACGACGUUCGGUUCAAUUCCUGACUUCAUCAUCUUCUCCAACAAGACUGUAGCAUCUUUCCAUUGGCCUAGCUUGCACAAGUAAUGAACCAAGGAGCUAUAAGUGAAUAUGUCGGGUUGGAUGCCUCCGCUUGUCAUCUCUUUCAACAAUAUGAGAGCAUCUUCCAUCUGACCUACAUCGCACAGACCAUGGAUCAAGGUGUUAUAAGUAACGACAUUUGGUUCGACGCCUUUCUUGCUCAUAAUGCCGUGGAGUCUCAACGCCUCUAUGAUGAAUCCCUUCUUGCAAAGACUAAAUAUUAUUAUGCUGUAUGCGAAGGAAUUGAUGCUGCAGCUUCUCUCUUCCCAGUCCCUUAGCAAUUCGAUCGCCAAUCUGGUGUUACCCAUCCUGCAUAACCCCUUGGCGAUUAUGGCAUACGUGGUCUCAUCAGGUUCGGGGCCAUUUCGUCCCAUAUCAUCGAGGAACCUCAAGGCUUGAUCAGUUUUGCCCUGAAUAAAGAGACCAUCAAUCAGGGUGUUCCACGUCACCACAUCGAUGUGAAACCCAAGCUUGAAGAUUCUGCCGAGAAUAGACAAGCCCAUAUCGACCCGCUUUAACCGGCAGAAGCAAUUUAUCCAAAUAUUGAGCAAGGCAACAUCACCCUCGAUCCCCAAAGAAGGCAGCUGCUCAAUCAAUCGGAUGACGGUCGAGUAGUGCUUCAUCCUCACUAUAGCGCCCAACAGUAGACUGAAAUCCCAGGGGGAAGGCAAAGGGCUCGCCUUUAUCAUUUUACCGAAGCAACACAGGGCAUCACCGACACUCGUAAACACACCACCACCACCACCACCAGCUCUGCAAUUUCUCCCCACGUAACUCAAGAAACAACUCGGGUCGUCUAAAUCAGGGUUAGGGGUCGAGGAAAACCUCCGACGACGGGGAGACGAGAAAGGGAGAUGGAGGAUGGAAUGGGAUGACGACUCGCUGGAGAUGGCAGCUGGAGCACGAAGAAGGAGGAAGAUGGAAGAAGCAGGGCAGAAAUUCGUUGGCUUCAUCGGUUGAUGAUGAAUCUGAAAACUGAAAAGCUUCUUCAGCUUAUGGCUCUCUUUCCAUCUCUCUCCCCGUCUCUCAUUAUCAAGCUUUUAUACAAUGAUUUCACAUCAUCAUUUAUUGACAAUACAAAUAUUUCUUAUAUCCAAUUUUUUAGAAAAAGUGAUACAAUUAAUCAUUUUCACCACAAAAUCAGAUUUUCAUUUUUCGUUAGUAGUGACUUGUGCGCACAAUUUUACUUUUCCUACAAGUAGGUGAGAUUUGCUGGAGCAUUGGACGGAUUGAUAAAUAGUGUGAUACCUUGAUGAUAAGCAUUUAACAAUAUAUUUCAAUCGGCUUAACUUGUAACUACGAUUGCGUAUGUUUGUACGGAUGAAUAGAUUAUAGCAUGUAAACACGGAAUUUAACUCAUUCUAUGUCCCGAUCCAACAAUUGAAGUUUGAUUUGACAAAUAUUUCUGACUCAAUCAUUCUUAAUUCCACUACAAGGCCUUGAGCAUUCUGCUUCAUAAACUGCAAUCCUUCUUAGAAAUAUAAUUGUUCAAGGAUUUAAACAAUAAUUCCAAAGAAGAUGAGAGAAAGAGAGAGAGCAUAAGUAGUGACAGGCUAUGACGUUAAAAUUUGACACACAAUCACAAGAAAAUAAAUUAAAAGAGAGAGAGAGAUUGAAACAUGAAAUUUAUCCUAGAUCGCUCCUAAACUAGGAGUACGUUCAACAAAUAACUCCACUAUAAUUAGCACAUUGCAUCUCUACGUUACAACUCUCAAUUACAAGAGAAAGAAAUCAUAUAUGCCUAGUAACUAUUCAUGGGCUUGAACCUAAAUUAUUAAUAAAAUAUGAACUCAAACUAUAAAAGCCCCAAAACUCCUCUAUGCCUUCCUAUUAAUUGGGAGUAUGAAUCACAUCCCCAACAUAUCAUAUAGUACAGAAAUUGUUGUCAGAGAGGCAAAGUGGCAAAAAAUAAGGAUGGAUUUGAGUGGGUCACGGAGUGAGAGAGAAGCAAUGGUGGGUGGCAAUGAAUACUCCGGUGGCAUAUGACGACACUCGGGCUAGUCAUUGGUGACUACGAUCGACGAGAGAGGUAGACAAGAACUAGAGGUCAAGAGGGGCAUCAAGCGUGAGUGAAUUAAUGGCAACGGGCUUACCCAAAUGAAAACCAAAAUGAGUUUACUUUCAUUAAGACUCUCCAAUUAGUACUAACUCAAACAUUUUUCCCAAAAGUCUUUUGAAAAGAAAAAACCAAAUUAAUACCUAUGAUAUAUUUAUCCAAACUAAUUUCAUCUCAUAGAAUAUCCCUAAUCGAUACCUCUCACACAAAUCUAUCCACCAUUAAAAUGCAUACAUGUCAACAUACAUGAAUUUUCAACAUCAAAUCAGUCAUUUUUCUCCUCUCAUUCAUCAUGUGUUGACAAGUAUGCAUUACAAGUAGAUUUUGGUUUGGAGUACCAAUUUGAGGUUUUAUUUUUUGUGAGACGAAAUUAAUUUGCGAUCAAUGUGCCAUGUAUUUACUAAUUUGAGAUUUAUUUAUUUAUUUUGGUAAGGUAAGUAAUAUAUUGACUUUUAACCAAAAACUAUACAACAGGGGUUCUUGGCACCAAAAAACUUACACUCACUUUGGAAUUUAUCGUGAUAUUAAUCCUUCAAAAUAUUAAAUGCUAUCCUCUGCUAGUGAAAUUUACUACCAUGAACGACAGUCUAAAAAUACUAAAGUUGAAUGGGAAAUAACUUUUGUACCUUCAAUCACUUCAAACAGAUAUUCACGUUCACAUAUGCAUCCUCUCUGAAGUAAAUAUGGGUAGGUAGGACAUUGGAGGGAUCACGGAUCAGGCUGUGUUAGGAAGAGAGCAAAAAGGAAAACCAGUAUCUCUCCCUCAAAGCACAUACACAAAAGAUUAAUCAGGAUUUAUGACCUCAACAUAAAUUUAAAAAAAAACAAAAAGGAUUUUUGUGCUUAGCAAACUAAAGUAUUAACAUCUUUUUAAUUUAGGAGCAUCCUCAUGCCGCUUGGUUGUUUAUAUGAAGCAUAAACCGACGGGUACAUGUACCAUGUAUGAACAGAGAUUUCUUGCAUAACUUAGAAUACACGAGAAACAAAACCCUCCUAAAAUCCUCAUAAUAAAGCAAGAGAAGAUCACCCAGACUUAAAACAACUCCAUUAAUGGGCAUGGGACUCAAUGAGAUGAUUUGUGGAGUAAAACUUGCCCUCAAUCGAGUUUACUCUUCAUCACUUUUCAUAUGGAAAGAGUGGACAGACCUCAGAAAAAAUGGAUAGCUCAACCAGAAAAGGAAAAAGUUCCGUUUGUCACCAGAUAUUUAACCAACAACUCCAUCGUUGCCAUACUUGCAGAAAAACCCCUUUCAACCACUUCACCAACAGCUUAUGCUGCUUUCAUGUCUUCCUUAUUUCUUAGUAGUCCUUGGAUUAUGAUGUUAAGAGAGACACCAUCUGGAAAGCAUCCAAUACUUUCCAUCUCCUUCAGCAGCUGAUACGCCUCCUCUGCACAUCCUCCUUCGCACAAUCUACACAUGACAGAGCUAUACAUCCACACGUCAGGUUCCAGCCUCAAGCAUGCAAACAAUUAAACAGCUCGAUAGCAUCGUCAAGCUUCCCGGAGUUACACAUGCCUUAUAUUAGAAUAGUGUAUGACACAAUAUCUGGUGUGAAUUUGGAGUCUUUCAUCUUUCGAAGCAAUAUCAGCCCAGCAUACUCGGUCAAUGGGUCAAGCAAGCAUCUUCACCAAUAGUCAUUGCAUGAGCAUGUUCCAUCCAUAAAAUGGUGGAACCUGUUUGCAUCCCUUACGACUAUAGGUCUUCCAGUUGCCAUGGAGAUAUAUUUGAUCGCAGAAUGACAAUCUCCACAAAUGCGAAGAUUCUUAAAUACCCUAAUAGAUUUCGGACUGGAGGUGCUUAUAAGGCCAAAAACAACAGCAAUUUUCUCACUGUGUUGGAGCAAAUAUUGUUCCUUUUGUCCCUCCUCCACAUCAUGAAGAACAAAUUGAGUAUUCGGAACAUAACCCAGUUUCUUUAUUCGACUAGCCAAUCGGUCCAGUUCCUCAUAGAUCUCCCGUGCCUUCGGAUGUGAAGCAUCACCCACAUAGAACUUGUGAACUGUAUUUUUCACUUCAAUCCAGCUACAACCAGCUUCUUUUGUAAGAUUUUUCAGUUUCAUCUUCUUUCUGAUUGCUGCAGCAUCUUCCCAUAGACCAGCCAAGGCAUAAAUAUUUGAUAGCAAAAUAUAAGUCGCAGGGUCAUCUGGUUCUUGCUCAAAAAUCAUUGCUGCAGCUUGUUUUGCAAGUUCAACAUUGCCAUGAACUCGGCAAGCUCCGAGAAAUGUACGCCAGACAAGUGUAUCAGCCCGGAAAGGCAUUGAAUUUAUAAACUGAAGGGCUUCGACAAGGGAUCCUGAUCUGCCCAAUAAGUCCACCAUACAUGCAUAGUGUUCGGUUCUAGGCACGAUUCCAUGUUCUGGGUACAUUGACCUAAAGUGUUUCCAUCCAUCAGAUAUCAAACCCACAUGACUACAAGAGGAUAAAACAGCAACAUAGGUGAUCUCAUUUGGCCUCACACCAGCAUCAAGCAUUUGAUGGAAUGUGUCUAGAGCUCUCGUCCCAAAUCCAUGCUUUGCAAAACCAGUAAUCAUUGAAGUCCAAGUUAUGACAUUUUUCUCUCUUGUCUCACUGAAAACUCGAAAAGCAGCUUCUAUGUUUCCACACCUGGAAUACAUAGAGAUCAAAGCAUUAGAAAUGCACUGAUUUGAAUCAAGCCCUGAUUUUACCAUCCUCGCAUGGAUUUGCUCCCCCUUACCAAUAGCGCCAACACUGGCAACUCCACUCAAAAGGCUGGCAAAUGUAAAAGCACUUGUUCCGAUCCCUCUCUCCUCAAUCUCAUGUAGUAGUUCAAAGGCUUCAUCGGACUCCAAACUUUUGGCAUAGGCAUCUACAAGGGUAUUAUAAGAAACCAGAUUCUUUUCAAAUAGCGCAUCAAAAGCUCUCUGAGCAUCUUCCAUGUGGCCCGACCGGGAAUACAUGCUGACAAGAGAAUUACCCACGCAAGUAUCACAGGCAAAGCCCAAUUUUAUAGCUAGUGCGUAUAUUUGUAUCCCCAUAUCUACAUCACGAAUAUUUCCACAUGCCUUGAGAACACCAGCAAAUGUGAAAUGGUUUGGCCUCACAGGACCUUUUGUCAUUUCCCAAAAGAGCUUGAUAGCCUCCUCAUUCUCUUCAGCCCGUGCAUAUCCUGUGAUUAUCGCUGUCCAAGACAUCACAUUGUGAUCUUGCAUCCGAUCAAACACCUUUCUCGAAUCAUGAAGCGAUCCACCAUCUACAGACUUGACAUACAUGUCCACCAAACUGCAUCCAACACAGACAUCCGAAGCCAAUCCAGACCGUAUAACCCAGGAAUGCAAUUGUACCCCGAGCGAUAGUAACUCCAACUCUGAACAUACAGACAAAACAGCCGUGAGUGUAAAUCUAUCUGGCACAGGCCCACUCACCAGCAUAUCCAAAAACAAAUCAACAGCUUUCUUUGGACUACCCAACUGAGUACAUCUCGUCAUCAUCAAAGUCCAAGCAACCACAUUCCUCUCGGGCAUUUUCUCAAACACCUUACGAGCUGAAACCAAAUCAGCACUACCCUUUGCAAACAUGUCAAUCAAUGCACACCCAACACACACAUCAGAAUCAAGAUAGCCGCUUUUGAUAAUAAACCCAAAAACCGUAUCGCCAAUAGAUGCACUCUCCGGGACCGAGCAAGCCCGAGCAACCGCCGCGAAACAAUAAUCAUUAGGGAAAAACCCAUCCUCGAGCAUAUGAACGAACGUAUCCACCGCUUCAAACUCCAUGUGAUUAUUGGCAUAGCAGGAGAUCAUGGAACUCCAAGAAACCAAGUCCCUCUUAUCGCCCAUGUCCCCAAAAACCCUCUCCGCCUCAGCCCAGUCGUUGGAUUUCGAGUAGAGACUGAUGAGCGAGUUGAGGAUCACCGAGUCGGGCUCGAGCCCGGACCGGGCGAGCGCGCGGUGGACGCGCCUCCCCAGCGCGAACGCGCGGGAGCGGAUGCAUGACUUGAGGAGGAGAGAGAAGGUGAGGACGUCGGGGUGGGACCCGUCGCGGGACGCGAGCUCGAGGCGCGUGAUUGCUCCGCGGAGGUCGCCGCCGUCGAGGCGGGCGACGAGGCGGCGGCCGUCGAGGGGCGAGGGGGGAAGGUUUUGGCGGGAAGGAGAGAGCUUGACGGUGGACGGUGGAGGGAAGAGAGAGAGAUUCAUUGCUCCAUGCAUGACCAGCAUGGCCUGCCACAUCAAGAAAUGUAAAUAGAUAGGUUCAUGAAUUACGUGGUCAAUUAUGCUUAUGAUUGAACUACUUUUCUUUUGCAUUACGUUCUUACCUAGAGGAAAGAUAAUCAAACGGUGGACGAUCUCGUAAUUUUAUUGUUAUACCUAAGUUGUUGGGACACUUGAUGUAGUUGAGAACGAUUCAAAUUCUGUUUGGGUAUCCACAUCAUCAACUCGCUUCUCGAAUGAAUACAAAAGAAGGCAGAGGGAGACACUUUAUCAAUAUCUCCUUCAAACAUGUCUAAGGACUCUUUUUUAAGGUGAUCAACUCCUGAUUCAGUUCGAUUCCAAUGUGGAAUUGGAAAUCGGAAAUCAGACCAGGACUAGGGACUAAACCGGUUGGUCCUACCACAGGGGAUUGGUCAUUAUUUCUUUUUUCAUGCUUCCAUUUGAAUAUCUUAUUAUCUAAAGCAUGAUCAAGAACAAAUUCAAGUCUUAAGACAAAUCUUAUGCAGACAGCGUGGCUUGUGUCCUCGCUGACAUGGCGAUUGUCACACCAAAUCAUGCAAAUUACGACUACUACACCACGUCUCUUUAUCCCACAACAGCUGCCUAUGGUCAUGCCACCUGGGUUACAGCACUUUCUUUCGGCGAUUGCGGCAUAUGUGUUAGCGCUGCUAAGACUCGAAUACUGGCAGACUGUCCAAACAGUCUUGGCGUCGAUAUGGUGUGAAGAUUGCAAUAUGAGGUAUGAAAACUAUUUAUUUACUGAUUAAAUAGUUCGCCGCCAAACCAGAGAGCCGUGUUCUAUUGUAUCGGUUGUUUCUGCCGCACAUGUUGCCAUGUUUGUUUUUGCAAUAAAUGAUAUCCUAGAAGAUAUGCUUUCUUUGUCAUUUUCAAGUUCUCAAAACAAUACUUAUUUAUUAUGAUGAAAAAACCUAACAAAAUAGCCAUAAGCUAAUGACUAGUGCGAAAAUGUGCUGUGUAUCUGAUCCAUUCUUACGUUCAUUAGAUUUGUUAUUACGAUCCUCAAGUGAGCCUUUAAGAGACAGUAGUUGGAGACCCACAAAUAAGAUGACGUGCUAGAUAGUGCAAAACCAAAAAAAAAAUCCUAAAUCAAUAAAAGGAAACGCUGCUUAUAGGCUAAAAGAAAUGGUUAUAACCUUGCUAAGGCCGCUUAUGAAUUUUUCCAUAUAAUUUAUAUGUUGAACUCGAAGCAUGACACCAUGCCAAAAUGCAGCAAGAAAUAACCAGGACUUUGGCCUCAAUAUUUGCGUAAGGGUCAUGCUUUAAAAUCAUUAAGGUGGUUGAGAACAUAUUACACCGUGCGAAGAAGGUACACAUGGAUAAGCUCAUUUCAAUGCCAAGAAACCAUUUCAUAGAUACCAAAUCCCCGAAGCAAAAUUUGUGAAAUCGAAACUGUUUCACAUCUCAAAUCAGUUAUUGGUAAUUUCCAAUCAUAUCUGUGUCAUCAACAUAAAGCAAAAUGAAUAAAUAGGAUGAGCUAAUGCAUAAAACACAACGGAAUUAUCAGCAUUAGAUUGAACUAAACCAACGCAGUAGAGAAUAGUUCAGAAACCAACUUUCUGUGACUAGGCAAGGAUGAUAUAUAUAAUCCCUCAAACAAUGCAAGAAGGCAUCUGCAAUGCAUAUGCAAGUCAAGUUAAUAAAGAUCGCCAUGUCGUGUUGCAGCAAAUAACAACUAUCAGCAAAACACGUACAAUGGCCAGCCACAUGAUGGCACAAAAAGUGUGGUGAUAAUCAAACUUAACCGUCAACCUUAAUUGCUCAGGAGGACAUUAAAGAGCAACUCUAUAAAGUGAAACUCUGGAGAUAUAAAUAAGGGAAAAAGACCCUUCUAUAUACAAGUAUAAGGCUAAUCAUAAUCAUAGAUCAACAGUAAAAAUUACAUCUUCCCCUUAUUCCAACUACCUACAUUUAUCACAAGAGUAUGCAAUUAUUAUAUGCCUCUUCCAAAAGUUCUAUAGAAUAAUCGAGAAAGCCCUUGUCUCUGGAGAUAAUCAAGGAUUGCUCGUUCAUGGACAGAAACCUUUUAGAUCGUAUCACUUCCUUGGACCACGACACAUGUGCCUUACUUCACUUUACACCAUCUGAUAAUCUUAUUAUUUCUUAAUUUUGCACACCCAUCUUAUUCAGAAGAAAAGAUGCAAGAGACCACAUUUUGGUAUUAUAAAAAACACGCGAUGUACCUGACUAGCUUUCCACGUAGUCGAAUAUUCCAGCUUGAUUGCAAUUAUUAGGAUCAAUAGUGGAAGAUAAAGCACUAUCUACAAAAAUGGGAAGAAAAAUGUUUUGGGCAAAAUUUUGUGCUCUGGAGGAGAAGAAGCACCACCAAAUUGUGAAGGUAAUUGAAAAAAACUCUAAACCUAUUGCAUUUUAAGCAAUUCAGUCAUAAAUCUUUUAAUUUUACCAAUUGACUCCUAAAUUUUUUCACUUCUCACCAGUUGAUUCUAUUGGCCGAAAAUUACUGACAGUGAAGGCCGGGUUGACGUGACAUUUUUUAAAUAAUAUUUUAAUAAUAUUUUGAAGGUUUUUUUCUUCUUCUUCUUUUUUUUUUUUUGCUUUUUUUUGGGGGGUUGGAUAUAGGGUCGGUCAACCAUCGCCAGCCAUAGGUGAGGGCCGCUGACCCCCCCCCCCCCCUUUGCCAACCAUACGGGAGGGCCGGCUGACCCUCGCCGAUGAAAGUGAGGGCAUGCAAGCCCUUGAGCAAAAAUGGCGAGGGCAGUGACCUUGUGUCCUCAGAUCUUACUCAUGAUUUGCCUAGAAAAACAUCUUCUCAACAAAGAUGAAGGUUUUUGAUUUAGAGAUAAGAAGCUUUGGAACCCUCCAGAGCGAAAGUAUAGCGAAAGUAUAGCGAAUAAAUUUAAACAUUUGCUUGUUUGACUUGAUUGAGCUAGAUAACAAUCUAAUCAAGCUCAUCUCUUUUAUUCAAGUCAAAGCAACUGCAAAUUCUUAAUUCUUAGACUAACUUAAACCAGCUAUGCAACUCAUCAUGAUUCAACCACAAAGCAAAGACAUUCUCUAUCCACCCCAUGGUCCAAUGAUUAUGCAAAUCAGGUAAUACCAUACCAUUAAACUUUAUUUACACGACCUCGCAAAUGCAAGUACGGCCCUUCUAACAAGCAAAAACUGAACUAGGAAGAAGGGUCAAGAUACAAUGAUGACUCAAAAGUCAAAGCGACACAUCUUUGUGUGUGCUUUCUGCAUUUACAAUACGCCUACCAGCAACGAGUCAUGGAUGUCCAGGUUUUGAAGCAGUGUCAUUGUUCUGUCCAUUUCUUGCCGCACUUUUGUGAACCAAGUUGUGUAGAAAAAUUGCUUAUUUGGACCAACACGGUUGCACAGGAGCCGCACCUUUUGUCUCUCUCUCAUCCAUCCCAACACUAAUUUCAUGUGCCUUUUGCUAGUCAGUCCUCUUAAACCAACUUCCUCAAUUGUCUUGAGACGAUGAUCAGCAAAUUAAGCACACCAAGAUAACAAUAAAAAUGAUGAUACCUAGGAGAUGCCAAGGUGUUGAUGCAUUAUGCAGCAGAGAGGCAAAGAAUAAGGGAUGAGAAUCAGCAAGCACUGAAAACGUUUAAAAACAAAAAAGACAUUACUUGAACGCGUUCCCAGGUGUCUGCAAUCGUGAGAGGACCAUGCUCCUUCAACAGGCCAAAGAUGAUCCUCGUGAUGGUUUGUUUCUGCUCUGGAGGCAUCUUGAGCUCAAUCAGUUUCAUCUUCGGUUUCGGCUUCCUAACCGAAUCAGCAAAAGAGUCAGCUUGGAAGACAGUCACAGAGUCAGCAAAAGAGCUUCUUAUAACUUAAAAACUAGCAAGCAAUUCCAGGUAUUGCCAUAUGACAAAAUUGAACCAUCAGUAAUUUUAACCCACGACGAAAUCAGGUUUGUGUUUUUCUUAUUCGAAGAAGUGAGAAUUCAUGUGUGCAUUUUUAUCUCUUGCAAGUUGUUGGGACUUGCAGGAUUAUGGAUGGCCUGGUAAAUAAUGUGAUGAUAAGGAACAUCUAACAGGGCACGCGAUGCAUAAAAGGACUAUAGCAUUUGGCAUCGAAUUUAACUCACUGUACUUCUAAGUUAACAACUGAAAUUUGAUCUGACAACAUAAACAGAGAGAUUUUGCAGAGUAUAAAUAGAUAUGUUCCUUAUAAUUCCGUGGUUGUUAUAAACAAUGAUCAAUGCCUUCAUCAAGUGUACAAAUUCCAUAUGAAUCAUAGCCAAGUGUUGCAGAUCUAAACUUACUUUGACAGCAUAGAAUAAAACAUAACUUACACUUAAUUUGAUCAAAGGCCGUCAUCAUGCUUGCCUUCGAAAAGGAAGAAGUUUCAUUUGUCACGACAUAUUUAACCCACAACUCCGUAGUCACUACAUCUGCAGAAAAACCCCUUUCAACCAUUUCAUUGACAAGUUCUGCUGCUCUGGUAUUUUCAUUAUUUCUUAAUAGUCCUUGGAUGAUUGUGUUAUAAGUGACGUCAUUUGGAAGGCAUCCAUUUCCUUCCAUCUCCCUUAACAGCUGAUAUGCUUCCUCCAUGCAUCCUCCUUUGCACAAUCCAUGAAUAAUGACAUUGUAUGUCCACACAUUAGGUUGCAAGCCACGAGCAUUCAAACAAUUAAAUAGCCCCUGAGCAUCGUUGAGCUUUCCAGCAUUACACAUGCCAUUUAUUAAGAUAGUGUAAGUCACAAUAUCUGGGACAAAUUUGGAAUCUUCCAUCUUUCGAAGUAAUAUCAUGGCCUUGUCAAUCUGCUGCACUUUACACAAGCCAUCCAGGAAAGCAUUCAAGGUAUAAUGAUUUGGAGAUAGAUCGCGAGACUGCAUCUCCUUAAUUAGCUCCUCCGCAGCUCCAAGGUUCCCAACCUGGCAAAAUCCAUAUACUAGAGUGCUGUAUGUGAUGUCGUUAGGAUUCAGGCCCCUUUGAAGCAUUUCUUGGAAAAGCAUCUUUGAUUUGUCAACUCUUUUCCCUUUGCAGUAUCCGUUGAUCAACGUGUUAUAACAAACAACAUUAGGUGAGCAGCCUCUUUUAACCAUCAAAUUAAGCACUUCCAUAGCAUUGUCCAUUCUAUUUUGCAAACAAUAACCAUUCAUCAAUGUAUUAUAAAUGAAACUAGAAGGCAUUUGACCUAAUUGUAUCAUCUGGUCGACUAUGGCCUCAGCCUCUACAAGCAUUCCCUCUUUACAAUAUGCAUCCACCAGGAGAGUGAAGGUUCGAACAUUCGGCAUUACUCUGCUUUGCACCAUAUGACUCAGCAGUCUUCGAGCCUCUUUCAAUUGGCCAGAAUUGCGCGCUCCUUGAAUGACCAAGGUAUAAGUAAUGACGUCCGGUUCAAUUCCUGCCUUCGUCAUCUUCUCCAACAAGACCGUAGCAUCUUUCCAUUGGCCUAGGUUGCAUAAGCAAUGAACCAAGGAGUUAUAAGUGGGUAAAUCGGGUUGGAUUGCUCUGCUUGUCAUCUCUUUCAACAAUGUGAGAGCAUCUUUUAGCUGGCCUACAUUGCACAGACCAUGAAUCAAGGAGUUGUAAGUAACAACAUCUGGUUUGAUCACUUUCCCACUCAUACUUUCAUGGAGUCUCAACGCUUCUGCAAUCAAUCCCUCCUUGCAAAGACUAUCGAUCACUAUGUUGUAUGUGAAGGAACCAAGCCUGCAGCUUCUCUCUUCCCAGUCCCUUAGCAAUUCAAUAACCAGUCUGGUGUUACCCGCCCUGCAUAACCCCUUUGCGACUAUCGCAUACGUGGUCUCAUUAGGUUCGAGGCCGUUUCGUUGCAUAUCAUCGAGGAACCUCAGUGCUUGAUCAGUUUUGCCCUGAAUAAAGAGACCAUCAAUUAGGGUGCUCGAUGUCACGACAUUGAUGGGAAACCCAAGCUUGAAGAUUCUGCCCAGGAUAGACAAACCCAAAUCAACCCGCUUUAACCGGCAGAAGCAAUUCAUCCAAAUAUUGAGCGAGGCAACAUCACCCUCGAUCCCCAAAGAAGGCAGCCGCUCAAUCAACCGGAUCGCAGUCGAGUAGUGCUUCAACCUCACUAAAGCACCCAGCAGUAGAUUAAAAUCCCUGGCGGAAGGCAAAGGGUUCGUCUGUAUCAUUUUACCGAAGCAACACAAGGCAUCGCCGAUACUCGUAAACCCACCACCACCGGCUCUGCAAUUUUUCCUCACGUAACUCAAGAGCCGGUUCGGGUCGUGGAGAAUAGGGUUAGGGAUCGAACAGAACCUCCGACGAACGCUGGAGAUCGCAGCUGGAGCACGAAGAAGAAGGAAGACGGGAGCACCACAGAGGCUCGCGCGCUUCAUCGGCAGCUUGAUGAUGAAUCUGAAAACUGGAAGCUCUGCUUUUGCUCGGCGGUCUCUCUCUCUCUCUCUCUCUCUCUCUCUCAAAGUCGGACAGUCUCUAUACUUCAAUCCUCUAUUUAGGGCGCGUUUGUUUAAACGUGUUUCUGUCCCGGAACACAAAUAUUUAUUAUUUUGUUUCGGAAAAUUAAACAAAAAAAAGUAGAAACGCAUUUAUUUACAUUUUUUAUUCUCGAGAAUAAAUUUGGAACAAAAAUAAAAAAGUAGAAAAAACUUAUUUCUUGCAAGGCCGAGCCACGGCGAGGCUCCCGGAAAGGCCAAGCCACAGCAAGGCUAGUCGAGGCUCCCGAAGAGGCCGAGCCAUAGAUUUGGCACAACACACUCUAGACACUAGGGUGGGUAAACCUCAUCGAAGUGUCGUCGGCCCCCGAAGAGGCUGAGCCACAGUAAAACUUGUCAGCCCGAGCCUCGCCGUGGCUCACGAUGGCCACGUGAGGCUCGGCCUCAUCAGGCCACCUCCAGCAUGGUGUCACCUGGCGGUGGAAAAUGCUGAAUUUGGUUCAAUUUUGAAAACGCUCUUAGGAAAAUGCACAUAUCUUUAAGCUAAUUUUUUUUUUCUUUUUUUUAUCUAAAACCCUUUUAGGUUUUAGAGGUCAAGGGUUUUGAAGAAAUACAAAAGUUGGUUAAAUUUUCUUUGCAAAGCUAUUUUGGAGUAAUGAAUGUUUGGUAAAUUUUUUUAUAAAGGGCUUUUGGAUUUCAUUUUUCUUUUUUAUUAAAAAAUGUUAAACUCUUUACCAUCCCUAAUAAAGGUAAAUGUAAUUUUGGAACAAUGAGAAAUAAAAUUGAAAAACCAAAAAAAAUUAUGAUAAUAGUUUGAGGAAAAAAAAUGUAAUUUCAGUAUUUAAUCGAAUGCUAAAAGCCCAAAACUGAUCUCUAUCGGCAUUGGGCUUUUAACUUUUCCAAAGCCAACAUUUGACUAAAAGCUCAUUAGAUAGGCUUGCCAAACACUACAGCAUUUUUCCAACGGAGCUCAUUACGAAAACUGAACCAAAUGCACCAAAGUCUUAUUACUGCCUUGGUGUCACGGAUGCCUUCAACGUCCAAGCUGGCUGCUACCAUGGCGUCUUUCAUAAUGCACAAGCAGCAGGAAAGAUCGGCUUUUACCAAGGCGGCACUAUAAACUGUACUCUCAAUAUUGAAAUAAAUAUGAUCGCUAUUGCUGAUUCGUUUCACAUAAUGUAGCUCUGAGGCUCUAAUGCUGAUACUAUAGCACACAAACAGGGAGUGGUGAGGCAAUUCUAUCUUUUAUGCAUCUUAUGGCAGUAUAAUCUUAUGACCAUGCAUAGUUUUUUAAGGAAACUAAUUGGCCACUUACUCUUUAUUUAGAUCAAAACAUAUAAUAUUGAUUUAGUGAGGCUGGAGAUGCUUUAGGUCUUUAGAUUCCGUAGAAAGGACAUAAGUUUGUUGUUAUAUUUUAUGAGAUGUUUCAUGGUUGAGCCUCUGUAUGGGUGUUGGAGACUGAUGUUUAAAUAAGAUACUACAGCUAGGAAGAAUUCUCUCCUAGCACAGAUAUAUUUUUCACCACUUUCCUUUUCUUUUCUUUUUUUUAAAAAGAAAGUGGGGGGACUUUUGCAUUGCAGUAGAAUAAUAUUGAGGUCCGCAUGUGUGGUGCUGAUUUUGAUGAAUCAUUCUGCGUGGAAAGGAGUCCAUUCUUUCUUGUUGUAACAUGUCUAAUGCCAUAAGGUUGCUGGUAUUUUUCUCUGUUUUGGCAUGAAUUUCAUAUGCUUGGUCAGAGGAAUUUGCUUUUUCUGGUUUUCCAUGCACGCGCGUGCGUGAGAGAGAGAGAGAGAGAGAGAUAGAGACCGCAGCCCCCGAGGGGGGGACGACUUCUAAUCUCUGUUUUCUUGUCAGAUUUUACCAGGAUAUUGUGGUUUACACUUUGGUUUCUGUGGCAUGGGACAUGAAUUGACUGGCGGAUUAAUUUGCUGUUAAUUACUCUCUUGUACUGUAGGUAUUGAUCUUAAGUGAGAAGCUUCGUUCUGUCACUACACAGUUUGAUCAGCUAAGAGCCAUAAGCUUCCAGGAUGCUAUUAAUACGGUGAGACCUAGAAGAAAACUUAAUCAGUCUGCCAGUUCUAUUCCUGCAGAUAACUCACAUGGUAAUGUAGAAUUCAAAGAGUCUAACGAAGUUCCAGGUGAGCUUCUAAGAGUCCAGCAAGAACACUUGGAUGUGAGACAGAAGCCCUUCCGGUAAUCACACAAUCCACUUUUUUCCUUGGGAAAACUGAUUAUUGAUGAUGCUGAUCGGUUAUUUUACUCUAGCAUUCAAGUCACUCAGACUUUUGUUCUGGCAUAUGUAUUGCUCAGGUAGAGUUGACGAGCCUUCUAGAUGCAGUCCAACAAACGGAAACGAAGAUGGUGGAAAUGUCUGCAUUGAAUCACCUCAUUUCUACACGUGCUGCAGCAAGCUCAGCAGAUAGAGCAUCUAUAUGAGCAGGUGACAACUUUUCUUUCAUUCCUUGUUUUAUGUGUGGUUUUAUUUUUUGGUUAAAAUUCUUGUGUGGUUUAGAUGGAUUAAAGUAUGCAUCAUUUUCUGCCCCAUCUUAUCUGUAUCUCCUGUUUCGCACAUUUUUCUUUGCAUGGUUUACCCACCCUAGUGUCUAGAGUGUGUUGUGCCUGCACAUAUAUUUUUCCAUUUGAUUUGGGUUUUUCAGCUUAACCUGGGCAGCUACUAGGCAUUGUUUUAAUGAAAUCUUUAGAUUUGAUUGCAAUUAUAUCUCUCUUAAUCAGAAAUUUCGAGUAGGAGUCAAAAGUUGUAAAACUCGUGUUCAAAUUGGAGAAGUUGACUUUUGGACCAACUAGGUUUUCGAACGCCCCCCUUUCCCUCUUCAAAGGGAAAAAUUAUUAGGUGGAUGUAUCCAACUGAACAUUGGAUUAGGUGUUUCAAUGUGGAAAGUGGUGGACCCACGAGAUUGAAUGAUCCAGAUUGAUGAGGUGCUUGUUUUGGCUAUUGAUAUGUUGAAUGGUUGGAGAGGGUCAGCACGAUGGAAAAAGGGGAUUUUAUGACGUGGUUGGAGGUGGUGUUUUUUAUUUCUAUCAACGUUGCUGAUGUUGCUGAAGCAGGGAAAACAUUGAACUUAAUUUCUUGUUGAAUGUUGUGCUGCUUUCAUGAGUUAGAAGAGGAAGAUUGGAGGCAAAAAGGGUGAAGUUCCAAUCUGUGGAGUAGAUGUAAAUUGUCCCUGGGCAUUCAGUUGUUCUGCAAGAGAAACACCGCUCUUCCAUGACCUUUUUUUUUUUUUUUUGUACGGCUGCACCUGCGGGGUAUUCUGUUUGGAUUUGAGGGAAGAGCUGAGGAGGAAGGAAUGAUGAAUUCGCCACUCCCUGAAUUUUAACCAAUCAACAGUUUUAGAAGAAGCGAGGGCAUGCUUGUCCUUGUAUCAUCUAUUUCGUGAGCUCCAACAAGGGAUCUCAUGGGAUGCAUGUGAAUGCAAUGGUCUAUGUAAAUUUGUGAGUUCUAGUCAAGCUAAGAUAGAAUAGGUUAAAUGCUAUCCAAUAUAGGAUAUAAAAAGAAGAAACAAGCAUUCAAGGAAUAAGCAAAGGAAUCAAGAAUCUUCUUGAUUAAUUUGUCUAGAAUCGUUGUGGUUAAUGAAAGAUUAUUCCAGAGAAAUAGACGACCCUUAAAUGAGAGUACCAGAUGAAAAAGACAGGAGCAACAUCGGCAACAUACACAUGAAUAUUGAGGGACAAUUGAAACAAGGCUAGGCCCUCAAUAAUUCCAAAAAAGAAAACUCAGGAUUAGCAAUGAUUCGUGGGAGAGAGCGACAAAUUUGUGUAUGCUUAAAUUGUACAAUUAUGUGCAACUGUUGCUCAAAUAGUAAAAAGGACACGUGAGCCAAAGAAAAAAGGACAAAUGCAAACUAAAGAAAUACUUUGAAUUACUUAAACAGAUCAAAUUGCAUAUCUAGCCCUCAGCAAAAUAUGAAAUUGCAUUGUUUCCAUUCUAUAAACAAAUAGUUAGAAGCUUUUAAGAUUGUUUAUGCAUUGGUACCAUGGAAGAAAGCUUGAGAUGCUAAUCAUAGGAGAAAACCUAUUGGGUACAACUGCUAUAAAUAGUCAAGACUUGAGCCUAUCAAGGUACAAAGUUGGGUUGAGAGAAAAAUUAAGGUAUAUCACGUUAUGGAUACUAAUAAUGCUACUGUUGUCCCUCUUGAUGUUCAAUAUUGUUAAAGGUGCUCCAAAAAAUGGCAUAGUUUAUUGGGCUUACAAUACUGGUUCCCAUUGAAGUGGCGAUCAUUAUGCAAACGGCAUGGCUUAUGUCCUCGAGGACAUGACGACCGUGAUGCCAAAUCACGUGGACUACAACUACUCCACUGCAUCUCCUUAUCCCGCAACAACCACCUAUGGUCACACUUCCUGUUGCCAAGCACUUUCUUAUAGUGACUGUGGCAUAUGCAUAAUCUCUGUUAAAUCCCAAAUACUGGCCAUCUGUCCAAAUAGUUAGGGCGCUCAAGUCGAGCUUGAAGAUUGUAGAAUGAGGUAUGAAAACUACUCGUUCACUGUAAUUUGGCGCCGAACAUAGAGAACCUUGUUUGAAUUGUAAUGGCACUGGGAUGUGCAUUGCUUAAGUGUGUUGAAGAAUAAAUGCUCUAGUCAUGUAUCCUAACUUAUAUUUUGUGUAGUUGUUUCUGCCAUUCAUGUUGUCAUGUUUAUUGUUGGAAAUGAUAUGAUAUGUUUCUCCUAUACCUUUUUUGUUAGUUUAAAGUUCUCAAAAUUGCCUUUUUAUUACCGAGAAAACCUAAGAAAGCAGCUAAAAGCUAAUGACUCGUAUGAAAAAUCAAAUUUGCAUUGUCUAAUUUGCACGUCAUUGGGUUUGUUCCUAUGAUACUUAAGCGAGCCUUCAAGAGACGGCGGUACGCAAAUAAGAGGACGUGCAGGAUGGUGCAAAACCAAAAGCCGGAAUCAAUAGAAGGAAACGCUGCAUAAAGGCUAAAAGAAAUGGUAACGACCUUGCUAAAGUCGCUUGUGAAUUUGACAUAUACGUUGAACUCGAAGCACAACUCCCUGUUGAAAUUCCAAAAGAAAUAACAACGACUUUGUCCCUAGUAUUUGCAUACGGAUCACCACUUGAAAAUCAUUAAGGAGGUUGAGAACAUAUUUACAGCAUACAAGACAGAUGUCACGUGAGGAUUCAGUCUUUUCGUUGCCAAGAGAAUAUUUCCAAGAAGCCAAAUCAGCAAAACAGAAACUAUGUCAAAUCAAAUACUGCUCAUACCACAUGAGUGUCAUCAGCAUAAACCAAAAUAAGUACAGAGGAUGAGCUAAUGCAUGAAAAAGAAAAUGGACUUAUCAACAUAAGAUUGAACCAAACCAGCAUCUACUAACGCAGUAGGGGAUACUUAAGAAACCAAUUUUCUCUGAAGAUUUUACUUUUCAUCGUAAAAGUGGCCUUGCUUCAGUUGAUAAGCCAAUGAACCUGCGUUGUCAAAUCAGGAAACGGGCAAAAGAGACAGCCAAGGAGUUGAUCCUCUUGUGAUAUAUGCACAACUUCAAUUUGAACCUUUUGCUUGACGAGUUCUUUUUUCUGAGUUCAAUUGAUCAUGUCUGUCAUGGUAUCCACACGUCAACUUAGCUCAAAGACUUGUCUCCAAAACGCUUGCAUGCUACUACGAUUGGGUCAGCAAACAAAGAGUAGAGGGCAUGCCGAGAGGCAGAUUGUCCAGGGAAAUCCUCCUGUCAUAAGUGAGACACUUAAAAACAAACAGAAAAAUGUGCUCCCGAGUCAGUAAUUAAGACAGACACAAAUGGCAAGGAAUUCACCUCUAUCGAUCAGGAAAGUAAUUCAAUUGAUGCAGUGGAAAAGACGAUGGAAUUUACAUAAUCUGGGCCUGACCACGAUGAAGUUGAUUGUUGCUCGCUCAAGACGGCUAGCAUUGUUUGUCAACAGCAUUCUUGUUCACCCAUCAUCAGAUGCUUUUCGGAAAAUCCCUUGCAGUGCAAAGGGGAAGAUACUUCAAGUAGCUUUCAUACACUUGCAGCCACGUUUCUUAGUCAGCAAGCCGUCCCCCAAACUUUGCUUUUAAUUUGCACGUAAGAAGAAGAGCAAAUAGACCAAAUAUGUAAUCGACCUGUGGUGAUAAUCUGAUACACAGCUUGACCCAAAUAUACUCCACUGGCGAUUCAAACACCAUCCACUUCAAGGUAUGCCUCUUCUUUGAAGUAUCUGUGGUAAAUAGGACAUCAAAAGGAUCAGAUUGUGAAAAAAGAAAGUGUAUAACAGAAAACUAGAAUCUCUCUCUCAAAGCACAUACACAAUAGGCUGAUCAGGAUUUAUGACAUAAUAUACUUCAUUACAUAGUAAAGUUAUCGCUAUUAACAUCUAUUUAAUACAAUAUCAUCCUCAGACUGCUUGAUCAUUUGUAUGAAUUUCCCCUGUUUGAAAAACAUUAGGCACCAAAAGCACUAACAGAUGAGUACACAUAAUAGUUCAAUACAGAGAUUUCGUACCGAACCUAGAUAUACGAGGAUAAAAAUCCACCUUAUACCCCUCCAAAUAUUUGCCGUCUUGGGCAGUUCAAUUCAGUGAAUUGUCUCUGAGAUUUGAAACAACUUCAUCAAUGGGACAUGGGACACAAUGAGAAGAUGUUUGGAAGAAAACUUGGCGUUAAUCUAAUUUACUCUUCAUCACAUUUCAGAUGAAAACUUGGACAGAUCUCAGAGACAAUGGACAGUUCUCCUAGUAAAGGAAGAAGUUCCAUUUGUCAUGAGGUAUUUGAUCCACAACUCCGUUGUCGCUACAUCUGCAGAAAAACCCCUUUCAACCAUUUCAUCAACAAGUUGCGCUGCUCUAGUAUUUUCGUUAUUUCUUAGUAGUCCUUGGAUCAUUGUGUUGUAAGCGACACCAUCUGGAAAGCAUCCAUUUCCUUCCAUCUCCUUUAGAAGUAGAUAUGCUUCCUCCGUACGUCCUCCUUUGCACAACUCACGCAUGAGAAUGUUAUAUGUGCACACAUUAGGUUGCAAGCCUCGAGCAUGCAAACAAUUAAACAGCCCCUUUGCAUUGUCGAGUUUUCCAGCAUUACACAUGCCAUUUAUUAGGAUAUUGUAAGCCACAAUGUUAGGGACAAAUUUGGAACCUUCCAUCUUUCGAAGCAAUAUCAUAGCCUUGUCAAUCUGUCGGGUUUUACACAAGCCAUCCAGGAAAGCACUCAAGGUGUAACGAUCUAGAGAGACAUUGCGAGAUUGCAUCUCGUUGAUUAGCUCCCCUGCGGCUUGAAGGUUCCCAACCUGGCAAUAUCCAUUUACAAGAGUGUUGUAUGUGAUGACAUCAGGAUACAAGCCCCUUUGCAGCAUUUCUUGGAAAAGCAUCUUUGAUUUGUCAACUCUUUUCCCUUUGCAGUAUCCAUUAAUCAACGUGUUAUAACAAACAACAUUAGGCGAGCAGCCUCUUUUAACCAUCCAAUUAAGCACUUCUAUAGCUUCGUCCAUUCUAUUUUGCAAACAAUAACCAUUCAUCAAUGUAUUAUAAGUGAAAAUAUCAGGCACAAUACCAAAUUGAAUCAUCUGGUCAACUACGGCCUUUGCCUCUGCAAGCAUUCCUUCUUUACAAUGUGCAUCCACCAGAAUAGUGAAGGUUUGAACAUCUGGCAUUACUCUGCUUCGCACCAUAUGACUCAGCAGUCUUCGGGCCUCUUUCAAUUGGCCGGAAUUGCACACUCCUUGAAUGACAGAGGUAUAAGUAACGACGUUCGGUUCAAUUCCUGCCUCCAUCAUCUUCUCUAACAAGACCAUAGCAUCUUUCCAUUGGCCUAGGUUGCAUAAGCAGUGAACCAACGAGCCAUAAGUGAAUAUGUCAGGUUGGAUGCCUGCGCUUGUCAUUUCUUUCGACAAUCCCAGAGCAUCUUCCAGCUGGCCUACAUUGCACAGACUGUGAAUCAAGGAGGUAUAAGUAACAACAUCUGGUUUGAUACCUUUCUUACUCAUGCUUUCGUGGAGUCUCAAGGCCUCUGUGAUCAAUCCCUCCUUGCAAAGACCAUCGAUUACUAUGUUGUAUGUGAAGGAAUUGAUCCUGCAGCUUCUCUCUUCCCAGUCCCUUAGCAAUUCGAUGGCCAAUCUGGUGUUACCCGCCCUGCAUAGCCCCUUGGCAACUAUCGCAUACGUAGUCUCAUUAGGUUCGGGGCCAUUUCGUCCCAUAUAAUCGAGGAACCUCAACGCUUGAUCAGUUUUGCCCUGAAUAAAGAGCCCAUCAAUCAGGGUGCUCGACGUCACCACAGUGAUGGGAAACCCAAGCUUGAAGAUUCUGCCCAGGAUACACAAACCCAUAUCGACCUGCCUUAACCGGCAGAAGCAAUUCAUCCAAAUGGUCAGCAAGGCAACAUCAUCCUCAAUCCCCAAAGAAGGUAGCUGCUCAAUCAAGCGGAUGGCAGUCGAGUAGUGCUUCAUCCUCACUAUAGCACCCAACAGUAGACGGAAAUCCCCGGAGGAAGGCAAAGGGCUCGCCUUUAUCAUUUUACCGAAGCAACACAGGGCAUCACCGAGACUCGUAAACCCACCACCACCAGCUCUGCAAUUUCUCCUCACGUAACUCAAGACCUGGUUGGGGUCGUCUAAAUUAGGGUUAGGGGUCGAGGAAAACCUCCGACGACGGCGAGACGAGAAAGGGAGAUGAGAAGGAUGAAGGAGAUGGAGGAUGGAAUGGGAUGACGACUCGCUGGAGAUCGCAGCUGGAGCAUGCAGAAGGAGGAAGAUGGAAGAAGCAGGGCAGAACUUCGUUGGCUUCAUCAGUUGAUGAUGAAUCUGAAAACUGAAAAGCUUCAGCUUACGGCUCCCUCUCUCCGUCUCUCCCUAUCAAGCUUUCAUAUUCGGGCUUGGUUUUUUGGUGGCAAAAGAUAGUGUUAAAAAUUGGUACAAAUAGACACUUAUAAAGCGCUAAAAGUUACCAAAGUGAAGUACUAAAAUCGGAGCAAAAUAAAUUAUUUAAGUCUGACUAAAAUGUUAACUUGCGCAAUUUCCAGCGAAGUAAAUGCAAAACGGCGUCGUCUUGCGUUGAUGUGGAUGGACAAUGCAAAAACGAGGUCGUUUUAAUAUUAACAUGGUAAAAAAUUAAUAUAAAAAUUAAAACAUUUAAAAAUAAAAAGGGAGGGAGGCGGCUGAGAAUUGAGCCCUUGCCGCCACUACCGCCGAGAAGGGCCGGCGACCCCGGCCGGCCUACGGCAAGGGCUCGCGAGCCCUUGCCCCAAUCUAGGCGAGGGCUACCACCCAUCCUCGCCCGGCCGGGCCAAGGGCCGCCACCCUUGCCCCAGAUCGGGGUGAGGGCUUGUGGGCCCUAGCCAUCAGUUGUCGAGGUCACCGACCCCUGGCCAGGGCCUGGCGACCUCAGCCGACCCUCCCCCCGUAACGGCCCUUCCCGGCAGGGACGAGAACUUAGCCCUCAGCUGCCUCCCUCCUUUUUUCUUUUAAUUUUGUUAAUUUUUUUAAAUAGUAUUUUUAUUUUUAAAUAUUUUAAAUAAAUUUAGUUUUAUAUUUCAUUUAAUUAAUUUUUAUAUUAAUUUUUUAUCACGUCAGCAUCAAAACGACGCUAUUUUGCACUAAAUUCACCUGAAAAUCGACACAUCAGCAUUUUGACUGAAUUUUUGUCGAAUUGGCACUUAAGUGAUCUAUUUUGCUCCAAUUUUGGCACUUAAAUGUCAUUUUCGUAACGUUUGGCACUUAAAUAUCCUUUGUGCCAACUUUUGACACUCUAGGGGUCCUGGUGUCGUUUCUUGGUUAUAAUAUCGAACAAAAAGAUGUAGAUAUGGUUAGGACAUGAUUUCAAAUGAUUUCACAUCAUCAUUCACUAACAAUACAAAUAUUUUUUUAUCAAAAAAUUUUCGCAAGCUAAAUAGUAAGAAAGAACAUGAGCAGUGACGAGCUAUGGUAUAAGGAUUCGAUGCACAAUUACAACGAAAACAGAAUAAAAGCGAAGAAAUUGAAACACAAGAUUUAUCUUAUAUCACCAGUUAAGGGGUCACGCACAACAAUAAAUGCUGCUUGGGGGUCGCUUGAGGUCGCACAACUCAAGUGAGGCUGUUUAGGCUGCGUUUGGUUGUGUUCUUUUUUUUUUUUUAAACACUUUUUCUGUUUUUUUGUUCCUGGGAACAAAAAAGGAACAGAAAUGCGUUUGGGUGCGUUUCUGUUCCUUUUUUGUUCUUUUGUUCCCAGGAACAAAAAAGAAAUAGAAACNNNNNNNNNNNNNNNNNNNNNNNNNNNNNNNNNNNNNNNNNNNNNNNNNNNNNNNNNNNNNNNNNNNNNNNNNNNNNNNNNNNNNNNNNNNNNNNNNNNNCCUCGGCCUCGCCUGGCGGUGGCCCCGGCGAGGCCGCGCCUCGCCCGCCGCUGGGCGAGCUCGGCCUCGCCGGAUCAAGGCGAGGCCGACCUCGCGCCGGCCUGGGCGAGCUCGAUCUCGCCCAGAUCCGGUGAGGCCGAGCUCACCCAGCGGCCGGCGAGCCUCGGCCUCGCCGGAUCUGGGCGAGUCGGCGUCGCCUGGCGGUGGCCUGGCGAGGCCGCGCCUCGCCCGCCGCUGGGCGAGCUCGGCCUCGCCGGCCGGUCGCCGGCCAAGGCCUUGGCCGGCGACCGGCCAAAAGAAGAAAAAAAAAUGAAAAAGAAAAAAAGAAAAAAAGGAAAAAAAAGAAAAAAAAAUAGAAAAAAUAAAAGAAAUAAAAAAAUUAUCCAAAUUUACCAAACAUGUUUCUGUUUAUUUUUUAUUUCCGGAACAAGUUUACCAAACGCGUUGUUUUGUUCAAAAAUUGUUCCCCGGAACAGAAACACAUUUUUCUAUUUCUGUUCCCUAGAACAAUUUUUAAACAGAAACACAACCAAACGCGCCCUUAGCAGCCAUAUUCGAUCAUUGGCCGCCGAUGGCUAAACUUAAAGAAAAAAAAUGUAAAAAAAUUUUUUAACAAAAAUUUAUUAAAAGUCCAUUACAAAUGCAAUUUUUAUUGAACAGCAUUUAAACCAAAGUUGUUUUUUGCUGCACUUUAAAAUUAAAAUUCGCCAAACACUAUUUACAUUUCGAAAAAUCCCUUUAAUCCAAAGGUAUUUGCAUUUUCCCAAUAACAUUUUCCAAAAUUAAAUGAAAAGGGAUCUAUAUAUACCCAAUGGCUAUUUAUGGGUAUAAACCCAUGUUUUUAAUAAAAUGCGAGCUCAAACUAUAAAAGCUCCCGAAUUGAGAUUAUGAAUCACGUCCCAAUAUAUAGUAUAUUACGGAGACUGUUGUUGGAGAGGCAAAACUAGCAAAAAAAAUAGGGAUGGAUUUGAGUGGGGCAUAGAGCGGGAGAGAAGUAGUGGCGGAUGGCAACGAAUACUCCGAAUACUCCAGUGGUGGAUGGCGAUGCUUGGGCUAGUCAUUGGUGGCUGCGAUCAGCGAGAGAAGCAAACAAGAAUUAGAGGCGAGAAAGGCAUCUAAAAUGCGAUUCACUCACCCAAAAUGAAAAACAAAAUGAGUUUACUUUCGUUAACAAACUCUAAUUGGUAGCGCCUUAAACAUUUAUCCCAAAGCUUUAGUCUUUUGAAAAAAAAGAUCCCAAAUUAAUACCUCAUGAUAUAUUUAUCCAAACUAAUUUCAUCUCACAAAACAUCCCAAAUUGAUAGCCCUCGCCGAAAUAUAUGCUCUAUUAAAAUGCAUAUAUGUCAACAUAUGUGAAUUUUCCACAUUGGAUCAAUCAUUCUUCACCUCUCAUUCGUCUUAUAGUCAUCUACCAUUUGUGUUGACAAGUAUGCAUUACAAGUAGAUUUUGGUUUGGAAUACCAAUUUGGGGGUUUUUUUUUUCGUUAGAUGAAAUUAAUUUGCAAUAAAUAUGUCAUGUGUUUACUAAUUUGAGAUUUUCUAGUUUUAUUAACCCAAAAAAAAUCAGAAAAAAAGCCAAAAUACCAUGUUAGACGCUUUUUCUUGAAGGACCCUUAAAAUGGGCUUUUCUCAAAUUCUCCAAGAAGUGAGCUAUACCCCAUGCUCAUCAAUGAUGCUAAAAUAUCUAUCCAAUGAGCAUGCGACGGUCACAUGGCCAUCUCCACCAUCAGUUAGGGUUUAAUUCGUCCCAAAACUUCCAUUACCCUCAAAAUUACUCACGUGAAGUCCCAUAAAUUGCACAAAAUAAGCCCCCAAAUCCCGGUAAUGUGUCAUUUAAAAGCUUGUUUUGUAUAAUUUAUGAUGGUAUAAAUUUUGUUCCACACACAGUGCACCCAAAAUCAACCAAGCUUUUCCGAUUCGAUGAACAACAUAUUGGCUAAAAUUGAUAUAAAAAUUGGACGAAAGAGAAGAUCGCAUUCGGAAGGCGCCAUAUCUGCACUCACUAGGUCUAAAUUAUGAUAUUUCACUAAAAGGUACUAUGCCACCCAAAUUAUCAAAUACACUGAAUAGAAAACAAUCAAUGCUUUAAUAUAGAUGUGGCAUAUUGUUCUUCGGAAAGAGAAAAACGAAUAUUGUCUUCUUCCUCUCUUGCUCUUUUCUCAAGUUGAAUAAUAACAUGUCGUAUUCAAAUACAAGAUAAUUAUCUCUUUUAUCCGACCAAUCUCCUUUUUUGAAGCCAUGAUAGCUUGUUUUGAGGAGAGUGGUCCCUUAUACAUAAGGGUGAGCGAUUCUGGAUUUUUUAUAGGUUCCACCUGGAACAUCGAACAUACCUACUAAAAUAAGUUUAUUAUUUUUUGGAACCUAAAACCUAUCCCACAUACCUUAAAACCUAGAAUCUACCUUGUUGUAUGUUCCAAGGUCGGUUCCAAGUUCUUCCCAGGUUUCACUUGUAUUAUUAAUUGAAUGAUUACAAUGCAUCAUUUUUAAAGACCACUACUCAUUGUUACAAUUCACUGACCACAACUUAUAUUUGGAUACAUGAAUAAUAUGAAACAUUAACAAAAUAAAAAAUUUCAGUCAUAAAAUGAAAACUCAUACUAGUGAUUCAAUAGACACCGUGGAAUACUAUAGAAUUAUAAGAAGACAUAAACAAACAAAAAUACACAUUUGUUCUAGCUUGUACCUACCUGGAAACUGGAAUCUAUUAUCUAAAUAAAUUCAUCAAUUUUUGAAACUUGAAACCUACCCUAUAUACCUUGAAACUUAGAACUAGACAAGUUCCCACUAAUUUGGUUCUUCAGUUCUAGGAUCUACCUUGAAACCAUGCUCACCCCUACUUAUACACACUACAUAUUCUCUUAGAAAGAACUUCAAAGAACAUGGGUUGGGUUUAUUGAGUCGAUCCAUUUUGGGUAGACUUGAUCUAAUAUCCAAUAGGCCCGGAUUUGAAAAUGCUAUUGCAUAGAGCAAACGGUACCACCACAGUGAUUAGUAGUGAUGGUACUAGUGAGCUGUUUCUUUUGGCUGUUUCUUUAGAUAUCUCAUGUAUUUUGUGAGCACCAAUGAGUGAUCUCAUGUGAUGCAUGUGAAUGCAACGGUUUACGUAAAUUUGGGAGUACUAAUCAAGCUAAAAAUUGAAUAAUUCAAUGUUAUGCAAGAUAGAAUGUAAAAAGAGAAAAACAAAAACAAGGAUUCAACGAAUGAGCAAGGGAAUCAAGAAUCUCCUUUGAUUAAGUUUGUCUAGAGUUGUUGGAGUCAACGAAAGAUAACUCCGGAGAAAUAGACGAGACAUAAAUGAGAGUACAAGAUGAAAAAGAACGAGCAACAUAAAUGACAUACAAAUGAACAUUGAGAGGCAAUUGAAACGUGAUAAAACUCUCGUUAAUUCCAAAAAAUGAAAAAUCGGAAUUACCGAUGAUCUGUGAAAGAUGGACAAAUUUGUGUGUGUUCAAAUUGUACAAUUGUGUGCGACGGUUGUCCAAGUAGUAGAAACAACACGUUAGCCAAAGAAAAAGGACAAAUUGCAAACUAAAGAAAUAUUUUGAAUUACUUAAACAGGUCAAAUUGCAUUUGCGUUGUUUUCAUUCUGUAUACAAACAGCUAGAAGCUUUUAAGAUUAUUUAUGCAUUGGAACCAUGGAAGAACAACAAAAUAUCAAAUUGCGUUCUUCUUCUUUUUUUCAUUCUAUAUACAAACAGCUAUAAGCUUUUGUUUAUGCAUUGGUGCCAUGGAAGAAAGGUUGAUAUGCUAAUCGUAGGGGAAAACCUAUUGCGCACAAUUGCUAUAAAUAGUCAGGACUAGGGCGAAAAAAAAUUAAGGUAUAUCACAUUAUGGAUACUCCUUCAAGAGUUGGAAUUAUGCUAAUGUUGUCCCUCUUGAUAUUCAAUGUUGUCAAAGGUGCCCCGCGCACCGGUAUAGUUAAUAGGGCUUGCAAUACCGGCUCCUAUUCGAGCGACAAUCCUUAUGCAAACAACAUGACUUACAUUCUCGAGGACAUGGUGACCGUGACACCAAAUCACGCGGACUACGACUACUCUACCACAUCUCCUUAUACCGUGGCAGCCGCCUACGGUCUCGCAACUUGUAGCCAAGCACUUUCUUACAGCAAUUGUGGCAAAUGCACGGGCUCCGUUAAAUCCCCAAUACUGGCGAUAUGUCCAAACAGUGGACAUGUCUUGGCACUCAAGUGAAGCUUGAACAUUGUAGAAUGAGGUAUGAAAACUACUUAUUCAACGGUUACGUAGUUUGGCGCCAAACAUAGAGAACCUUGUUUGAAUGGCAACAAACCCAGAACAUGCGUUGCUUAAGUUUGUUGAAGAAUAAGUCCUUUAGUCACGUAUCUUGAUUUCUGUUGUGCGUGGUUGUUUCUACUAUACAUGUUGUCAUAUUUAUUGUGGGAAAUGAUAUUGUUUCCUAUACUUUCUUUGUUAUUUUAAAGUUUUCAAAUUGUUUUUUUUUUUUUUUCAUGACGAGAAGACCUAAGCAAGCAGCUAAAAGUUAACGACUAUUAUGAAAAAUCAAACUUGCAUUGUGCAUCUAAGCUACACCCACAUCAUUGGGUUUGUUCCUAUGAUACUUAAGAGAGAGUCUUCAAGAGACGGCAGUUGGAGACACGCACAAAAGAGGACGUGCAAGAUAGUGCAAAACCAGAAGUCUAAAUCAAUAGAAGGAAACGCUACCUAAUGGCUAACAGAAAUGGCCACGACCUUGCUAAAACCGCUUGUGAAUUUACCAUAUAUGUUGAACUCUUAGCACAAUCCUCGAUGAAAUUCAGAAAGAAACAACCAUGACUUUGCCCCCAGUUUUUGCAUAAGAAUCACUACCCGAAAUCACUAAGGAGGUCAAGAACGUGUUUACAGCAUACAGUAUAGAUGCCGCACAAGGAUUCAGUCAUUUCAAUGCCAAGAAAAUAUCUCAAGGAAGCCAAAUCAGCCAAAUAGAAACUAUGUUAAAUCAGUUACUGAUCAUAAGAUAUAAGUGUAUUCAACAAAAACCAAGAUAAGUACAGAGGAUGAGCUAAUGCAUGAAAUGCAAAAUGGACUUAUCAGCAUAAGAUUGAAGCAAACCAGCAUCCACUAAUGCAGUAGGAGAUGCUUAAUAAACCAACUUUCUUUGAAGAUUUUACGAGUCAUCAUAAAAGUGGAAUUGCUUCAGUUGCUAAGCCCAUGAGCCUGCUUUUUUAAAUCAGGAAAUAGACAAAAGAGACAGCCAAAGAGUUGAUCCUCUUGUGACAUACGCACAACUUCAAAUUAUUUUUUCUGGCUUCGAUUGAUCAUGUCUCCCACAGUAUCCAAUCGUGAACUUAGCUCAAAGACUGGUCUCCAAAAUGCUUGUGCGCUACUAUGAUUGGGUCAGCAAACAAAGAGUAGAGGGCAUGAAGAGAGGCAGAUGGUCCAGGCAAGUCCCCCUGUUGUAAGUGAGAAACUUAAAAAACAAACAGAAAAAUGUGUUCCCGAGUGAGUAAUUAAAACAGAUAAAAAUGCCAAGGAAUGUACCUCCAUUGAGAGCCAACCCUAUUGAUCGGCAAAGUAAUUCAAUUAAUGCAGUGGAAAAGACAAUGGAAUUUAAAUCAUCUGGGCCUGACUGCGAUGAAGUUGAUUGUUGUUCUCAAGACCUCUAGCAUUGGGAAUGUUUGUCGAUGGUGUUCAUGUUCACCCAUCAUCAAAUGCUUUUUGGAAAAUCCCUUGCAGUGCAAAGGGGAAGAUACUUCAAGUAGCUUUCAUACACUUGCAGCCACGUUCCUCACUCAGCAAGCCAUCCCUAUGUUAUUUGCACGUAAGAAGCUGAGCAAAUAAACCAAAUAUGUAAUCGACCUGUGGUGAUAAUCUGAGUACACAGCUAGACCCAAAUAUUCUCCACUACCGAUUCAAAUACCAUCCACUUCACGGUAUGCCUCUUCUUUGAACUAUCUAUGGUGAAUAGGACAUUGUAAGGAUCAGAUUGUGAAAAAAGAAAGUUUAUAACAGAAAACUAGGAUCUCUCUCUCAAAGCACAUACACAAUAGGCUAAUCAGGAUUUAUGACAGAAUAUACUUCAUUACAAAGUAAAGUUGUUGCAAUUAACAUCUAUUUAAUUCAAUAUCAUCCUUAGACUGCUUAAUCAUUUGUAUGAAUUUCACCCGUUUGAAUAACAUUAGGCACCAAAAGCACUAACAGACGAGUAAACAUACCAGUUAAAUACAGAGAUUUUGUACUGAACCUAGAUAUACAAGGAUCAAAAUCCACCUUCCACCCCUCCAAAUAUUUGCCAUCUUGGCGGGUUCGAUAUAGUGAACUGUCUCCCAGAUUUAAAACAACUUCAUUAAUGGGACAUGAGACUCAGUGAGAUGACGAUUGGAAGAAAAAUUGGCGGUAAUCUGAUUUACUCUGCAUCACAUUUCAGACGAAAAAGUGGACAGAUCUCAGAGACAAUGGAGAGUUCUACUAGAAAAGGAAGAAGUUCCAUCUUUCACGAGAUAUUUGACCCACAACUCCAUCGUUGCUACAUCUGCAGAAAAACCCCUGUCAACCAUUUCACUGACAAGUUGCACGGCUCUAGUACUUUUGUUAUUUCUUAGUAGUCCUUGGAUUAUUGUGUUAUAAUUGACCCCAUCUGGAAAUCAUCCAUUUCCUUCCAUCUCCUUUAGGAGCUGAUAUGCUUCCUCUGUACGUCCUCCUUUGCACAACCCAUGCAUGAGAAUGUUACAUGUCGACAUGUUAGGUUGCAAGCCUCGAGCAUGCAAAGAAUCAAACAGCCCCUUAGCAUCGUCGAGCUUUCCGGCAUUACACAUGCUAUUCAUUAUAAUAUUGUAAGUCACAAUGUUUGGGACGAAUUUGGAACCUUCCAUCUUUUGAAGCAAUGUCAUGGCCUUGUCAAUCUGUCAUGUUUUACACAAGCCAUCCAGGAAAGAAUUCAAGGUAUAAUGAUUUAGAUACAGAUCAUGAGAUCGCAUCUCGUUAAUUAGCUCCCCCGCGGCUUCUAGGUUCCCAACCUGGCAAUAUCCACUUAUGAGAGUGUUGUACGUGAUGACAUCAGGAUUCAAGCCCCUUUCAAGCAUUUCUUGGAACAGUAUUUUUUAUUUGUCAAUUCUUUUCACUUUGCAGUAUCCGUUAAUCAACAUGUUAUAGGUAACAACAUUAGGUGAGCAGCCUCUUUCAACCAUCAAAUUAAGAACCACCAGAGCAUCAUCCAUCCUAUUUUGCAAACAAUAACCGUUCAACAAUGCAUUGUAAGUGACACUAUCAGGCAUUUUACCUAAUUGAAUCAUCCGGUUGAUUAUGGCCUCUGCCUCUACAAGCAUUCCCUCUUUACAAUGUGCAUCCACCAGAAUAUUGAAGGUUUGAACAUUCGGCAUGACUCUGCUUUGCACCAUAUGACUCAGCAGUCUUUGGGACUCUUUCAAUUGGCCGGAAUUGCACACUCCUUGAAUGACAGAGGUAUAAGUAACGACAUCCGGUUCAAUUCCUGCCUCCAUCAUCUUCUCCAUCCAGACCGUCGCAUCUUUCCAUUGGCCUAGCUUGCACAAGUAAUGAACCA
RNAcentral lists this long non-coding RNA (115984 nucleotides) under Eucalyptus grandis. RNAcentral describes it as "long non-coding RNA (EGRA_LNC000122)". Lineage: Eukaryota; Viridiplantae; Streptophyta; Magnoliopsida; Myrtales; Myrtaceae. The record is from RNAcentral.